GGCUGGUAAGGACUAAGAAUUGAUGUAGCUAGAAUGCGAAGAUGAUAAGGUAUGUUGUGCACUAUUGUUUUAUUCUAUAAUCAAUCUUGACCCUUGAUGCUUGGCUCUCAAUCUUGUCCAUUGAUCUUCUCUGAUUUUGGAGACUUGAAGACCUUUCAGUAUCAUGCCUUGUUGUUGGUGUCUUCCAUGCUGUAGAACCGCCGACUUGCCAAGUAUUUGUUCAUUGACGCAUUUUAUCAAACAGUUGGCCUGCUCAUAGCAAAUAGCUCCUCUUUUAGAGCUUUCGAAUUCAUGCCAAUUAAUUUUCAACUAGGCUAUUACCACAAUAAACAUUUAGAAAUCUAAAUUUGUUCAUUAUAUAUUCUGAUCAUCACUUGAACAUCCAUGCAGACUCCUAUUAAUUAUAUCCUCUAAUGGAGAGAACUCAUUGCCUCAGUAUGAUCACUGUGUCAUCAACCCACUGCCCGCUUCUUUGCUUGGUUGUUGCAGCAAGCAACAAUAUUACCACAGAUCAACAAUAGUUUGUCCAUUUUUUUCAGUAAGGUCGUCAUUAAAAAUUAAUUUUCAUAUUGAUUUUCUUAAUUAUAAAUAAUACUAAUGAUAUUUCAUAGUUAUAAAUAUAUUAGAAUUAAUCAAAAUCAUUUUUUAGUGCGGCAUGGCUAAAACUACCUUUUUUUUUUUUUUUAUAAGUAAUUACUACUUUAAGGAAAAUACUCGUAUUUUCAGGAAAAAGUCAAGUACCCGUAGUUGUGAAGACUCGAGCUCACCCUCUUAUGAUAAAUCUUCAUAUCAAUUACAUAAAUAUCCUCUAAAUGUUUAGUUAACUAUUCAAAAUUCGAUGUUAUAUGGGUAUUUCAUUUAUUUGAGUAGGGGUUAGGGGUCAAUUGGAUACAAAUUCAAAAUUAUCCUUACUUGAGAAGGUGAUAAACAUUGGGGAUUUAGUUUGGGUGUCAUUAGCUACAAAUAUUAAACUCAUACAUCUAAUUCAAAAUUGCAUCCAGGUUCAUUGCAGCUAAGGCUUGUGGAAUUUCAUCAGUAAGAUGUGAGUAGUCAUACCUACGUCGACAUUCAAUGGCUGUAUGUUUCUGUAAAUGACAAAUUUGGCAUAUGACAGUUUCUUCAUUGACUUCCUCAGCUUGUUGUUUGGAUUGAUUCUGAAUUUUGUGCCAAGGCUGUCCAGAAUUAUUUUGUCGAGGUUGCUGCCACUGUUGUCCCGAAUUUCCUUGCCAUGAUUGUUGCCCUUGUUGACUUGGAUUAUUGUUUGAUUUUUGCCAUGGCUGACUUGCAUUAUUAUUCCAACUUUUUCCACCAUUGUAGUUGAUUUUUUGACCACUUGAAUCAGCCAAAUUUUGUCCUCCUGCUGCUGUAAAACCACGACCUUUUGAGUUAAAGAAACCUCCAUUUCCACGACCUUUUCCCUUGCCUCAUUGGCUAAAAAAGGCUUGAGCCAGAUUGAUUGUAUUCUUCUUUUCUUCUUCAAAAUUAAUAAGAGUUUGUUCAUGAUUUUCGAGGGCCAUGACAAACUGCUUAAAUGAGGGAUAAGGUGGUUUCGAAAGUUGAGCAAGUUUGAAGUCUUGAUACCUGUAGCCAAGACCUCUUGCAAGACCAAAGACUUCAUCUAAGUCAUUCACUGGCUUAUUUAUUGCAGCCAAACAAUCACAGAUAUGCUUGUAUUUGCGCACAUACUCUUCAACUGAUAGAGAUCCCUUUUUAAACCGAGAGAAUUACUAUAUUUACACAAUUAACCUUGGCUAGAAUUAAUUGUGCAGAUUGGAUGAUAACUAGAGAAUAGAAAUGAAGAAAAGGAAGCACACAACACCGAGAAGAGUAAUAAUUAAUGCUGCCAUUGACGAAAUGUUUUAUAUUACUCUUCUUUCUUGGUAUUUAUUUAUUUACAAUUUUUAAUGUAAAUGUACAGUUGUUGGGCUAAUAUCUUAUUUACUUUUGAACGUAUUAGAUGCCUUUUUUUUUCUUGGUUCAUAAUAAUUUUGUAGAAAUUCCUCAAGUUUGCCUAAAUGAUAGCACAUAUUCAUAAUUGGAUUGAUUGAGUAAUAAUAAAAUAUAUUUAUUUGGCAAAUGGCAGUUAGGCUUUCUUUUGAUGCAGAUUAAUUAGAGAGAAUAUAUAACAAUUUUAAGCUCGUCAGAUUCGGAAGCUGCUUAUCUGUCGUGUGGGGAUCACUUCCGUGUCUUAUUUUUCUAGAAAAAUCUGGACCAUUGGAUUUCCCAUUAUUCAAUAGAUAAAUGUUUGAUCUUGAUUCUUGAUUAAGAUCGAAGUUUGAUUCUAACCAACAUGAUGUCAGAUUCAGAUUGCGAAGCAAGCAAAUUGAAAGUAACUUGUUCUAUUUUGAUAAACACAAGUUCUAAUAAAACAUUCUCAUAGUAAAGUGAAUUACCAUCCAACGAUCCAACUCAUGUUUUCAAAUUGUAAAUUGCAAAUCGUGCGUUUGCUCCAUUACAGCGUUUCUUCAAUCUGAAAUAGAGAAUCAUUUGUGUUUUGGAUUAAUCGUGGGUCUAUAUCCAAAUCUAAAAAUUGACUAAUUUAAUUUCUAUUAAAUUCUUAAUCCUAACAAGAAAAAUUGAAGAUUAAAAACGACUAAUUUGGUACCAUACCACUAUUGUAACAUAGGUAGAUCCUCUAUUAAUUGGAGUAAAGAUUGAAUUAUCUCAUUUAUUAAGGUUUAUCAAAAUCUUGUGUCAAAAUCUAUUAAUGAUAUAGGUUCAAGGAUGAAAGAGUCACUUCAUUACUUUUGAGUUCCCAAAUAGAUGAAUGGAUGUUAUUUUUGGAUUCCGGAGAGUCGAAAAUAUUAGGAUAGGUGCUAAAUCGAAUUAAGUUGUAGAUAAGAUAGAAAUGGAUUUGGAGAGAUUGGAAUCCUAGGUAAUCCGGUGCACGUUGUCGUGUUAAAUUCUCGUUGACUUCACGUUGACUGAAGCAUUAUUGGAAGAAACAAGUUUAUUGAUGUGAGGCCUUUGAGAUUGUAAGUGUUAAAUCUGAGAAGAAUACCCACACAACCAUUAUCCUAUUACUCUUAUAUCACGUGAAGAGAAUUCAACAUUUGAUUCACACGGAAAAAAUUUGUGAGGAUUGUGAGGGUUGAUGCAAUAUAAUUUAGAUACAAAGUGUUUACCAGUGCGAUGCUUCGCAAGUGUUCUUGAAUCAAUAUAAACUCACGUUAUUUUCAUAGUGAUUGUUUCAUCUGCACGUGGAUAUAAUCACAUGUCGAGAUUUUUUUUUCUUAAAUUAUGGUCUUAUUUAGUAUUGCGGUGUUAUAUCUUUUAAGGUACAAUUAUUGUUGGAAAAAAGUUGCAACUAUUAAAUAAAAUUAAUACUAUGUGCUAAAUAUAAUUGUUAAAUAAUAAUUUUGACAAAAUUAGUGAAGUUAUGUAGAUUUUUUUUCAUCAUACAAGUAUAAAAUCAAAUCAACUUAACUUCUAAGUUCUAUAUCAGCUACUGUUUAUCAUAUGUUUUAGUUCUGUAACUUUUAAGUUAUAGUUACCCAACCUCAAUUCUAAACCAGACCUAUAAAGAUCAAAGAUUUCCUCAUUAAAUUAUAUGUCUUGUGAUUGCUUAUUUAAUUUAUAUUUUUUUUAUUUAUCUUUAUUAAUUAUAAUCAUCUUUUUAUAAAUUAAAAUUGAAGGAAGUUGAUUGAUGUUGUUGACACACACACACACACACGCACGCACGCACGCACUCACAAAGAUCACCACAAGAAAAUAGAGUAUUGGCUACAAAUUCUAUUGCAACAAAACUUACUUUAUUGCUAAAAUUCAUAUCUUGCAACAAAAAUUAGUCUUUAUCGCUAUAGCUAAACAGAUUUUAUUCUUCUUAAUGAUGUGGAAUAGGCAAGAAAAUUAGAAUAUAUGGCAACAAAAUAUUUUCUUGCCCUAUGCUAUGUUUGGCAACAAAAGUGUUCUUGUUGCCUAACAAGCUUAAUGAAGGCAAAAUAUGUUUCGUUGCUCAAGUUUUUCCACAACAAACACUUGAAUCAGUUGCAACAAAUGAAAUAUUGUAAAAGGUUGUGAUUAGCGAGAAAAUUUGUUUUGUACUCUCAGAGUUUUUUGCAACAAGAUUAAUUUUGUUGCGCAAAGGUUAACAAAAAUAUUAAAUUAAUAAAUGAAAAUAUAAAGAUAAUAUAAAAGCAAACAUGACUUUGUGGGAGGCUUUUUAAUUUUUUAUUUCCGCGCCCUUUAUUUAAUAAACCGCGUGCUAACCGAAGUAAAGUUUCCAUCUCCAAUUUUUUCUUAAUUAAAAUAUUGCUUCUAGAAUAUUUCCACUUUACUCUUCGCUUGUUUCUUUUGCCCUGCCUUGGAGUCAUUCUCUCUGGCCAAGCUUUAAGCCAUUGAAGAGUUGUACUUGGAAGGCACCACUCAAGACAACGAUUUCUUCAAGUAAAUUUAGUUUUAUUUUAUAUAUUGGCCUGUUGAGUUUGAUUUUGUUUAGUGGGUUUUGCUUUAAUUAUUUAUUAAGUGGGUCUUUGUUUCAAUUUUUAAUUUGUUAAAUUAAAGUUAAUGGAUUUUUCAUGGUGAAGAACUUGAGUUUGUGGACAAUAGUCAAAUGAAUGUAGGAUCUAUGCCCAGUAAUAGGAUCUUUCAUGUUAUAAUUUCUUUGACAAAAUUAUAGUUAUAUUGAUUUAUUUUUAUGUUGAUUAUUAAUAAACUCUAAUGUAUAUUUUUAAUAAUUACUAGAUGGGUCCUGGACAUAGAGUUACCAAACGUGUAAGAGCAGAAAUUGUUGUCGCAUCUACAAUUCCCCAAUCUCAGCCUGUUAUGCCCAGCCAAGAGUUUGUGCAAGGUGUUGUUACAACUCUAGAAUUUGGUACUUAAAGAGUUUAAUUGGUAGGUUUUGUUUGAUCGACUAUUAGUAAGUACUUAUGAUUAUUAAUAUUCUUCAUCUGUCAUUUUUUUUAAUUAUAAACUGAGAUAUCUUUUUUUCCUAAAUUCAGUCAAAUUUUGAGAUUGAUUUGAACUUACCACAUGUUCGUCGAUGUGUGAAUAACAUUAUGGGUGGGAGAUAUCAUGAUAUGAGACAUUGGAUGUAUGAUCAUUACUUGGAUUAUCCAUCCUUUGAAGAGGCACUUAAGCAUUCAUAUCCAGGCAUAUGUCCAGAUGAUUGGGCUUGGCUUUGUCAUAACAUUUACAAUUCCGCAAGUUUCCAGGUCCAAUGAUAUUCAUAUUAUGAACUUUAAAUUGUCCAACUAGUUGUCAAUAUGCUUGUAUAUGUAUCUUAUUUUCCACUGUUAUAUUUUUUUAAUGUAGACUCAAUCUACCAAAAACAAAGCUAAUCGUGCUAAGCUUCCAUAUGUCCAUUGUGGGGGAUCAAGACCUUUUGUUAAUUAUCUUGAGGAUGACAUGGUUGAUGGUGAAAUAGAAUUAUUUCGCGUCACUCAUUUCAGCAAGACAAAAGGUUGGGUGAAUGAGGUGGCACACUUAAACCAUGUAAGAUGCUUUGUUGGAAACAAAAUUUUUAAUUUUAUUAUUUCUUAUCACCUACAUACUGUUGAUGAAAGUUUACUCAUUGAGUUUUUUUUCUUAAUUUUUCUUUCAUGCUCUAAUUAACUUUAUUAUUUGAAAUAUCAAAUAAUUAGAUUUAUAAGUAUAACAACAAGUUUUUUUUUUUUUCAAUUUAUGUCUUAAUACAAAUUAAUUCCAUGACCAAUGGAUUAAAUUUCAACUAUUUAAUUAAUAAAAUUCUUUUUUUUCUUCCUUCGUUUACUAACAAAGCUUUACGUAUAGGACCAAAUGGUAGAGAUACAACAACAACAACAAAUAGAUCCUCAAGAAGCAAAACCACUAACUCAAAGGGAAAUAUGCAUUGAAGUACUUGGAAAGAAAACAUGCUAUUUUCGAGGACUUGGCAACGGACCACGCCCAACUUCAAACCAUGGUGUUGAUACUUCUGAGGCUGAUAGAUUGCAUGGUAUUAUAUCUUCACAACAAAGUAGAUUGGAUUCACAAGAUGUUGAGCUUCAAGAACAAAAGAAGACUAUUGAUCAAUUGGAGUCCAGAUUGUCCCAAUUUGAGGGUAUGAUGCAGCAAUUUUUUUCUUCUCAAGGAUCCGCUUUUCGCUUUACAGAUUCAGCUACUCAAUGAUUACUCAUUUCAAUGAUGUCCUUAGAGUAUCUUGAACUUGUUAGUAUUUUGAAUUGGUCAUCACUUGAUCUUUUUGGUUACUGCUGGUGCAUGUCAUAUCUUUAAGGAUUUGGAGUUUGGAGCAGUUGUAAUUAGAGAUCGUUUAUAAUUUUUGCUCAUUACAUUUUUGGGAUAGAUGACAAUCCACUUUUGUAUUUGACUAUCAUAUGUGAUUCUUAAAGUCAGUUUUGUAUAUAUAUAUAUAUAGCUUGGAUACUGAAUGGGCCUUUAACUUUUAAAUUAGUUCAAUGACAUUAAUGAUUUUUUUGUUAGAUUUCUCAACAUAUAUUUGUAGUUUAUUAUUGUCAUGGUGGGGGAAAAAAUUGGUAUCUUUCCCAACGAACUUGGUUUGCUUCCUUUUAUACCAUGAUAUUAUUAAAAAAAAUUGUACUAUUUUUUAAUGACAAAAUUGAUUUGUUUCUAAAAAUAUUUAAAUAUUUAUUGCAAAUUUGUAAAAUUUUCAACAUAAAGAAACAAAGUAGUUUUGUUGCCUAAAAUGAUCUUAGCUAACAAACACCUUUGUUGGUACACGUUUUUUUUAUAAAAUGUACUUUAUUUCUUAGCAACAAAUUAGUUUUGUAGUAAAUAACUAUAUAGAAACAAAAUUAUUUUGUUGUGUAAAACUGUUUAGCGCAACAAAAAUGUUUGUUGCCAAAUUAUUCUCUAAACAAGUUGAAGACUCCUUCACAACGAAUCUGUUUUGUUGCGAAAGGAAGUUUGAGGCGAGAAAUGUUUUGAUAUGUUGUUAAACAUAGAGGGCGACAGUGCUAGGCCGACGACGGGCCGACAAGCUUGUUUUUGUAGCAAUAACCUAUGGCAACAAAAUUGGCACUUUAGGCAACAAAAUCUUUUUGUUGCAAAAAGCCAUUUCUGUUGUGGUGGAUAUAUUGGAAGUGCUUAAUUACGUCGACUCGAAGUUGUUGGGAAUUAAUGCAUGUAUUGAUUUAUUGGGAGUGUUUAAAUGAUUUUGUGAUUUACUUGAUUGAUUGAAUAUUGUUUGAUUGCUUCAUAUCCAUUCUACAAAGUUUAUUUCUUUGUGAAAUUUCAACGAAAUAUGUUUUUUUUUUUUUAAAUAAGGGUGUUCUAAAUAAUUUUAAAAAAUAUAUGGACUAAUUAGAAUUAAUUAUUAGGUAAUUAACUCAAUCUGUACAGGGUGAAACAACAUUUAUCCUAAUUAUAUCAUGAUAAAUACUUUUCUGAUUAGAAUUAGGAAAUCAUAGGUUUAUUGAAUUGUUUUUUUUUUCCUUUGCGGAAACGGAUUAGAGAAUUAGAAAACAAUCAUGUUGAUGUCAAAAUCUGAUCUAGUCGGUUAGCGACUUAACAUCAUAUUACUGCACCAGUAUUAAAUUUAUUUGGUAGAGAAUCGGCUGGUCAAUUGUCAAGAUGUCCUGCAAUCACUAGCGAUUAACCUACGAAUACAUGAAAUCAUAGAAGACGGUAAGAGCCACCAGAAGUUUUUUCGUCGUGAAUCUUCUGACGCUCAAGUCAGUUUAUAGGUUUACCAUAAUAAAAAUAAAUAAUUUCUAUUUAAAACAAAAAAUAGAGAUCAAAAGCUCAAAAAUAAAACCCAAUCCCAAUAUGAAAAUGAAUUUCUUUUUUUUUUUUAGCUUGGCCGAAUCCUUCUGCCUCCUAAAGAAACAUAAUAGAGGAGCAGGUAGCCAUGUUCCCUAGGUAACGCCCCACUCCCCUCUUUUAUUCCUCCCCCUCUCUUCCGUUUCCUUCUUUUGCUCACUAUCCUUUAUAAUUUUUUAUGCUUGUCUUCCCAAAAUAGCCUUUGAAUACACAAGUAAAUGUCUAGGCUUUGGUGAGGAUAGUUUGGUUAUUGCAUUUUACAAGUAAGAUGAGUGGUGGAGAAAAAUGAGGAGUGCAUAUAACUCUUCAGCAAAUCCCACCAACAAUUCAAUUUUCUUAAUUAAUUAAUCUCCUUUUUUAUCCCCAAACAAAUCCUAAUGAUACUAUUAUCAGGUUUAAAACAGUACAUAAAUAGUGAAAAGCUAACUAGUCUGUAGAGUAAUUGCUAAUUGCUUUCUCCUCUCUGAGCGCGCUGAAUAAUUUGUUGCAUGCAAACUUUUUAUUAUAUGCAAAUCGUACGUACUGUAACAUUGGAAUUGAUGUAUAAGCAAAAAUACAAGAAUAUUUAUGUCAAUAAAAAUAGUUUUUUUUUCCUUUUUAAAUAAACACAACGCGAUGUUGCUCUUCUCUACAUUUUUGCUAUCUCUUUAUUCUUUUUUUUUUUUUUUGGGCUUCUUAAAGCCUCAAACUUUGAUAACCAAAACUUCAUCGACCUAUGAAAAAAAUCUGCAGAUUAGUUUUUAUUAUCGGAAUAAUUGUUUGAGAAUACUAAAACAAAAUAUAAAAUAAGAAAAUAGGAGGUUAAAUUAGAGGGGGGGGAAAAAGGCAUGUUCUAUCGAUUACUAUAGUUUAAGGGAAAAAAAAAUCCAAUUGGGAAUUUUUUUCUUUAAUUUUUGUUUUACUUGAUUGAGAUUUCUCCUUAGUCCUUACAGUUUUAAGUUUGGAUGCCGUAGGGUUAGUAAUUUAGUACUUCCUUUGCAAGCUGAGUGCAAGAAUGAAAAUCUUUUAAGAAAUUAAAAAAGAUUAAAAAAAAGCAUACCAAUAGGUAAUUAUAAAUAACCAUAAAUAAACAUAAACAAAAUGUUUAUGAAGUAAAUUACACAUGCACAUAUUUUUUUUUUGUUUUAUUUCUUACUUGUCUAUUUUAUUUGCUGCUUGAUAACCCGUAAAUACUAAUCUAUUACUGCUAAUUCCAGACACAAAAUUUUUAACUCUAGGCUGCAGUUUUACUCAAAAUGAUGACCACUGGCUUCGCACCAUUUAACCGGCAUACAUUUCUACAAAUUGAACAAGGCUAUUGAUUUUCAUUAUUAUUUUUUAUUUAUUUAUAAAUUACUAUUUUAAUUUUCACUUUUUAUUGGGUUGUUUAACGGAUUAGUGAAGUUGGUGGUCGUGAUGCACUCACAAGGUACAAUUUUAUUUUAUAAUUUCAAAUUUGUAUUUUAAAAUACAGGUACAUUAUGUAUACAUAAUUAUUGAUUUUCGUAUGUGGGUGUUUUGAAAUAUUGCUAAAAGACCAAACUUUAAUAAACUAUUUUUCAUCUUUUUUUUUCCUUUUUUCCUAGAGUUUGAGUGAUAUCCGCAUUUUAAAUUCAUGAGGAACAAAAGCUAAUGUAUGCACAAAAUUCUUUUAUUUUUUCCUAGAAAAAUGGGUAAGAGAAGAAGAUUUUUCUCUUGAAAAAGAAAAACUAAUACGAUGCAAGCAUAGGAAAGAGGUCAGUGUUUUUGGAUUAGAAUUUAGUAUUGAGCUGAAUUUUAUACUAAACUCUUUUGUGGUGCUGCGAUUAAUAAACUCAUGAUUUGCUUUUGCUUUUACUUCAAGUGAAAGAAAGAGGAAACCUUUUGUUUUUUGUUUGAUUCUUGACUAUAGAUGUUACCUAUAUAGAGAGUUGAGGUAUCUGCCUUAAGUGAUGGUGAUAAAAAGAUUAAGCAGCGCACACAAUCUUACUGUCGUCCAGACCAUCCAGCUGUGAUGACUCUAGUUUUUUGGUUACAUUAGCUUUAGUGGAAAGGAGGGCCAAUUUAACAAAGACUAGAUUUGGUGGCUUACUAUAAUGCUUAUUCUCAGGGAAUCUAAUGUUAUAAGAUGAUUUAAUGAUCUUCUAUGAUUGUGAGUAGUAUAGUAUAAUUGAAAAGAGUCUGGGCUUCUAUGAUGAAUAUAUAAUAUUAACACAGUACUGUGAUUGAAAAAAACACAGUUACAAUAUACUCUUCAUUUAUUCAUUGCGGAGAUUAAAUGGCAAACAGAGAAUAAAAUGAAGCAGAGGGAUCUCAUUGCCAGUAAAAUUGACCCUCUUUAAUGUUAUAUGGCACAGGUGUGUGUACAGCAAGAGCAAGUUACUUGCAGUUUUUAUUGUAAAAUAUACAGGUUAUGACCAUGAUCAUUGUAGUUAGGUUUUGAUGAUUUUAGAUGCUUUUUUUAUUUUUUUAAAUUGUGACACCUUUGAUUUAUGGUAGUUUUGCAGAAGAAAAAAAUAUAAAUAAAAAUUAGGAGGGAUGAGUUAACUAACGAUUGCAAUCAUUACUGUAAUGUUGAUGAGUGAUACAUCAUUUGAAAUGUACUUGUCAGUUGCUGAAAUGAUGAAAAAAAACAAUAAACAAUAGCAGUAAUAUUUUUAUGGAAAUUCAUGGUUUUUAUGGAAAUACUCUUGCUGAAAUUCUAAUUUUGACUUUCAACUCUUGGUUUUUAUGGAAAAUAAAAUGACUUGUUUAUUAUAUUCAUACAAUCCACUCUACAUAAUGAUUUCAUUUUAAUAAAUGCUUGAUGAUCUCCACUGAAAAACUACUUCAAUUCUUUUGUUUUUUUUUAACUUUUUGGUUGUUGAAAAUAGCCUUAAUUUUCAAAUAACUGGAGAAAGAGUAAAGAACAUUUAACAAAUUUAUGUGCCAAAAAUAAAUGAGAAAUUGAAGAGAAAGGGUGCUUGCAGAAGUGGGUGCAAAGAUAAAUUAGUCUAUAAGAAUUAUUGUGGUUAUUAAUUUUUUGGCAAUAUAAAAAUUUUUCAGCAAAUAAAAAUUGAUUUUUUCCGAUUUACUAAAAAAUUAAUUAAAAACUUUGGCGAUAGCAUUUUUUAUGGGGCAUGUACCCUCCCUUUUAAAAAAAAAUAUAAUAAUUAAUACUUAAUAUAGUAUUAAAUACGAAAAUCUCAAUAUUUGACUACACAAAUUUAUAUCAUUAGGUCCUUAAAAUUUAAAAUUGAAGACACAUAAUGAAAUAUAUAUAAAUUUUCAACCUCAUAGGAAAUGAUCCUCUUAUAAUCUUAAAAUAUUUGAGAUUUGAAAGAUUUUUUAAAACAAAUGUACUUUUAUUUUUGUACAAUCAAUAUUUACUUAUUUAUUAUAUUUUUAUUCAUUAACUAUCAAUCAUGUGAGUAUAUUUACUCAAAAAUAUCAUAUCAACGGAGCAUCUUGAUCCCACGCACACGCAAAUAUGUUAAUUUCUAUACGCUUCACUUACCUCUAGAAUCAAUUAUCUAAAAUGCAAGUUUGUGGCCACAAAAAAAGCCAAAGAAAGAAGAUAACAAUUGACUUGUAUAUUAUACUCAUACAAUCCACUCGACAUAAUGAUAUCAUUUUAAUAAGGCAAUGGCUGAUGAUCUCCAUUGAAAAACUAAUUCAAUUUUUUUGCUUCAUUUAACUUUUUGGUCGUUGAUAAUAACCUUAAUUAUCACAUAAUUGGAGAAAGAGUAAAGAACAUUUAACAAAUUUAUGUGCAAAAAAAAAAAAAAAGGAGAAGUUGAAGAGAAAGGGUGCUUGCAGAAGUGGGUGUCAGAGAAAAAUCGGUCCAUAAGAAUUAUUGCGGUUAUUUUUUGGCAAUAUAAAAUUUUAUAGCAAGUAAAAAUUAAUUUUUUUCCGAUUUAUUAAAAAAAUAACUAAAAACUUCUGCGACAGCAUUUUUAUGGGUGCAUAUACCCUCCCUUUAAAAAAAAUAAUAAUUAAUGCUUAAUAUAGUAUUAAAUACGAAAAUAUCAAUAAUUGACUACUCAAAUUUAUAUCAUUAGGUCCUUAAAAUUUAAAAUUGAAGACACGAAAAAAUUGAAGAUAUGAAAGGAAAUAUAUAUAAAUUUCAUUCUCAUGGAAAGGAUUCUCUUAUAAUCUUAUAAUAUUUGAGUUUUGAAAUUUUUUUGAAACAAAUGUAAUUUUAUUAGUGUACAAUCAAUAUUUACUUAUUUAUUAUAUUUUAAUUUAUUUAUUAUAUUUAGUCAGAAAAAUUAUAUCAAGAGAGAAUCCUAAUUUCACGCAAACACAACUACAAGACAAAUAUGUUAAUUUCUAUACUAUUCACUUUCCUGUAGAAUCAAUUAUCUAAAAUGCAAGUUUGUGGCUACAGAAAACUCGCCAAAGAAAGAAGAUAAUAACAAUUGAGCAUUGAUAGCAAAACUAAUGCAUCCAAUUCUUCUUGACUUGAUGAGAUGGCGCCAUAACGUAGAAACAAGUACCUAAAUUGACCGGCACUGAGUGAUGUGAAUACUACCAGCCAGUUCAUCUCUUCCAGUCUUGCUUAAUCACAAUCACAAACACCACGAGAUCGACAUUUGCAUUAUAUAUAUCUUCAGCAAUCGAAACACCUUGCAUUACCAAAUUAACCAGUAACAAACAAAGCAAUGUUUCAUGGAGAGAAAGCUUAGUCUCAGUAUGAUCAUUGUGUCAUUAACCCACUGCCUGCUUCUUUGCUUGGUUGUUGCAGCAGCAGCAGCAGCAAGCAGCAAUAUUACCACAGACCAACAAGCUCUUCUUGCCCUGAAAGAUCAUAUAACUUAUGAUCCGACCAACCUUUUUGCCCAUAAUUGGACCUCGAAUACCUCUGUUUGUAACUGGAUUGGCAUCACUUGUGAUGUCAAUAGCCAUAGAGUCACAACCUUAGAUAUUUCUCAAUUCAAUCUACAAGGCACCGUCCCUCCUCAACUUGGAAACCUCUCUUCACUCACAACACUUAAUCUUAGUCAUAACAAGCUUUCCGGAAGCGUUCCCACCUCCAUCUACACCAUGCAUACACUAAAAUUUCUUGACUUCACUGAUAACCAGCUCUCUGGUUCAGUUUCAUCCUUCGUCUUCAACAUGUCUUCAAUAUUAGACAUUCGUUUGACCAAUAACAGACUUUCUGGUGAGCUUCCGAAAAAUAUUUGCAACUAUCUUCCUUAUUUGAAAGCCCUUUUUUUGGACAAAAACAUGUUGCAUGGCAAAAUUCCUUCUGCUUUAUCAAAGUGCAAACAACUGCAACAAUUAAAUUUGCAGUUCAAUAAUUUAUCCGGUGCAAUACCAAAAGAAAUCGGCAACUUGACCAUGCUCAAAGGGAUAGACCUCGGCUACAACAAACUCCACGGUAUGUUCAUAAUACUAUGUAAAUAUUUUAAUUUCUCACUUGUUAAUUUUCUUGAAUAUCUUAGAUAAGAUUUUGUAAGUGAGAUUUUUUGCAUCUAUGUUAAUUUACCAGGUGAGAUACCCCACGAAAUCGCUAAUCUUCGAAAUCUAGAGGCUUUAGUGCUAGGAAUGAACAACCUAGUUGGUGUGGUAUCAGCUAUAAUCUUCAACAUGUCAUCACUGAAGGUACUUAUCCUCAUCAAUAACUCUCUCUCCGGAAGUCUCCCAUCAAGAAUGGACCUUUCACUUCCAACUAUUGAGCAUCUUAACUUGGCACUUAAUAGAUUUUCUGGAACCAUUCCUAGUUCCAUCACCAAUGCUUCUAAGCUCUCCUUUCUAGAGUUGGGAGGAAACACAUUUUCGGGCUUUAUUCCAAACACAAUUGGAAAUUUAAGAAACCUUGAGUGGCUCGGCUUGGCUAAUAACUCCUUGACAUCUUCAACCUCAAAAUUGAGCUUUCUUUCCUCUUUGGCAAAUUGCAAGAAAUUAAGAUCCUUAAACUUAAUAGGCAAUCCGCUUGACGGCUUCCUUCCAAGUUCAAUAGGUAAUCUUUCCAUGUCUUUGAAAAUACUUCUCAUCGCCAAUUGCAGUAUUAUUGGCAACAUUCCUCGAGCAAUUGGCAAUUUAAGCAACUUGUUGGCCUUGACAUUAGAAGGCAAUAAAUUGACUGGACCAAUUCCAAUUACAUUCGCCCGACUGCAGAAACUCCAAGGUUUAUAUCUUCCAUUCAAUAAGUUGGUAGGUUCAUUCCCAGAUGAGCUUUGCCAUCUAGCUAGGCUGGCUGAAUUGGUCUUACUUGGCAAUAAGCUUUCAGGAUCUAUACCUUCAUGCUUAAGUAAUCUCACUUCUCUAAGAUCUCUCUAUUUAGGGUCCAAUAGGUUUACUUCUGUCAUUCCCUCAACUUUCUGGAGCCUAAAAGACAUCUUGUUCUUUGACUUUUCAUCAAAUUUCUUGGUUGGUCCUCUUUCUUUAGACAUAGGAAAUUUGAAGGUGCUUGUAAGAAUAAAUUUAUCAAAAAAUAACUUAUCCGGUGAUAUCCCAGCCACAAUUGGAGGAUUGAAAGAUCUUCAAAUUAUGGACCUAGCAUAUAAUAGACUGGAAGGCCUAAUUCCUGAAUCAUUUGGUGACUUGAUAAGUUUAGAAGUUUUGAAUUUGUCAAAUAAUAAAAUCUCUGGGUCUAUUCCAACAUCCAUGGAGAAAAUCUUUUACCUCCGAGACUUAAAUCUCUCUUUCAAUAAACUAGAAGGUGAGAUUCCUAGUGGAGGAAUUUUUGCCAACUUCACAGCUGAGUCAUUUAUGGGAAAUGAGUUAUUGUGUGGUUUACCAAAUCUUCAAGUCCAACCAUGCAAAGUUAGCAAGCCGAGGACAGAACAUAAAUCAAGGAAAGAGAUACUUCUCAUUGUGAUUGUUUUGCCAUUGAGUAUUGCUCUAACAAUAGCAAUCACUCUACCUCUCAAAUCUAAGCUGAUCGAAUGUGGAAAAAGAUGCACAGUGUUGUCAAAUGAUAGUGUCUUGUCAUCACAAGCAACACAAAGAAGAUUUUCAUACUUAGAACUUUUACAAGCAACAGAUAAUUUUGCUGAAAACAACAUAAUUGGCAGAGGAGGUUUUGGUUCCGUUUUUGGAGCAAGACUUGAAGAUGGGAUGAAGAUUGCAAUAAAAGUGUUUCACCAGCAAUGUGCAAGCGCAUUGAAGAGUUUUGAGGCUGAAUGUGAAGUGUUAAAAAAUAUUCGCCAUCGAAACCUUAUCAAAGUUAUCAGCAGUUGCUCGAACGAUGACUUCAAAGCAUUAGUCCUAGAAUACAUGUCCAACGGGAGCUUGGAGGAUUGGCUGCAUUCUAGCAAUUACGUGCUGAAUAUAUUUCAUAGGUUGAACAUAAUGAUUGACGUUGCAUCAGCUUUAGAAUAUCUCCACUUCGAUCAUUCAACUCCUAUUAUUCAUUGUGACUUAAAGCCUAGUAAUGUAUUGUUGGACGAAAAUAUGGUUGCUCAUUUGAGUGAUUUUGGCAUAGCAAAGCUUUUAAGUGGAGAAGAUGAGUCUACGAUGCGAACAAAAACCCUUGCCACUAUAGGUUAUAUGGCACCAGGUUUGCUUCAAAUAACUUUUUUUUUUAGUUCAUUUUAAAUUUUGCAACUUAUUGAUUUUUACGAUCCUCACAUCAAAAUUUUAUUGAUUAUUUAUCUAAUUGUGAAAUUAAUUUGAUUCAUAGAGUACGGCAUAGAAGGAGAAGUAUCUACAAAAAGUGAUGUUUACAGCUAUGGGAUUAUGUUGAUGGAAACUUUUACCAAGAAAAAACCCACAGAUGAAAUUUUUGUUGGAGAAUUGAGCUUAAAGCGUUGGGUUAAUGACUUGCUUCCUACUUCAUUAGUGGAAGUUGUGGACAAAACUCUGCUAAGUGGAGAGGAAAAACAUUUUGCAUCAAAGGAGCAAUGUCUGUUGUCUGUCUUUUGUUUGGCUCUGGAGUGUACAAUGGAAUCACCGGAAAAGAGGAUUAAUGCAAAAGAUAUUGUUACCAGAUUACUCAAGAUAAGAGACACAUUGAGUAAAAGGAUAGGAAACUUCAGUUAAUUUCGUUUGCUUUCAUUGAUGGUUAAUUCAAAUUCAUGUAAUAAGUGUAAGAAUCUUAUAUGCUUUCCUUAGAUAUAUAUUUUUUUUUUUGAGAAAACUGUCGUAGUCAUCUUGUUUCCAUGGGCAGAGUUGAUUUAGUUCUUCCAAAAAAUGCUACUGAUGACCUUUGUUUAAUACUCUCUUUUUUUGCAUGUGUUUAGGUAGAACAGUGGUUUGGCUGCAGGCUAAGAAGACUAACUACACUAAAAGAAUAUGAUUUAAUUUAUUAAACAAAACUUCAAGUUCAAGAAAAGUAUUUCACUGCCCCCAAUGCUUUGGACACCUACUGGUAGGUUUGUACGUGUCCUCAACUUUUUUUUGGAGCACAAAAUUCGAGUCCCAUGGAGACUCAAACAUUCCUUUCCCGCAUCCCGAGCACGCUAAAUUCAUCAGACUGACGACUGGGACAUAUACAAGAGUGAAAUGUUUGGAGCACACUAAGUUCGAGUGAAAGAGAUUAAUUUACGGAAACUAAAGCCGAAGGUUCAAAAAAAAGUGCAAAGUGAAUUGAUGCACAAUGUCAUAUUCAUACAGAGAUCAAUUAUAUUAUUUACAGCUGGUAAGGGCUAAGAAUUGAUGUAGCUAGAAUACAAAGAGGAUAAGGUAUGUUGAGCACUAUUGUUUUUAUUCUACAAUCAAUCUUGACCCUUGAUGCUUGGCUCUCAAUCUUGUCCAUUGAUCGUCUCUGAUUUUGGAGACCUCAAGACCUUUCAGUAUCAUGCCUUGUUAUUGGUGUCUUCCGUGCUGUAGAAUUCAUAUACAAGCUUUCCCGCCGACUUGCCAAGUAUUCGUUCAUUGAUGCAUUUUUAUCAAACAGCUGGGCUACUUAUACCAAACACCGCCUGGUUUAACUCCCCCUCUCUAGCUCAACUAUCUGGGAAGACAAUUAAUUGAGAUAUGAAUCAGAAAGUUAAAUUUUAACAAUUAUAUUCGGACUCUACAUUUUGUAAUGAACAUUGGUUUGACUUGUUAUACAUUUAUGCGUACAUAAUUAAUAACCGAUUCUCAAGUGCGGACAUUCAAGAGCACUGCUUAAAGACCAAAUAUUUUGAUUUACUAUUUUUUGUCUUUCAAUUUUCUUUUAAGUUCUGAUGACGUCCGCAUUUUAAAAUCCUGUGGAACAAAGGCCUGAGGUGCAUAUAAAAUUCUUUUAUUUUUCAGAGGAAAAUGGGUGAGAGAAGAAGAUUUGGCAAAAGAAUUGCAACGGCAAUAUGAAACUAGUCUUUGUCUUUUAAUUCUUUUAUAUUUGUUUUUGUUAUUGAUGUUAGCUUGGAUGUGUGCGCGUGUUGUUAACAUAUAUGUUUACAUAAUGUUGAUUUUGAUGAUAACAAACAAAAUUAAGAAUGAUUAAUCUUUUAAGCUCAAAUUAUUUAAUAUUCUUUUUAAAUAAAUCAUUAUUUUCACAUUAUAAAUGUUUCAUAUUUAAUGGAAAAUUGAUUUUAUGAAAUUGGUUGUUUUUCAAAGUUUAUGGUUUAAUUGAAAGAAUUUUGAAAACUUUGAAAUAAACAAGUAUUGCUUGAAAUUUUAGUAAAGGACUUAUUUGAAAAGUGUCUUAGCAUUUUUGGCUAUAUCAUAAUUUCAGAAAGUUUUGGGAUUAACAAAGCAUUACUUAGAAAUUCUGAAAUUGGACCUAUUUGCAAAGUUUCAUAACGUUUUGGGCCUUAAUAUAGUUUUGUAAAGUUUGGGAGUCAAAAUGUAAUUUUAGAAAAUAAUUUCACUGUAGCAUCACUGUAGUAAACGGCUAACCGUUUAUUUAAAACGGCUAACCGAUAAUUUUCAGAAAGCAUAUUUUGCAUAGUAUUGUUAAAAUGAUGAUUCUGAAACAUAACGGUGAACCGUUUACUGAAAACGGUUAACCGAUUAUUUUCAGAUUGCUAACCUUGAACCGUUUAGUAAGAACGGUUAAACCAAAUUUGUUUUGCAGGUCUCUGGAAUUUAACGGCGAAAGGGUAAUACUAAACGAUAAACCGUUUAUUUGAAAAUUGGUCCAACGGUAACUUUGACCAGCCUAAACGGUUAACCGUUAAUGGUUAACGGCGAACCAUUUUCGAGCAGACAGUCUAUAACGGCUAGUUUUUCAGCUCCAACUAUAAAUAAGCUCAAUCCAAUUCAAACAAGAUAAAUUCCAACGAUCAUCAUUGAGCAAAAUAUUGAGAAUACAACUUUCAUUGAGCUUUAAAUCCUUGUAUUCAUCUCAUUCAUUCACACAUUGAGCUUUCACUUGUGAUCAAACACAUUGUGUGAGAGAGAUUCAUUUGAAAUCCUCUUUGUAAAAUCAAGUUAAAAGAUUGUAAGUGUUGGGAUACACUUGAGUUAAGAGAUUGGGGAUAAUCUCUUGUUGUAAAGGUCCAUUGACACCUUGGAAGUCAAUUGUAAGCGUUUGAAGCCUAGGGAGGCUAGCUUAGUGAAAUCCUCAAGCCCAGUGAGCUUGGAGGCGUGGACGUAGGCGGGGUUUGCCGAACCACGUAAAAAUCAUUGUGUUUGUUUUCUCUUCCCUUAGUCUUUUAAUAUUGUGCAUGAUUGAAUUUAUUGUUUUCAAUUUGAUUAAGGCAAUAAAUUAAAUUGUUGUGCGAAUUGUAUUGCAUAAAUUUUAAAAUCCCAAUUCACCCCCCUCUUGGGUUGCCUAGUUAGUAUUUCACGUGUGACUGAAUUCAACUUAUAUUUGUUUUUGUUAUUGUUAUUAAUUUUAUUUGUUUGUGUUAAAUUGGACCACCAAAAAGGGCUGUCCAUUAUCAAAUCAACACGGUUUAAUUAUUAUUAUUUCUACACUUUUUUUAUAAACAAAUAUAAAUAAAAGGAUAUUUACACCCCAAAUUUUAGUGAAAUAGUCAUUAACACUCCUAAAUUUUUAAAAAAAGAUAUCAAGAUCAUUUUUUGAUCUUAAUACUCUCAUACGGUACCUCUAUUAUUCUUAAAAAUUGACUCUAAUGUUUUAUAAUAAAUAAAAAUAAAACAUUAAAAUAAAUGUAAUAACAUAUAAUUUUAAAAUAAUUUCAUUAUUUAAAAAAUAUUUUUAACAUUUUACAAUCUAUUAAAUAUAUUUUAUUAUAUUAAAGUAAUUUUAUAAUAAAUAGAAUCAUAUUAUUAGAAUAAAUGCAUUAAAACUUAAAUUAUUUUGAAUAUCAUGUAAGAUAAUAAUUUUAACAUUACUAGUAUGUCAGUUUUUUUUUAAUUGUAGAAUGUAUUUAGUGCAAAUAUUUAUUUCAAAUCUCUACAAUAAAUAAAAGAUUAAAAUAAAUAUAAUAAUUUACAUAUCUAAAUUUAUUAAAAUAUUUUAAUAUUGUUAGUCUACUGCAUAUAUCACAAUAUUUAUAUAACAUUUGUAUUUAUUAAAAGCUUUAAAAUCAAUUCUUUUGAGAAUAAUAGAGGUAAAGGGUACAAUGGUCAAAAUGGGGACUUUGUACCCUUUUUUGAAAACUUGAAAGUGUUGGUGGUUAUUUUUCCAAACCUUCAGGGUAUAGAUGUCCUUUUUCCACAAAUAUAUGAGAAAAUUAUCAAGAAAUACAGUAUCUGAACUUUGAAGUAACAAGGAUCACCUUUUAUGAAAUCGAUUGCUUUUCAUGAUAGACUGUUACCAUUUUUCUACAAUAGAUUGAAUUUAGUAAAAAAUUGAUUAAGAUGUCUACUCAUGGAGAGUGAAAUUUAUGUUCAAAACUAAUUUCAACAAGCAUGCACCACCGAACGUGUUUCUCACGGAAAAGUUGCUUGGAUUUUUGGGACUUCCUGUUCAAAUAUUCAACACGGCAUGCACCACGCGAUUGAACAUGCAAAAGUAGGGGUCUAUUUUCAUUUCCAGCAUUAUAGAAAUCUUAAUUUUGUUCAUUAGUUAUUUUGAUCAGCACUGUUGAAUCUCCAUGUAUUGCCAAUCACUAAGAAACAACAUAUUCUUAUUAAUUAUAUCCUCUAAUGGAGAGAACUCAUUGUCUCAGUAAGAUCACUGUGUCAUUAACCCACAGCAUGCUGAUUUGCUUGGUUGCUGCAGCAAGCAAAAAUAUUACCACAGAUCAAAAAUCUCUUCUUGCCCCAAAAGAUCACAUAACUUAUGCUCCAACUAAUCUUUUGACCCAAAAUUGGACCUCAAAUACGUCUGUUUGUACGGGGAUUAGCAUCCCUUGUGAUGUCAAUAGCCAUGAAGUCGCAGCCUUGGAUAUUUCUCAAUUCAAUCUACAAGGCACCAUUAUUCCAAACACAACUGGUAAUUUAAGAAACCUUAAGUGGCUCGGCUUGGCUUAUAAACUACUUGACAUCUUCAACUUCAAAAUUGAGCUUUCUUUCCUCUUUGGCAAAUUGCAAAAAAUUAAGAAUCUUAGGCUUACUGGAAAUCCACUUGACCGUAUCCUCUCAGGUUCAAUAGGUAAUCUUUCUAUGUCUUAGGAAAGAUUUCACAUCGCCAAUUGCAGCAUUAGUGGCAGAAUUCCUCAAGUAAUCAGCAAUUUAAGCAACUUGUUGGCUGGUGUGCAAAAUUUUAAUAUACUCGCAAACGCAGGAAUCUAGAAAUAGAAUAAUGGUAACGAGGUCAAACCCACAUGGAUUGUUAUAAAAUGACAAAAGAAUAGCUGCUGGUCUAGAGGUGGCUUACUACAUUCAUACAAGAUCGUUUCUUGUUCUCCAAGAUGUGCAUUAUACUAAUAAUGCUAUACAAACUUAUAUACUGAUCUUAUCCUCUAGAUCUGUUCAGGCUGAGUGAUCUCUCACAUUUGCCAUAUCAGAAGAUUACAUGCCAGUAAUGUCAUGUGAUGACCUGUUGCUUGGUGAUGUCGAAUGCCUGGCCUUUACUUCUCUGAGCAAAUUGAUCAAACAAUCUGUUCAUUUUAUCGAACACCUUCACCAACUAACAUUUAAUUUACUUUUGAUGGUUUUUAAGUGCAUUUAAUGAUUAUUUUUGCUCCAACUUCAGAUAAACCAAACGCUAGUAUAUUAGAAGAAGAAGUUAACUGGCAGCUAACCAGGUCAAAAUAGCGACUCUAUAUAAAAAAUAUAUAUAUAAAAUAAAAAAUAAAAAAUGGGACUUUAUUUAAUUAAUUGUUGGUCUAAAGCUGUUGGUAUCCGUUGGCCACGUUUCUGAAGAGUCAUCUCAAAUCAAAAUUUUUAACGAACAAAGAACUUUGCUUUUUUCCAUUGUUCACAUUGCUGCUGGCUGCCACCCGUGAGAUAAAAGUGCUACAAUCCAAAAUGUUCCACCAUUAUUUAUUCUAAUUUUAAUUUUCCAAUGGAAAAAAUUACAUAAUUAAAAUGGCUUCUAAUAUCAUUUCCACAUCUCAAUAUGUGUCACUAUCAGAAGGUUGUUUUCAUGAUUCAUUGUAAAUUUGGAUUACAGUACCUGUACUUUCUGAUGGUUCAUUAUUUAUUCUCAGGAAUCGAGUCUCCUUACAUUACCAAACUAAUAACAACCAGCAAUCUUUUAUCCUUUCACGGUGAGAAAUCACAGUCUUCGUAUGAUCGCAGUGCCAUUAACCCACUGCCUGCUUCUUUACUUGGUUGUUGCAGUAGCAGCAGCAAGCAACAUUACCACAGGCCAACAAGCUCUUCUUGCCCUGAAAGCUCAUAUAAGUUAUGAUCCAACUAAUCUUUUGGCUCAAAAUUCGACCUCAAAUACCUCUGUUUGUAACUGGAUAGGCAUUACUUGUAAUGUCAAUAGCCAUAGAGUUACAGCCUUGAAUAUUUCCAGCUUGAAUCUACAAGGUACCAUCCCCCCUCAACUUGGAAACCUUUCUUCACUGACAACACUUAAUCUUAGUCAUAACAAGCUUUCCGGCGACAUUCCCCCCUCCAUCUUCACCAUGCAUAAGCUGAAAUUUCUUGAUUUCAGUGAUAAUCAGCUCUCUGGUUCUUUGUCCUCCGUCACCUUCAACUUGUCUUCAGUAUUAGAUAUUCGUUUGGAUAGUGACAAACUCUCUGGUGAACUCCCAGUAAAUAUUUGCAAUUAUCUUCACUAUUUAAAAGUCCUUUUUUUGGCCAAAAACAUGUUUCACGGUCAAAUACCACUGGCUUUAUCCAAGUGCAAACGGCUACAACUGUUAAAUUUGGGGUUCAAUAAAUUAUCAGGAGCCAUACCGAAAGAAAUCAGCAACUUGACUAUACUUCGAAAGAUAUCUCUCAGAAAUAAUAAACUUCGCGGUAUAAAUGUUUAUAAUAUAUACUUUGUAAAUGCUCUUAUUAAUCAUUCUUAAACUUUCUUAGACACUUUUGUCUAAAUAAAUUUCGUAAGAGAGUUUUUUGCAUCUCUGUUAAUUUUGCAGAUGAGAUACCUCACGAAAUUGGGUAUCUUCCAAAUCUAGAGAAUUUGGUGCUUGGAUUCAACAACCUAGUAGGCGUUGCACCUGCUGCAAUCUUCAACAUGUCAACAGUGAAAGAAAUUUACCGGUUAGAUAACUCUCUCUCGGGAAGUUUUUCAUCAGGAAUAGACCUUUCACUUCCUGAACAGAUUUUCUGGAACCAUUCCUAGUUUCAUCACCAACGCAUCUAAACUUGUAUAUCUAGAUAUGGGAACAAACUCUUUUUCGGGCAUUAUUCCGAACACAAUUGGUAAUAAUCUAAGAAAACUUGACUGGCUCGACUUAACAUACAAUUGCUUGACAUCUUUAACUCUAGAAUUGAGUAGUACUAGGUUGUUAAAUGACGGUAUCUUGUCAUCACAAGGAACACUAGGAAGAUUUUCAUACCAAGAUCUUUUUCGUGCAACAGAUAAAUUUAGUAAAGACAAUCUAAUUGACAUAGGAAGUUUUGGUUCUGUUUAUCGAGGAAGACUUCGUGAUGGAAUUGAGGUUGCAAUAAAAGUGUUUCACCAGAAUUUGUGCAAUGGAAUUGAUGAGUUUUGAGGCUGAAUGUGAAGUGAUGAAAAAUAUUCGUCAUCGAAAUCUUGUCAAAAUAAUCAGUAGUUGUUCGAACGAAGAUUUCAAAGCAUUAGUUCUAUAAUAUAUGCCCAAUGGGAGAUUGGAGGAUUGCUUGCAUUCUACCAAUUGUUCGUUAAAUAUUUUUGGCAGGUUGAACAUAAUGAUAGAUGUUGCAUCGGCUUUGGAAUAUCUCCACUUCAAUCAUUCAACUCCUAUCAUUCAUUGCGAUUUAAAGCCUAGUAAUGUAUUGUUAGAUGAAAAUAUGGUUGCUCAUUUGAGAUUUUGGAAUUGGAAGGCUCUUAACUGGAGACAAAUCAAUGAUACAAACAGAAACACUUGCCACAAUUGGUUAUAUGGCACCAGGUUUGCUCUGAAACAAUUUUUUUUUUUUUUUUUUUGGGUUUUCAUUUACACUUUCCAAAUUAUUAUUUUUCCAUGAUCCUUCUAUCCUAAUGUUGUUGAUUAUUUAUCUAAUGAUAAAAUCAAUUUGGUUGAUAGAAUAUGGCAUAGAAGGACGAGUAUCUACUAGAAGUGAUGUUUAUAGCUAUGGAAUUAUGUUAAUAGAAACAUUUACCAGGAAGAAACCCACAGAUGAAAUGUUUACAACAGAAUUGAGCUUGAAGCUUUGGGUUAACAACUUGCUACCUGCUUCAUUGAUGGAAGUUGUGGACAAAACUUUUUAAGUAGGGAAGAAGAAGAUUUUACUGUGAAGGAGCAGUGUGUGUUAUCAAUCCUGAGUUUAGCUAUGAAGUGUGUGAUGGAAAUGCCAGAAAAAAGGAUCAAUGCAAUAGAUAUUGUAACUAAAAUAUUGAAAAUAAGAGAUGUAUUGAGUAAAUGGUUAGCAAAUUUAGGUUAAUCUCAUUUCUUGGCAUUGAAACUUUAACUUGAAUCAAUAUAUACUUAAUUUGAAUCUUUGUAUGAGUGUAAGAAUAUGAUAUAUUUUCCUUUGAUUUUUUUUUUUGAGACAAACAUCGUAGCUAUCUUGUUUCAAAUUAAUUUUAUGCUUUUUUUUUCUUUUUCUAAGAUCAUGCCUAAGAGCCGUAGGAAGAUCAGCUACAAAUUCAAAGCCGGCUAAGGCAUUUGACAAUGGAGAGAUUGUUAGUUUUUUCUCCAUUGAAAUUAAUAUAUAUCACCUAUCCCAACUAUUUUCAUAAUGUCUAAUAACCUCCUGGCACCAUAAUUUUACCAUAUAACCCUUAUUUUUAAAUGCACUUUUAUUUAUAUUAAUAUUAAUUAAAUAAAUCAUAUGAGUUGGAAUUAAAAUUAAAAAAUUAAAGACCAAGAAUAAGAAAUAUACGUUUUAGUGUGCUUAAAAAAUUAAUAUUAAAAUAUUUUUUUUUUGUACUUUUUAUUGUCCAACCAAUGUUGACAUUUGCCUAUAUCAGGUUUUUUAUGUGUACAGUGCAGGUUCAACUUAAGCCAUUAAUAGAACAACUUGAGAGAGCAAAAGUAUUGCAAGUUCUUGAUUUUGAAAUCUCCAAGCAUAGGAAGCCAAAGCAUCUGCUUCUUCUGGGCAUGCUGCAAUGCUGGUUCUAGUUCGAACGUGACCUCUCAGUCAUCUCAAGAAGGGCUAUUCAUUGGGGACAUCGAGGUAACUUUACCCCACCCGGAGGUUUGAUAAUUCAACUUUUUUAAUAGAUUUGUCUAAUACAUUCAAUUUGAUUUUAUUAUGUACAUGUUUGGUUAAUUACCGUGUUCUGUUAAGUUCAAGUCCAGUUGCAAGUCCCAUUUGGUUUUGCAUUGUGUUCGUUCCGCCACUGAAUCCUUCAUAAAAUAGUUUAAGGUUUGGAAGUUGGUUGGAUAAAUAGUGCUAUAAUGGUAGUUACUUUCUUUUAUUUCGUUUGACUUUUCGCUAGUGUAUCACUCCUAGCAUAUAAUUAAUCAAUUCUUCCAGGCAUACCAUGACUUGAUUGUGAUGCUGUGGAUUAUCUAGGACCAUAAGCAUUUGUGUGUUAAUGUAUUAAACUUUUGCCAUACCUUUAACCAAUCUCAUAUGCAAGUAAAUAUGAUCACUUAGAUCAAAUUUCAGUUUAGACUUGAAUUGAAGUUUUAGUGUCCUGUAUGACUGGUCUUUCUCAAUUUUAUCAAACAUAUGUUUCCUUCUGAAAAUAUUAAAGUGGAUUUGAUAGUUUAAGCAAUUUGUGGUUGGAUUUUGGCAGUUUGAAGUUGUAAUUCUGGUACCAAUCAAGACGAGGAAGUGGAUGCCAAGUGUGAAACAACAAGUGGGCAUCUGAAAGUCACGCCACAUUGGAUGAUCCCACAAAAAAUGAAUCUUACAGAGGAACAACAUGGACAGAUUAAGCAGGAGCUAUAAAUGGAUAAAAUUUGAGCAGCUGGAGGAUCCAUAGAUGCCAAUAAACAACCGGAUUAUUCGAACGGACGUACCUCUAAUGGUCUAUCUGGAAAGUCCAGCGGGCAUGAAGUCUAAACGUGAAGUGGAUGAGGAGGAAGAUGAUACUAAUUCUAGAAACUUCAAGAGCUUUCAUUCUCAUGCUUUAUGAAUUUCUUUCUUGCUUCAGAAUUCAAAUGCAAGCUUUCCCUCUCAGUAUUUCUUCAUUGAGACAUUUUUCUCGAACAGGUUUAUACUUGUGUCAAACAUCUUCUGUUAUAACUAGGAAGCCAGUAAGAUUGUUUUUCAAGUACGUUAAGCGGAAACAAUAGGCAAGGCCUUUUGUCAUUAUAUCUACCACUUGAUUUUUUCUGCCCAAGUACUUACUAUUCAAUUCGUUUGUUCCAAUUUUGUCCCUAAUGAAGUGGUCUUAUAUCCCCACAAACUUUGCUCUUCCAUGAAAGACGAGAUUCUGUGCAAGUGCUAUUGCACUCUUGUUGUCACAUAACAACAGAGGAAUAAUUAAACAUACAUGAAUAUGCACUUUAGUAAGCAAGGAUCUUAACCAGCUGAUCAUUUCUGCUGCUACAUGAGACAGGGCUCUGUCUUAUACUUUUGUACUAGAUUUUGAGACCACCUUUUGCUUCUUGGAGCUACAUGAGAUCAGAUUUCUUGCGGGGUAAAAAAAUUCAUGAAAACCCUCAAGUAUUUAUGACAUUUAUAUAAAAAUAGAGUUUGAUUUUUCUUUCAAGUAUGUUCCUACAUUAAUCUCUACUUAAAAACUGAAAUAUCAUUUAAAAAAAUAAUUAUUCUUCCACCUUUAAAAUUCAAUAUUAAAGAGUAAUUUGUCAUUUUUAAUUAGAGUUAGAGGCUUGUUUUAUUAUGUAUAUAAAAUAUUUCUUAGGUGCAAGAACCCUCAUUUUUUUGUGCGGAUAUACUAUUAAACCAUGCAGUUUAAAAGUUGAUUAAAAUGAAUGGUGUAAUAGUGUGUCCAUAUAAAAAAAAAAAAAACAUAAUAAGGGCAUUGGCAUUAAAGAACAUAUAUAUUAUCCCAAUUAGGGAUCCCUAACCAUAUUAAAGUCAGGGGACAAGUUAAAAACAAAAAACAAAAACUUCAAUGUAUUUUGUCAUAUAAUGUAUUAAAAUCUGUAUUUUCUUUUAUCUUUUAGUUUAUCCCUAUUUUAAUAUGGUUAAAGAUUCGUAAUUGGAAACCCACUCUAAUUAUCUAUGUAUUUCUUAUUUUUAAUACAUUCGCACAAAUAUUUAUAUACAAUAAAUGUAUUACUUAGCCCUGCCUGAUAAAAGAUCCCGGGUCCGGCUCUGAAGGAAGAUGCAAUAUCCUCCUGCUGACGCUUCAUUAACCUUUUUCCUUUCAUUUUAAACUUUCUGAAUUAUUGCCUUUCGUAAUUCUCAUAUCAUGCAUUGAGUAUUUAUCUAACUAUGAAAUUAAUUUGAUUAAUAGAGUAUGGCAUAGAAGGACGGGUAUCUAUUAAAAGUGAUGUCGUUGCGGAAUUGAGCUUGAAGUAAGUUUUGGAUAAAUCUGCCGUAAAGAAGCAAUGUGUGCUGUCUAUCUUGAGUUUUGGAUUAAUCUCCUUAUCAUUUGUUAUCUUACUUAAUUAUAGCACUAUAUGAUAUUAUUAUACACUAUUUACAGUUUUCUGUGUUUUUUUUUUUUUUCUAAUUACUAACAUAUGAAACUCUAUUGCCUGGGAAAUUCAAGGAAUUUUGUUUGUGUAUAAUUAAUCAUUUCUUUUUUGGGAUUAAUUUAUAAUUAAUUUUGCAGAUACCAAGUAUCUAGAAAGAGCAGGACCCAGCAAGACCGGGUAAUAGAUAUAUAGAGAGAGACUUUGCAAUUGGUAAAUAUUAAGAGUGGCAGCAAUUAAAGUUGAUUAAUAUGCUAGUAUAAUAUUAGUAUUGACAUUAGGCAGAGACGGAGACUUUAGUGAAUAUUAUUGCUAUAUGAGUAAUUUUUGUAUAUGAGCGUGGCUAAUUACAAUUUCCAAAUCUCUGCGGGUUACUGAAAAUUUAAGUGCCUUGCAUAUGACUAUUAACCCAGUUUUUCAUGCUCGCUCGAAGCAUAUUGAAUUAGAUUAUCACUUCAUUUGAGAAAAAGGUUGCUGAUGGUGCCUUGGUUACGAAGUUUGUCCCUUCUUCGUUACAAAUUGCAGAUGUUUUUACUAAGGCUUUGUCAAAAGCCAUGUUCCGCAAUUUCAGAUACAAGCUUGGCGUUCAUCAAAUGUCACUUGCCAGCUUGAGGGGGGAUGUUAAGCAAGCUGACCAAGAUUACUAAAAGGAAAGUCAUCAACGGUCAAGUCAACAACGGGUUUAUCACUCCACACAACUUGCUCACGUCAAAGCUAUUUGUCAAGGAAUAUCUCCAGCACGAUUUUUGCACUUGAAUGCCAAUAUCAUGUAGGAAUAUUUCAUUCCUAUUUUAUAAAGAUAUUGUGCAAUAGUUUAGGAAGUAUUCACUUAUUUUCCUUUAAUAUUAUUAAGCCUUUUAACGGCUACUUUGUCUUUAUUUUGUAUAAAUAAUUCUGUAAAUUUCAUUAAAAAUAUAGAACAAGAAUUAUACUCUUCAUAGAAUUUCUUUCACUAAAUUCAUCAGCCUCUUGAACCCUCUCCUGAGGGCACCUUCUGUCCUCUGUUUUCUGUUACCAUACACUAACAGACAAAAGCAUUCAGAAUGACAACUGGGACAUAUAUAAGAGUGAAAUAAUUGAAAAAUUAUGCUUUUUUGUUUGUCAUGUUAAAAUCGUAAAGUGCGUAAGUACUAUGAAAGAGAUUAGUUUACGGAAACUGAAGCCAAGGGUUAAAAAAAAAAAAGGUGCAAAGAGAAUAAAGGGCAACGCUUAUGUAAAGAGACAUAAUUGUAUUGGUAGCACAAUGUCACGUUCAUACAGGGAUCAAGCAUAUUAUUUACAGGUGGUAAGGGCUAAGAAUUGAUGUAGCUAGAAUACAAAGGUGAUAAGGUAUGUUGUGCACUAUUUAUUUAUUCUACAAUCAAUCUUGACCAUUGAUGCUUGGAUCUCAAUCUUGUCCAUUGAUCUUCUCUGAUCUCGAAAACUUCAAGACCUUUCAAUCUUAUGCCUUAUUAUUGGUGUCUUCCAUGCUGUAGAUUUCAAAUACAAGGUUUCCCGCCAACUUGCCAAGUAUUUGUCCAUUGGUGCAUUUUAUCAAACAGUUUGAUACUUAUACCAAACGCCUUCUGUUUUAACUCCCCCUCUCAAGCUCAACUAUCUGGGAAGACAUUAAUAAACUUGUUUCUCAAGUAUAUGUAUCUGAAAAUGAAAUUUUAAAAAUUAUAUUCGGACUCUACAUUUUCUAAUGAACAUUGGUUUGGCUUAUAAGCUUAUUAUACUCAGGCUUGGUGGGAUUAUCGGUCGGUAGAUGACCGAGUGUUAGAGCUUUCGAAUUUAUGCCAAUUAAAAAAAAAAAAAAAAGAAUCUACAUAAAGUUUCAACUAGGCUACUACCACAAUAAACAUUUGGAUCAACUAUUAUUGAAACCUUAUUGAGAAGUGGGACAUGUCGCAUACCAAUGCACUGACAUAUCUUCAAAUAGUGGUAACUCCACACAGCAUGGCACAAUAAAUUAAGAGUUAUAUAGAUAAAAUCUUUCACUCUUUGGUAAUCAUCAAUUUCACUAUUAUUCGGUUUAUUAUGUUUGUUUCUUUCAGUAUGUUAAAAGAUUAUGUUGUGAAUUUGUUUUACAGGCUGCCCGUAAGUCUGCGCCCACCACCGGUGGUGUUAAGAAGCCUCAUCGUUACCGUCCUGGAACCGUCGCCCUUCGGUUUGUUCUCUAAUUUAAAUUUCCGUUGUAUAGCUUUAGUUGUUCUUGUCUAAUUUUGUGGGUAAUUUUGUAUAGAGAAAUUCGCAAGUACCAGAAGAGUACCGAACUGCUUAUCAGGAAACUCCCAUUCCAGGGACUUGUUCGUGAAAUUGCUCAGGACUUCAAGGUACCUUGUUAUCGUUUUGGUUGUUAUCUUUGUUAUCUUUAAAUUGGGUUCCCAAGAUUUCUUGAUAGACGGUUAAUGGCUAUUUUGUUGUCUGUUUUGCAGACUGAUCUGCGUUUCCAGAGCCAUGCAGUGCUGGCCCUGCAGGAGGCAGCCGAGGCUUAGGGCAUCUCCAAUGUAGCACUAAACCUAACACCAAAUCAUCUUUUACAUCAUUUUUGGUGUAAAAUGCUUCUCCAAUGUAACACCAAAAUGGUGCAAUGAAUAGUAUUGCACCAAAUAUGGUGCAAUACUAUUCAUUUGCACCAUAUUUGGUGCUAGGAAAAAAAGUCUCAAGUAUCCUUAUUACUUUAUCUUAUUUACAUAUAUGUCAUAUUUUAUAUAAUAUUUUAAGUUAUUAUUAUUAUUGUUAUUUUUUAAUUUCAUUUUUUAAUUUUUGAAUAUUUUAAAUAAAAAAUAUUCAACACAAAAAUUUAUAAUAAAAAUAAAAUGCCAAUAACAUUAAUUACUAGAUUACAUAUUACAAAAUUAAAAAUACAAAAUUAAAUUAACACAAAUUAAAAAAGCUACUACUACUAGCAUAAAUUAAAACAAUUAUUUAGUAAUGUGGGAGAUCAUUAUUAGAUUCUCCAAUAUCAUCAAAAUAUUUUUCUAUAUUAAUGUAAUGUUUAAUUUUCAUAAUGCACUUAUUAUUGUUAUUGUAUUUUUCUAUAUUAAUGUAAUGUUUAAUUUUUAUAAUGUACUAAUUUAGUUAAUUAAAUGCAAUAUUUAUUAAUUUUCUAUUUUUUUGUUAAUCGAUAUAAAAUUACUUAUUACUUAAUUAUCUAUAUUAAUAGUAAUAUUUAUUGUGUUAAUUGAAUUAAUUCUUGAGAAUUAAAAGAAUAAAAAGAAAAAUAUUCUUUUUGAUGUAAAAUUUGGUGUAAAUGGGUUGGAGAUGAAAUAAUAAUUUAGUGUGAAAAAGGUUCAUUUUUAGUGUUGGUGUUACACCAAAAUGAUGUUAUGCAUUGGAGAUGGCCUUACCUCGUCGGUCACUUUGAGGACACCAAUUGAAUGACUGGAAAGGGAAGGGGGAAGUUGUAAUGUGUUAAUUUGUAUGUGGGGUUCGUGGGGACGACGUCGCUUUUUCUUAGAUAUUUUUUUUCUUUUUCCUCCCUUAAAAACAGUGAAAUUACUUAUACUGGUUUUUCUAUUUUACAUUUUGAAUAUUAUUAAUUAAUAUAAUUUAAGAUAACAAUCAGGGAUAAAACAAUCAUUUUUUAUUCAAGAUCAUUUUAUCAAUAUUCUGUUAAAUAUUCUCACAAUUUAACUUUAUCCUUAACAAAAAUUUAACUUUUUUUUUUAAACUAACGGAACCAAAUUCUAUAUAUAAAUGUAUAGUACGCAUUAAUAAAUAAAUAAAACUUUGACGACCGGAGGGAAUGAAUAAAUAAAUAGAUAAAACUUUCGAAGCUCGUGAAUGUGCUAUUUUGGUUUUUUUUUUUUAGUAAUUGUUUAAUUGAAAAAAGAAAGCUUCGGGAUUUAUUUUUGACGGGACGGCUGAGAUUUGUUGACCUUCUAGAGAAUGAGAACAGAUUUUCAAUUUGUUGAUUAGUAUUCCUACAGUCCAGCCCAAAAGUACCGGCUCAAUGAGUUCGGUCAUGUUUGGUAACAGGUAUCCAUCACUUUCAAAAUCCGGUCCUACCAACGUAUCGGCUUUUACUGGCUGUCGUAUCAUCCGUGAAUGCAUGGGAGAGUGAGACUACUCCAAUCUCCACGACAGAAAUUUUAGAAUAUAUCUAUUGUAUUAUAAUUAAUUGAUACAUAUAUGACAUGUAUAAUUGAGUAUAAUAUAACCACUAUUUAUAUAAUAAUUUAUAAAAUAAAUGCACACAUAUUAUGACAUUAUUUACUUGUUAUAUGGAUAAUAAAUGCACACAUGUCAUCAGUCUUUGGUAAACAAAUUCACAAUAUAUAUUAAUCUUUGUGGAAGCUAUGUCCAAAAAAUAAAUAUUGUAAAAAAAUUUUAAUUAAUAAUUUUUUGGACAUUAAUAAAAAAAAUUAAUAUAUUAACUCCUCAUGGAGUAUUCAAAACAAUUGAUAUAAAUUUUGUUGUUUCUAUUUUACUUUUUUGGUUUAAAUUGACAAUUUAAUUUUUCUUUUUAUUAAUGUCCAAUAAAAAAGAAAUAUUAUUGUACGAGUGUAAUACUGUAAAAACAAGUCAAAAAGAAUAAAAAGUAACAAUUAGGGUGUCAAUACUUAACAACAAAGAUGUUUUGAGAUAUUUUUAAAAAUAUAAGGAUUAAACGAGAUUUUACCAUUAUUAAUUAUAGUCAUCUUUUUAUAAAUUACAAUUAGAGGAAGUUGGUUAAUGUUGUUGACACGCACGCACACAUAAAGAUUUAUUGGAAGUGCUUAUGCCGACUCGAAGUUGUUGGGAAUUAAUGCAUGUAUUGAUUUAUUGGGAGUGUUUAAAUGAUUUUGUGAUUUACUUGAUUGAUUGAAUAUUGUUUGAUUGCUUCAUAUCCAUUCUACAAAGUUUAUUUCUUUGUGAAAUUUCAACGACAUAUUUUUAAAAAAUAAUAAUAAUAAGGGUGUUCUAAAUCAUUUUAAAAAAUAUAUGGACUUAUUAGAAUUAAUUACUAGGUAAUUAACUUGAUCUGUACAGGGUGAAACAACAUUUAUCCUAAUUGUAUCAUGACAAAUACUUUUCCGAUUAGAAUUAGGAAACCAUAGGUUUAUUGAAUUAUUUUUUUUUAUUUUCGUUUGGAGAAACGGAUUAGAGAAUUAGAAAACAAUCCUAAUGAUAUAAUUAUCAGGUUUAAAACAGUGCAUAAACAGUGAAAAGCUAAUUAGUCUGUAGAGUAAUUUGCUAAUUGUUAUCUCCUCUCUAUGCGCGCUGAAUAAUUUGUUGCAUGCAAACUUUUUAUUUUAUGCAAAUCGUACUUACUGUAACAUUGGAAUUGAUGUAUAAGCAAAAUUACAAUAAUAUUUAUGUCAAUAAAAAUAGUUUUUUUUUCCUUUUUAAAUAAACACAACGCGAUGUUGCUCUGCUCUACAUUUUUGCUAUCUCUUUAUUCUUUUUUUUUUUUUGGGCUUCUUAAAGCCUCAAACUUUGAUAACCAAAACUUCAUCGACCUAUGAAAAAAUCUGCAGAUUAGUUUUUAUUAUCGGAAUAAUUGUUUGAGAAUACGAAAACAAAAUAUAAAAUAAGAAAAUAGGGGGUUAAAUUAGAGGGGGAAAAAAAGGCAUGUUCUAUCGAUUACUAUAGUUUAAGGGAAAAAAAAUCAAUUGGGGAUUUUUUUUCUUUAAUUUUUGUUUUACUUGAUGGAGAUUUCUCCUUAGUCCUUACAGUUUUAAGUUUGGAUGCCGUAGGGUUAGUAAUUUAGUACUUCCUUUGCAAGCUGAGUGUAAGAAUGAAAAUCUUUAAAGAAAUUAAAAAAGAAAAAAAUAAAAAAAGCAUACCAAUAGGCAAUUAUAAAUAACCAUAAAUAAACAUAAACAAAAUGUUUAUGAAGUAAAUUACACAUGCACAUAUUAUUUUCUUGUUUUAUUUCUUACUUGUCUAUUUUAUUUGCUGCUUGAUAACCCUUAAAUACUAAUCUAGUACUGCUAAUUUCAGACACAAAAUGUUUAACUCUAGGCUGCAGUUUUACUCAAAAUGAUGACCACUGGCUUCGCACCAUUUAACCAGCAUACAUUUCUACAAAGGGAAAAGGACAUUCAACCCCCCAACGUUUAGGAAAAUGGACAAAAAACCCUUCAACGUUUCAAAAAGGACUUAUAACCCUCUUUCUGUUAACAAACACCGUUUGUUUUAACAGUAAAUUUAUUUUUAAUUUUUAAUUACUAUUAUACCCUUAUAAUAAAAAAAUUAAUGUAUUAAUUUGAGAUAUAUCACAAUUAAUAAUUUUUUAAAAGCUUAAAAUUAAGAUACAAUUAUUUUUUUGCCAAAAUUAUUUACUAUAAAUUAUACCUUUCUAACAAUAAUAAUAUCGUUUUGAUUCCUCAAAGAAAAAGAGUUUAAUCAAAUUUCGUUUUAUUAGUAAUAAUCACAUAUGAAAGAUUUUAUCAUUAGAAACGUAUAAUUUAUAGCAAAUAAUUUGGGCAAAAAUGUAAUUGUAUCUCAAUUUUUAGUUUUAAAAAAAUUAUUAAUUGUGACAUGUCUCAAAUCAAUAUAUUAAUUUAUAUUUAUUAUAAGGGUAUAAUAGUAAUUAAAAAUUAAAAAUAAAUUUACUGUUAAAACAAACGGUAUUUAUUAACGGAAAGAGGGUUAUAAGUCCUUUUUAAAAUAUUGAGGGGUUUUUUGUCCCUUUUCCUAAACGUUGGGGGGUUGAACGUCCUUUUCCCUUCUACAAAUUGAACAAGGCUAUUAAUUUUCAUUAUUAUUUUUUAUUUAUUUAUAAAUUACUAUUUUAAUUUUCACUUUUUAUUGGGUUGUUUAACGGAUUAGUGAAGUUGGUGGUCGUGAUGCACUCACAAGGUACAAUUUUAUUUUAUAAUUUCGAAUUUGUAUUUUAAAAUGCAGGAACAUUAUGUAUACAUAAUUAUUGAUUUUCGUAUGUGGAUGUUUUGAAAUAUUGCUAAAAGACCAAACUUUAAUAAACUAUUUUUCAUCUUUUUUUUCCUAAAGUUUGAGUGAUAUCCGCAUUUUAAAUUCAUCUGGAACAAAAGCUAAUGUAUGCACAAAAUUCUUUUAUUUUUUCCGAGAAAAAUGGGUAAGAGAAGAAGAUUUUUCUCUUGAAAAAGAAAAACUAAUACGAUGCAAGCAUAGGAAAGAGGUCAAUGUUUUGGAUUAGAAUUUAGUAUUGAGCUGAAUUUUAUACUAAACUCUUUUAUAGUACUGCGAUUAAUAAACUCAUGAUUUGCUUUUGCUUUUACUUCAAGUGAAAGAAAGAGGAAACCUUUUGUUUUUUGUUUGAUUCUUGACUAUAGAUGUUACCUAUAUAGAGAGUUGAGGUAGCUACCUUAAGUGAUGGUGAUAAAAAGAUUAAGCAGCGCACACAAUCUUACUGUCGUCCAGACCAUCCAGCUGUGAUGACUCUAGUUUUUUGGGUUACAUUAGCUUUAGUGGAAAGGAGGGCCAAUUUAACAAAGACUAGAUUUGGUGGCUUACUAUAAUGCUUAUUCUCAGGGAAUCUAAUGUUAUAAGAUGAUUUAAUGAUCUUCUAUGAUUGUGAGUAGUAUAGUAUAAUUGAAAAGAGCCUGGGCUCCUAUGAUGAAUAUAUAAUAGUAACACAGUACUGUGAUUGAAAAAAACACAGUUACAAUAAACUCUUCAUUUAUUCAUUGCGGAGAUUGAAUGGCAAAGAGAGAAUAAAAUGAAGCAGAGGAAUCUCAUUGCCAGUAAAAUUGAUCCUCUUUAAUGUUAUAUGGCACAGGUGUGUGUACAGCAAGAGCAAGUUACUUGCAGUUUUUAUUGUAAAAUAUACAGGUUAUGACCAUGAUCAUUGUAGUUAGGUUUUGAUGAUUUUAGAUGCUUUUUUUUUAUUUUUUUAAAUUGUGACACCUUUGAUUUAUGGUAGUUUUGCAGAAGAAAAAAAUAUAUAUAAAAAUUAGGAGGGAUGAGUUAACUAACGAUUGCAAUCAUUACAGUAAUGUUGAUGAGUGAUACAUCAUUUGAAAUUUACUUGUCAGUUGCUGAAAUGAUGAAAAAAAACAAUAAACAAUAGCAGUAAUAUUUUUAUGGAAAUUCUUGGUUUUUAUGGAAAUACUCUUGCUGAAAUUCUAAUUUUGACUUUCAACUCUUGGUUUUUAUGGAAAGUAAAAUGACUUGUUUGUUAUAUUCAUACAACCCACUCUACAUAAUGAUUUCAUUUUAAUAAAUGGUUGAUGAUCUCCACAGAAAAACUACUUCAAUUCUUUUUUUUUUUAUUUAACUUUUUGGUUGUUGAAAAUAGCCUUAAUUUUCAAAUCAUUGGAGAAAGAGUAAAGAACAUUUAACAAAUUUAUGUGCCAAAAAUAAAGGAGAAAUUGAAGAGAAAGGGUGCUUGCAGAAGUGGGUGCAAAGAUAAAUCAGUCCAUAAGAAUUAUUGUGGUUAUUAAUUUUUUGGCAAUAUAAAAAUUUUUCAGCAAAUAAAAAUUGAAUUUUCCGAUUUACUAAAAAAUCAAUUAAAAACUUCGGCGAUAGCAUUUUUUAUGGGUGCAUGUACCCUCCCUUUAAAAAAAAAUAAUAAUUAAUACUUAAUAUAGUAUUAAAUACGAAAAUAUCAAUAUUUGACUACACAAAUUUAUAUCAUUAGGUCCUUAAAAUUUAAAAUUGAAGACACAAAAUGAAAUAUAUAUAAAUUUCAUUCUCAUAGGAAAGGAUCCUCUUAUAAUCUUAAAAUAUUUGAGCUUUGAAAGAUUUUUUAAAACAAAUGUACUUUUAUUUUUGUACAAUCAAUAAUUACUUAUUUAUUAUAUUUUUAUUCAUUAACUAUCAAUCAUGUGAGUAUAUCUACUCAGAAAUAUCAUAUCAAGGGAGAAUCUUGAUCCCACGCACACGCAAAUAUGUUAAUUUCUAUACGCUUCACUUACCUGUAGAAUCAAUUAUCUAAAAUGCAAGUUUGUGGCCACAAAAAAAGCCAAAGAAAGAAGAUAAUAACAAUUGACUUGUAUAUUAUACUCAUACAAUCCACUCGACAUAAUGAUAUCAUUUUAAUAAGGCAAUGGCUGAUGAUCUCCAUUGAAAAACUAAUUCAAUUUUUUGCUUCAUUUAACUUGUUGGUUGUUGAAAAUAACCUUAAUUAUCAAAUAAUUGGAGAAAGAGUAAAGAACAUUUAACAAAUUUAUGUGCAAAAAAAAAAAAAAGAAAGGAGAAGUUGAAGAGAAAGGGUGCUUGCAGAAGUGGGUGUCAAAGAAAAAUCAGUCCAUAAUAAUUAUUGCCGUUAUUUUUUGGCAAUAUAAAAUUUUUAUAGCAAGUAAAAAUUAAUUUUUUUCCAAUUUACUAAAAACUUCUGCGACAGCAUUUUUUAUGGGUGCUUAUACCAUCCCUUUAAAAAAAAUAAUAAUAAUUUAAUGCUUAAUAUAGUAUUAAAUACGAAAAUAUCAAUAUUUGACUACUCAAAUUUAUAUCAUUAGGUCCUUAAAAUUUAAAAUUGAAGAUACGAAAGGAAAUAUAUAUAAAUUUCAUUCUCAUGGAAAGGAUUCUCUUAUAAUCUUAUAAUAUUUGAGUUCUGAUUUUUUUUUUAAACAAAUGUAAUUUUAUUUGUGCACAAUCAGUAUUUACUUAUUUAUUAUAUUUUAAUUUAUUAACUAUCAAUCAUGUAAGUAUAUUUAGUCAGAAAAAUUAUAUCAAGAGAGAAUCCUAAUUUCACGCAAACACAAAUAUAAGACAAAUAUGUCAAUUUCUAUACUAUUCACUUCCUGUAGAAUCAAUUAUCUAAAAUGCAAGUUUGUGGCUACAGAAAACUCGCCAAAGAAAGAAGAUAAUAACAAUUGAGCAUUGAUAGCAAAACUAAUGCAUCAUUUUAUUCUUGACUUGAUGAGAUGGUGGCAUUACAAAAAAAACAAGUACCUUAAUUGACGGGCACUGAGUGAUGUGAAUACUACCAGCCAGUUCAUCUCUUCCAGUCUUGCUUAAUCACAAUCACAAACACCACGAGAUCGACAUUUGCAUUAUAUAUAUCUUCAGCAAUCGAAACACCUUGCAUUACCAAAUUAACCAGUAACAAACAAAGCAAUCUUUCAUGGAGAGAAACCUUAGUCUCAGUAUGAUCACUGUGUCAUUAACCCACUGCCUGCUUCUUUGCUUGGUUGUUGCAGCAGCAGCAGCAGCAAGCAACAAUAUUACCACAGACCAACAAGCUCUUCUUGCCCUGAAAGAUCAUAUAACUUAUGAUCCAACCAACCUUUUUGCCCAUAAUUGGACCUCGAAUACCUCUGUUUGUACCUGGAUUGGCAUCACUUGUGAUGUCAAUAGCCAUAGAGUCACAGCCUUAGAUAUUUCUCAAUUCAAUCUACAAGGCACCAUCCCUCCUCAACUCGGAAACCUCUCUUCACUCACAACGCUUAAUCUUAGUCAUAACAGGCUUUCUGGAAACGUUCCCUCCUCCAUCUACACAAUGCAUACGCUAAAAUUUCUUGACUUCACUGAUAACCAGCUCUCUGGUUCAGUGUCUUCCUUCGUCUUCAACAUGUCUUCAAUAGUAGACAUUCGUUUGACCAAUAACAGACUUUCUGGUGAGCUUCCGAAAACUAUUUGCAACUAUCUUCCUCAUUUGAAAGCCCUUUUUUUGGACAAAAACAUGUUUCAUGGCAAAUUUCCUUCUGCUUUAUCAAAGUGCAAACAACUGCAACAAUUAAAUUUGCAGUUCAAUAAUUUAUCCGGUGCAAUACCAAAAGAAAUCGGCAACUUGACUAUGCUCAAAUGGAUAGACCUCGGCUACAACAAACUCCACGGUAUGUCCAUAAUAAUAUGUAAAUAUUUUAAUUUCUCACUUGUUAUUUUUCUUGAAUACUUUAGAUAAGAUUUGUAAGGGAGAUUUUUUUGCAUCUGUGUUAAUUUGCUAGGUGAGAUACCCCACGAAAUCGCUCAUCUUCGAAAUCUAGAGGAUUUAGUGCUUGGAAUGAACAACCUAGUUGGUGUGGUAUCAGCUACAAUCUUCAACAUGUCAACACUGAAGGUAAUUAUUCUCGCAAAUAACUCUCUCUCCGGAAGUCUUCCAUCAAGAAUAGACCUUUCACUUCCAACUAUUGAGCAUCUUAGCUUGGCACUUAAUAGAUUUUCUGGAACCAUUCCUAGUUCCAUCACCAAUGCUUCUAAGCUCACCUUGCUAGAAUUGGGAGGAAACACAUUUUCAGGCUUUAUUCCAAAUACAGUUGGUAAUUUAAGAAACCUUGAGAGACUCGGCUUGGCUAAUAACUCCUUGACAUCUUCCACCUCAAGAUUGAGUUUUCUUUCCUCUUUGGCAAAUUGCAAGAAAUUAAGAUCCUUAAACUUAAAUGGAAAUCCACUUGACGGCUUCCUUCCAAGUUCAAUAGGUAAUCUUUCCAUGUCUUUGAAAAUACUUCUCAUCGCCAAUUGCAGUAUUAUUGGCAACAUUCCUCCAGCAAUUAGCAAUUUAAGCAACUUGUUGGCCUUAGUAUUAGACCGCAAUAAAUUGACUGGACCAAUUCCAAUUACAUUCGGCCGACUGCAGAAACUCCAAGGCUUAUAUCUUGCAUCCAAUAAGUUGGUAGGUUCAUUCCCAGAUGAGCUUUGCCAUCUAGCUAGGCUGGCUGAAUUGGUCUUAUUGGGCAAUAAGCUUUCAGGAUCUAUACCUUCAUGCUUAAGUAACCUCACUUCUCUGAGAUCUCUCUACUUAGGGUCCAAUAGGUUUACUUCUGUUAUUCCCUCAACCUUCUGGAGCCUAAAAGACAUCUUGUUCUUUGACUUUUCAUCAAAUUUCUUUGUUGGUACUCUUUCUUUCGACAUAGGUAAUUUGAAGGUGCUUCUAGGAAUAAAUUUAUCAGAAAAUAACUUAUCGGGUGAUAUCCCAGCCACAAUUGGAGGAUUAAAAAACCUUCAAAUUAUGGACCUAGCAUAUAAUAGAUUGGAAGGGCAAAUUCCUGAAUCAUUUGGUGACUUGACAAGUUUGGAGUUUUUGAAUUUGUCAAAUAAUAAAAUCUCUGGGUCUAUUCCAACAUCCAUGGAGAAACUGUUUUUCCUCCGAGUGUUAAAUCUCUCUUUCAAUAAACUAGAAGGUGAGAUUCCUAGUGGAGGAAUUUUUGCCAACUUCACGGCUGAGUCAUUUAUGGGAAAUGAGUUAUUGUGUGGUUUACCAAAUCUUCAAGUCCAACCAUGCAAAGUUAGCAAGCCGAGGAAAGAACAUAAAUCAAGGAAAAAGAUACUUCUCAUUGUGAUUGUUUUGCCAUUGAUUAUUGCUCUAACAAUAGCAAUCACUCUAGCUCUCAAAUCUAAGCGGAUUGAAUGUGGAAAAAGAAGCACAGUGUUGUCAAAUGAUAGUGUCUUGUCAUCACAAGCAACACUAAGAAGAUUUUCAUACUUAGAACUUUUACGAGCAACAGAUAAUUUUGCUGAAAACAACAUAAUUGGCAGAGGAGGUUUUGGUUCUGUUUAUAGAGCAAGACUUGAAGAUGGGAUGAAGAUUGCAAUAAAAGUGUUUCAUCAGCAAUGUACAAGCGCAUUGAAGAGUUUUGAAGUUGAAUGUGAAGUGUUAAAAAAUAUUCGCCAUCGAAACCUUCUCAAAGUUAUCAGCAGUUGUUCGAACCAUGACUUCAAAGCAUUAGUCCUAGAAUACAUGUCCAACGGGAGCUUGGGGGAUUGGCUGCAUUCGAGCAAUUAUGUGCUGAAUAUAUUUCAGAGGUUGAACAUAAUGAUUGACGUUGCAUCAGCUUUAGAAUAUCUCCACUUCGAUCAUUCAACUCCUAUUAUUCAUUGUGACUUAAAGCCUAGUAAUGUAUUGUUGGACGAAAAUAUGGUUGCUCAUUUGAGUGAUUUUGGCAUAGCAAAGCUUUUAAGUGGAGAGGAUGAGUCUACGAUGCGAACAAAAACCCUUGCCACUAUAGGUUAUAUGGCACCAGGUUUGCUUCGAACAACUUUUUUUUUUUAGUUCAUUUUAAAUUUUGCAACUUAUUGAUUUUUACGAUCCUCACAUCAAAAUGUUAUUGAUUAUUUAUCUAAUUGUGAAAUUAAUUUGAUUCAUAGAGUACGGCAUAGAAGGAGAAGUAUCUACAAAAAGUGAUGUUUACAGCUAUGGGAUUAUGUUGAUGGAAACUUUUACCAAGAAAAAACCCACAGAUGAAAUUUUUGUUGCAGAAUUGAGCUUAAAACGUUGGGUUAAUGACUUGCUUCCUACUUCAUUAGUGGAAGUUGUGGACAAAACUCUGCUAAGUGGAGAGGAAAAACAUUUUGCAUCAAAGGAGCAAUGUCUGUUGUCUAUCUUUAGUUUGGCUCUGGAGUGUACAAUGGAAUCACCGGAAAAGAGGAUCAAUGCAAAAGAUAUUGUUACCAGAUUACUCAAGAUAAGAGACACAUUGAGUAAAAGGAUAGGAAACUUAAGUUAAUUUCGUUUGCUUUCAUUGAUAGUUAAUUCGAAUUCAUGUAAUAAGUGUAAGAAUCUUAUAUCUUUUCCUUUGAUAUAUUUUUUUUCUUGAGAAAACUGUUGUAGUCAUGUUGUUUCCAUGGGUAGAGUUGAUUUAGUUCUUCCAAAAAAUGCUACUGAUGACCUUUGUUUUAUACUUUCUCUUUUUUUGCAUGUGUUUAGGUAGAACAGUGGUUUGGCUGCAGGCUAAGAAGUCUAACUACACUAAAAGAAUAUGAUUUAAUUUAUUAAACAAAACUUCAAGUUCAAGAAAAGUAUUUCACUGCCCCCAAUGCUUUGGACACGUACUGGUAGUUUUGUACGUGUCCUCAACUUUUUUUUGGAGCACAAAAUUCGAGUCCCAUGGAGACUCAAACAUUCCUUUCCCACAUCCCGAGCACGCUAAAUUUAUCAGACUGACAACGGGGACAUAUACAAGAGUGAAAUGUUUAGAGCACGCUAAGUUCGAGUGAAAGAGAUUAAUUUACGGAAACUAAAGCCAAGGGUUCAGAAAAAAGUGCAAAGAGAAUAAAGGACAACACUUUUGUGAAGCGACAUUGUUGUAUUGAUAGCACAAUGUCAUAUUCAUACAGAGAUCUAGAAUAUUAUUUACAGCUGGUAAGGGCUAAGAAUUGAUGUAGCUAGAAUACAAAGACGAUAAGGUAUGUUGUGCACUAUUGUUUUAUUCUACGAUCAAUCUUGACCCUUGAUGCUUGGCUCUCAAUCUUGUCCACUGAUCUUCUUUGAUUUUGGACACUUCAAGACCUUUCAGUAUCAUGCCUUGUUAUUGGUGUCUUCCGUGCUGUGGAAUUCAUGUACAAGCUUUCCCGCCGACUUGCCAAGUAUUCGUUCAUUGAUGCAUUUUUAUCAAACAGCUGGGCUACUUAUACCAAACACCGCCUGGUUUAACUCCCCUUCUCUAGCUCAACUAUCUAGGAAGACAAUUAAUUGAGAUAUGAAUCAGAAAAUUAAAUUUUAAAAAUUAUAUUCGGACUCUACAUUUUGUAAUGAACAUUGGUUUGAAUUGUUAUACAUUUAUGCGUACAUAAUUAAUAACCGAUUCUCAAGUGCGGACAUUCAAGAGCACUGCUUAAAGACCAAAUAUUUUGAUUUACUAUUUUUUGACUUACAAUUUUCUUUUAAGUUUUGAUGACGUCCGCAUUUUAAAAUCCUGUGGAACAAAGGCCUGAGGUGCAUAUAAAAUUCUUUUAUAUAAAAUUUGGGGUUCAAUAAAUUAUCGGGAGCCAUACCGAAAGAAAUCGGCAACUUUAUUAUGCUUCGAACGAUAUCUCUCAGAAAUAAUAAACUUCGCGGUAUAAAUGUUUAUAAUAUAUACUUUGUAAAUGCUCUUAUUAAUCAUUCUUAAACUUUCUUAGAGACUUUUGUCUAAAUAAAUUUCGUAAGAGAGUUUUUUGCAUCUCUGUUAAUUUUGCAGAUGAGAUACCUCACGAAAUUGGGUAUCUUCCAAAUCUAGAGAAUUUGGCGCUUGGAUUCAACAACCUGGUAGGUGUUGCACCUGCUGCAAUCUUCAACAUGUCAACAGUGAAAGAAAUUUACCGGUUAGAUAACUCUCUCUCGGGAAGUUUUUCAUCAGGAAUAGACCUUUCACUUCCUGAACAGAUUUUCUGGAACCAUUCCUAGUUUCAUCACCAACGCAUCUAAACUUGUAUAUCUAGAUAUGGGAACAAACUCUUUUUCGGGCAUUAUUCCGAACACAAUUGGUAAUAAUCUAAGAAACCUUGACUGGCUCGACUUAACAUACAAUUGCUUGACAUCUUUAACUCUAGAAUUGAGCUUUCUUUCCUCUUUGACAAAUUGCAAGAAAUUAAGAUUCUUAGGCUUAACAGGCAAUCAACUUGACGGUGUCCUUCCAACUUCAAUAGGUAAUCUUUCUAUGUCUUUGGAAAACAUUUACAUCUCAAAUUGUAGUAUUGGCGGCAGCAUUCCUCAACUAAUCAGCUAUUUAAGCAAUUUGUUGCUCUUAGAUUUAGAAGGCAAUAAGUUGACUGGAUCAAUUCCAGUCACAUUCGGCCGGUUGCAGAAACUCCAAGGUUUAUAUCUUCCAUUUAACAAGUUAGCAGGAUCAAUCCCAGACCAGCUUUGCCAUUUAGCUAGACUGGAUACAUUAGGUUUGGCUGGUAAUAAGUUUUCUGGAUCAAUCCCUUCAUGUUUAGGUAAUCUCACUUCUCCACGGUUUCCCGACUUAGGGUCCAAUAGGCUUACAUCAGUCUUGCCCUCGACUUUUUGGAAUCUAAAAGACAUUUUGUUCUUUGACCUUUCAUCAAAUUCUUUGGAUGGUCCUCUUUCUUUAGACAUAGGAAAUUUAAAGGUUGUGAUAGGUAUAAAUUUAUCACGAAAUAACUUUUCAGGUGAUAUCCCAAGUACAAUUGGAGGUCUAAAAGACUUACAGAAUAUCUCCUUAGCAUGUAAUGGAUUGGAAGGUCUAAUUCCUGAAUCAUUUGGUUACUUGACAGGUUUGGAAAUUUUAGAUUUGUCAAAUAACAAAAUCUUUGGGUUUAUUCCGAUAUCUUUCGAAAAACUCUUGUACCUCAAAAGCUAAAUUUGUCUUUUAACAAACUAGAAGAAGAGAUUCCUAGGGGAGGACCUUUUGCAAAUUUCACAGCUAAGUCAUUCAUGGGAAAUGAGAAAUUGUGUGGUUUACCAAAUCUCCAAUUCCCAAAAUGCAAGCGUCGGACGCGUUGAAAAUCAAAGAAAAAGAUGCUUCUACUUGUGAUUGUCUUGCCAUUGAGUACUGCUCUAAUAAUCGUAAUCCCUCUAGCUCUCAAAUAUAAAUCGAUAAGAGGUGGAAAGAGUAGUACUAGGUUGUUAAAUGAUGUUAUCUUGUCAUAACAAGGAACACUAAGAAGAUUUUCAUACCAAGAUCUUUUUCGUGCAACAGAUAAAUUUAGUAAAGACAAUCUAAUUGACAUAGGAAGUUUUGGUUCUGUUUAUCGAGGAAGACUUCGUGAUGGAAUUGAGGUUGCAAUAAAAGUGUUUCACCAGAAUUUGUGCAAUGGCAUUGAAGAGUUUUGAGGCUGAAUGUGAAGUGAUGAAAAAUAUUCGCCAUCGAAAUCUUGUCUAAAUAAUCAGUAGUUGUUCGAACGAAGAUUCCAAAGCAUUAGUUCUAUAAUAUAUGCCCAAUGGGAGAUUGGAGGAUUGCUUGCAUUCUACCAAUUGUUCGUUAAAUAUUUUUGGCAGGUUGAACAUAAUGAUAGAUGUUGCAUCGGCUUUGGAAUAUCUCCACUUCAAUCAUUCAACUCCUAUCAUUCAUUGCGACUUAAAGCCUAGUAAUGUAUUGUUAGAUGAAAGUAUGGUUGCUCAUUUAGUGAUUUUGGAAUUGGAAGGCUCUUAACUGGAGAUCAAUCAAUGACAUAAACAGAAACACUUGCCACAAUUGAUUAUAUGGAACCAGGUUUGCUCUGAAACAAUUUUUUUUUUUUUGAGUUUUCAUUUAGACUUUCCAAAUUAUUAUUUUUUCCAUGAUCCUUCUAUCCUAAUGUUAUUGAUUAAUUAUCUAAUGAUAAAAUCAACUUGGUUGAUAGAAUAUGGCAUAGAAGGACGAGUGUCUACAUGAAGUGAUGUUUAUAGCUAUGGAAUUAUAUUAAUAGAAAUAUUUACCAGGAAGAAACCCACAGAUGAAAUGUUUACUACAGAAUUGAGCUUGAAGCUUUGGGUUAACAACUUACUACCUGCUUCAUUGAUGGAACUUGUGGACAAAACUCUUUUAAGAAGGGAAGAAGAAGAUUUUACUAUGAAGGAGCAGAGUGUGUUAUCAAUCCUGAGUUUAGCUUUGAAGUGUGUGAUGGAAAUGCCAGAAAAAAAGAUCAAUGCAAUAGAUAUUGUAACUAAACUAUUGAAACUAAGAGACAUACUGAGCAAAGGUUAGCAAAUUUAGAUUAACCUCAUUUCUUGGCAUUGAUAUUUUAACUUGAAUCAAUAUAUACUUAAUUUGAAUCGAUGUAUGAGUGUAAGAAUAUGAUAUAUUUUCCUUUGAUUUGUUUUUUCUUGAGAGAAAUAUCGUAGCUAUCUUGUUUCAAAUUAAUUUUAUGCAUUUUUUUUCUUUUUCUAAGAUCAUGCCUAAGAGCCGUAGGAAGAUCAGCUAAAAAUUCAAAGCCGGCUAAGGCAUUGGAAGAUGGAGAGAUUGUUAGUUUUUUCCCUAUUGAAAUUAAUAUAUAUCACCUAUCCCAACUAUUUUCAUAAUGUGUGAUAACCUCCUGCCACUAUAAUUUUACCAUAUAAUCCUUAUUUUUAAAUACACUUUUAUUCAUAUUAAUAUUAAUUAAAUAAAUCAUAUGAGUUGAAAUUAAAAUUAAAAAAUUAAAUGCCAAAAAUAAGAAAUAUACGUUUUAGUGUGAUAAAAAAAAUAAUAUUAAAAUAUUUUUCUUGUACUUUUUAUUAUACAACCAAUGUUAAGUUCAAGUCCAGUUGCAAGUCCCAUUUGGUCAUGCAUUGUGUUCGUUUCGCUACUGAAUCCUUCAUAAAAUAGUUUAAGGUUUGGAAGUUGGUUGGAUAAAUAGUGCCAUAAUGGUAGUUACUUUUUUUUAUUUCGUAUGACUUUUCGCUAGUGUAUCACUCCUAGCAUAUAAUUAAUCAAUUCUUCCAGGCAUACCAUGACUUGAUUGUGAUGCUGUGGAUUAUCUAGGAAGCAUUUGUGUGUUAAUGUAUUAAACUUUUGUCAUACUGUAUGACUGGUCUUUCUCAGUUUUAUCAAACAUAUGUUCCUUCUGAAAAUAUUAAAGUGGAUUUGAUAGUUUAAGCAAUUUGUGGUUGGAUUUUGGCAGUUUGAAGUUGUAAUUCUGGUACCAAUCAAGACAAGGAAGUGGAUGCCAAGUGUCAAACAACAAGUGGGCAUCUGAAAGUCACGCCACAUUGGAUGAUCCCACAAAAAAUGAACCUUACAGAGGAACAACAUGGACAGAUUGAGCAGGAGCUAUAAAUGGAUAAAAUUUGAGCAGCUGGAGGAUCCAUAGGUGACAAGAAACAACCGGAUUAUUCGAACGGACGUACCUCUAAUGGUCUAUCUGGAAAGUCCAGCGGGUAUGAAGUCUAUACGUGAAGUGGAUGAGGAGGAAGAUGAUACUAAUUCUAGAAACUUCAAGAGCUUUCAUUCUCAUGCUUUAUGAAUUUCUUUCUUGCUUCAGAAUUCAAAUGCAAGCUUUCCCUCUCAGUAUUUCUUCAUUGAGACAUUCUUCUCGAACAGGUUUAUACUUAUGUCAAACAUCUUCUGUUAUAACUAGGAAGCCAGUAAGAUUGUUUUUCAAGUACGUUAAGCGGAAACAAUAGGCAAGGCCUUUUGUCAUUAUAUCUGCCACUUGAUUUUUUCUGCGCAAGUACUUCUUAUUCAAUUCGUUUGUUCCAAUUUUGUCCCUAAUGAAGUGGUCUUAUAUCCCCACACACUUUGCUCUUCCAUGAAAGACUAGAUUCUGUGCAAGUGCUAUUGCACUCUUGUUGUCACAUCACAACAGAGGAAUAAUUAAACAUACAUGAAUAUGCACUUUAGUAAGCAAGGAUCUUAACCAGCUGAUCAUUUCUGCUGCUACAUGAGACAGGGCUCUGUAUUAUACUUUUGUACUAGAUUUUGAGACCACCUUUUGCUUCUUGGAGCUACAUGAGAUCAGAUUUCUUGCGGGGUAAAAAAAUUCAUGAAAACCCUCAAGUAUUUAUGACAUUUAUAUAAAAAUAGAGUUUGAUUUUUCUUUCAAGUAUGUUCCUACAUUAAUAUCUACUUAAAAACUGAAAAUAUCAUUUAAAAAAAUAAUUAUUACUCCACCUUUAAAAUUCAAUAUUAAAGAGUAAUUUGUCAUUUUUAAUUAGAGUUAGAGGCUUGUUUUAUUAUAUAUAUAAAAUCAUUCUUAGGUGCAAGAACCAUCAUUUUUUUGUGCGGAUACAGUAUUAAACCAUGCAGUUUAAAAGUUGAUAAAAUGAAUGGUUUAAUAGUGUGUCCAUAUAAAAAAAAAAAACAUAAUAAGGGCAUUGGCAUUAAAGAACAUAUAUAUUAUCCCAAUUAGGGAUCCCUAAUCAUACUAAAGUCAGGGGACAAUUUAAAAAAUAAAAAAACAAAAACUUCAAUACAGUAUAUUUUGUUAUAUAGUAUAUUGAAAUAUGUAUUUUCUUUUGUCUUUUAGUUUAUCCCUAUUUUAAUAUGGUUAAAGAUUUGUAAUUAGAAACUCACUCUAAUUAUCUAUGUAUUUACUAUUUUUAAUACAUUCACACAAAUAUUUAUAUACAAUAAAUGUAUUACUUAGCCCUGCCUGAUAAAAGAUCCCGGGUCCGGCUCUGAAGGAAGAUGCAAUAUCCCCCUGCUGACGCUUCAUUAACUUUUUCCUUUCAUUUUAAACUUUCUGAAUUAUUGCCUUUCGUAAUUCUCAUAUCAUGCAUUGAGUAUUUACCUAUAUGAAAUUAAUUAUUGAUUAAUAGAGUAUGGCAUAGAAGGGCGGGUAUCUAUUAAAAGUGAUGUUUACAGCUAUGGAAUUAUGCUAAUGGAAACAUUUACCAAGAAGAAACCCACAGAUGUUGUCGCGGAAUUGAGCUUGAAGUGUUGGAUUAAUGACUUGUUACCUAUUUCAUUGAUGGAAUUGUUGUGGACAUAAAUCUGCUAAGUGGAGAGGAAAGACAUUUUUGCCGUAAAGAAGCAAUGUGUGCUGUCUAUCUUGAGUUUGGCUUUGGAGUGUACCAUGGAAUCACCCGAAUAGAGGAUCGAUGCAAAAGAUAUUGUUACUAGACUUUUGAAGAUAAGAGAUAAGUUGACUAAAAGUUAAGCAAAUUUAAAUUAACUUCUUCUCUUUUCUUUUCUUUUCUUUUCAUUGUAAUGAACUUUAAUCCAUGUUAUGAGAAGACUCUUACAGCAAGAAGUGUAAGAACAUUGAAUAUUUUCCUCAGAUAUUUUGUUGAGAAAACUAUUGUAGCCAUCUUUUUCCCAUGGGAGCUGCAAUGAGCAGACUCUUCAACAAUGUGCAAUAUUAUACAGUAUAUUCAAAGACACACUAUCACACUAAAAAAUCUUGAGUUGACUCCUUAAUUUAUUUCAUCAAUCCCCACUUUUGAGUUAAUAUUAUUUAUCUUAGGAUUGUCCUUAUUGAAAAAUAAAAAUAAUUAAAAAAAUAAAUAUUUUUUCAUUCUCUCAAGCUCUUAGUAGAUUAAAUUCUUAUCUCUCACAACUCUCUCAUCGUUUUAAUUUAUUCAUAAUUUGAAUCAAAUAUUAACUCUUGAUCAAACCCCAAAUUAAAAUAAACAAAAUAUUAGAUUAUCACACAAAAUCAAAACCAGUAUUAUCAAUAACAACAAAAAUUACCGCUCAUCCAUUAAAUUUAACAAAAACCAACAUUUAAAUUCAUCAAAUAUUGGUGGAGGUAGUGGAUUCAUGGUGAAGAAAAUAGAUGAUGGGAAUGAACUCGUUGUUGAUGAAGUGGUGGGGGUGAUAAUUAUAUACGAGGGAGGGGAAGGUAGAGACAGAAUAAAAAUAAUAUUUUUUUUGUUUCAAUAAAGAUAAUUCUACAAAAUAAUAAGAUUAAUUGAUAAGCGGGGUUGAUGAGAUAAUUUGAGGGGUUCAAAUAUCAUUACUCAUAUCCGUUUACAUGAAGCUAAUUAAAAAUAGUGAAGUAAUUAAAUACGCUAAUCAUACACAGCUGCAAUGUAUUAAAACAGCCUAAUGAGCUUAGCCUCAAAUUGACCCUCACCGUUGAUCUGCCAUUCCUAUCGUCACUACUUGCCACCUCGCAUUGUAUCAAUAUCUCUUCGUAACACAUAAACAGAAUCAAUUCUUGUACCAAAUUACCAAAUUACCACAAAACUGUUAGAGAGUCGGUGUGAUUUACUCACUGUUAAAUAAUAAAGAGAGUAAAUUUUAUUUUUAUUUUUUUUAAAUUUGAAUCUACCCGCCACUUCCAAAACAGAGAAAGCGUCGUCGUUUUACGAUGGCUCCAUCAUCAUUUCCAUCUCCUCUCGAACGCACUGUCGCUUCAGCUCUUCUCCUUCUCUCCGUCUCCGACAAACCUCCCUCUCUCACUUCUCCACUGUAAGAUCUUCAUUAUUUCACUCUUAAAACUGUUUUUGUUUCUUAUUUGUUUUUCCUUAUUGAUUUGUUUGAUGUUUGUUUAAUGCUGCUGAAGAGCAAGAGCAGCAGCCGGGACGAAGAGAGCGUGAGCUUACUGUCGAGUGGAGAUUCAAAACGGUGCGUUUCAACGGUUACUAGUGAAUAUGCCUCCUCCAGUGAGAUCCGAGCUCAUAAGCUGAGGAUCAUCGCUGUUGUGGCUCGCUGUCAUGAAGUGAAACUCAAGGUACAUAUUCUUCUGUUUGGUUUAAUAUAUAUGAUUAUGUAAAUGGUUUCGUAGUUCUUAGUUUGAAUUUGAUCUGAAGUUGUUUGUUUGAUAAUAAAAUGAAAUCACAUCUCUGUUUUCUACUUCGUAAACAGUCAUCUCUUCGGAAUCAAUUUUUUGUGUUGUUCAUGUUGAAUUUUAUCAAAAGUGAUCAUUAAAACUUGUUUUUCUCAAAUUUAUGUUUGAUCUCUCAGUUUUUUUUUUCUCGACUCUUCAAUUCAAUUUCACUGGAAAUUUACUAGAAGAUUCAAAUUCUGUUCUGCUUGGACCUGUUUCGUUUUGAAUUCUCGUAAUCAUUUGAAGGCUCAAGCAACUUAAAUUUUGUUAAAACAUUUUAAUUAGCUUCGAUAAAUUUGUAAUUCACUUGCUCAUAGAUGUGAUCUCUCCGUUUCACCUCAAUUUUGCGCAUUGUUUGCUCAUAAUCUUUGUUUUUAACUUGAUUUUAAAAAAUGAUUUUAAGAUUUUAUUUUCAAUUUUUAGCUCUUUCAUCCUGUUAUCAUUUAUUUUUCUAUAAUUAAUUUCAUUUCUCUUAGUCUGAAUAUGAAUUUAAAUUGUUUUCUUUUAGUUCUGUUCUGAGACUUUGCAAUUGGUAAAUAUUAAGAGUGGCAGCAAUUAAAGUUGAUUAAUAUGCUAGUAUAAUAUUAGUAUUGACAUUAGGCAGAGACGGAGACUUUAGUGAAUAUUAUUGCUAUAUGAGUAAUUUUUGUAUAUGAGCGUGGCGUAGGCCUACGUAGUUAAUUACAAUUUCCAAAUCUCUGCGGGUUACUGAAAAUUUAAGUGCCUUGCAUAUGACUAUUAACCCAGUUUUUCAUGCUCGCUCGAAGCAUAUUGAAUUAGAUUAUCACUUCAUUCGAGAAAAGGUUGCUGAUGGUGCCUUGGUUACGAAGUUUGUCCCUUCUUCGUUACAAAUUGCAGAUGUUUUUACUAGGGCUUUGUCAAAAGCCAUGUUCCGCAAUUUCAGAUACAAGCUUGGCGUUCAUCAAAUGUCACUUGCCAGCUUGAGGGGGUAUGUUAAGCAAGCUGACCAAGAUUACCAAAAGGAAAGUCAUCAACGGUCAAGUCAACAACGGGUUUAUCACUCCACACAACUUGCUCACGUCAAAGCUAUUUGUCAAGGAAUAUCUCCAGCACGAUUUUUGCACUUGAAUGCCAAUAUCAUGUAGGAAUAUUUCAUUCCUAUUUUAUAAAGAUAUUGUGCAAUAGUUUAGGAAGUAUUCACUUAUUUUCCUUUAAUAUUAUUAAGCCUUUUAACGGCUACUUUGUCUUUAUUUUGUAUAAAUAAAUCUGUAAAUUUCAUUAAAAAUAUAGAACAAGAAUUAUACUCUUCAUAGAAUUUCUUUCACUAAAUUCAUCAGCCUCUUGAACCCUCUCCUGAGGGCGCCUUCUGUCCUCUGUUUUCUGUUACCAUACACUAAUAGACAAAAGCAUUCAGAAUGACAACUGGGACAUAUAUAAGAGUGAAAUAAUUGAAAAAUUAUGCUUUUUUGUUUGUCAUGUUAAAAUCGUAAAGUGCGUAAGUACUAUGAAAGAGAUUAGUUUACGGAAACUGAAGCCAAGGGUUAAAAAAAAAAAGGUGCAAAGAGAAUAAAGGGCAACGCUUAUGUAAAGAGACAUAAUUGUAUUGGUAGCACAAUGUCACGUUCAUACAGGGAUCAAGCAUAUUAUUUACAGGUGGUAAGGGCUAAGAAUUGAUGUAGCUAGAAUACAAAGAUAAUAAGGUAUGUUGUGCACUAUUUAUUUAUUCUACAAUCAAUCUUGACCCUUGAUGCUUGGCUCUCAAUCUUGCCCAUUGAUCUUCUCUGAUCUCUAAAACUUCAAGACCUUUCAAUCUUAUGCCUUAUUAUUGGUGUCUUCCAUGCUGUAGAUUUCAAAUACAAGCUUUCCCGCCAACUUGCCAAGUAUUUGUCCAUUGGUGCAUUUUAUCAAACAGUUUGGAUACUUAUACCAAACGCCUUCUGUUUUAACUCCCCCUCUCAAGCUCAAGCAUCUGGGAAGACAUUAAUAAGCUUGUUUCUCAAGUAUAUGUAUCUGAAAAUUAAAUUUUAUAAAUUAUAUUCGGACUCUACAUUUUCUAAGGAACAUUGGUUUGGCUUAUAAGCUUAUUAUACUCAGGCUUGGUAGGAUUAUCGGUCGGUAGAUGACCGAGUGUUAGAGCUUUCGAAUUUAUGCCAAUUAAAAAAAAAAAAAAAAAGAAUCUACAUAAGUUUUCAACUGGGCUAUUACCACAAUAAACAUUUGGUAAUCAUCAAUUUCACUAUUAUUCGCUUUAUUAUGUUUGUUUCUUUCAGUAUGUUAAAAGAUUAUGUUGUGAAUUUGUUUUACAGGCCGCCCGUAAGUCUGCGCCCACCACCGGUGGUGUUAAGAAGCCUCAUCGUUACCGUCCUGGAACCGUCGCCCUUCGGUUCGUUCUCUAAUUUAAAUUUCCGUUGUAUAGCUUUAGUUGUGGGUAAUUUUGUAUAGAGAAAUUCGCAAGUACCAGAAGAGUACCGAGCUGCUUAUCAGGAAACUCCCAUUCCAGAGACUUGUUCGUGAAAUUGCUUAGGACUUCAAGGUACCUUGUUAUUGUUUUGGUUGUUAUCUUUGUUAUCUUUAAAUUGGGUUCCCAAGAUUUCUUGAUAGACGGUUAAUGGCUAUUUUGUUGCCUGUUUUGCAGACUGAUCUGCGUUUCCAGAGCCAUGCAGUGCUGGCCCUGCAGGAGGCAGCCGAGGCUUAGGGUAUUUCCAAUGUAGCACUAAACUUAACACCAAAUCACAUUUUACACCAUUUUUGGUGUAAAAUGCUUCUCCAAAUGUAACACCAAAAUGGUGUAAUGAAUAGCAUUGCACCAAAUAUGGUGCAACACUAUUCAUUUGCACCAUAUUUGGUGCUAGGAAAAAAAAUCUCAAAUAUUCUUAUUACUUUAUCUUAUUUAUAUAUAUGUCCUAUUUUAUAUAAUAUUUUAAGUUAUUAUUAUUAUUGUUAUUUUUUAAUUUUUGAAUAUUAUACUAAUAUUUUAAAUAAAAAAUAUUCAACACAAAAAUUUAUAAUAAAAAUAAAAUGCCAAUAACAUUAAUUACUAGAUUACAUAUUACAAAAUUAAAUUAACACAAAUUAAAAAAACUACUACUACUAGCAUAAAUUAGAACAAUUAUUUAGUAAUGUGGGAGAUCAUUAUUAGAUCCUCCAAUAUCAUCAAAAUAUUUUUCUAUAUUAAUGAAUGUUUAAUUUUCAUAAUGCACUUAUUAUUGUUAUUGUAUUUUUCUAUAUUAAUGUAAUGUUUAAUUUUUAUAAUGUACUAAUUUAGUUAAUUAAAUGCAAAUUUAAUAAUUUUCUAUAUUUUUUUUGUUAAUCGAUAUAAAAUUACUUAUUACUUAAUUAUCUAUAUUAAUAGUAAUAUUUAUUGUGUUAAUUGAAUUAAUUCUUGAGAAUUAAAAGAAUAAAAAGAAGAAUAUUCUUUUUGGUGUAAAUGGGUUGGAGAUGAAAUAAUAAUUUAAAGUGAAAAAUGUGUAUUUUUUGUGUUGGUGUUAUACUAAAAUGGUGUUAUGCAUUGGAGAUGGCCUUACCUCGUCGGUCUCUUUGAGGACACUAACCUCUGCGCCAUUCACGCAAAGCGUGUCACUAUUAUGCCCAAGGACAUACAGCUUGCCCAUAGGAUCCGUGGCGAGCGUGCUUAAGCGCAAUUAGAGCUGGCAAAAUGGGUCAUCGGGUCGUGUUCGUGUCGUGUCAAAUUUAGGUCGACCCAAACCCGACCCAUUUAAUAAUCGUGUCAAAAUAUUGAGACCCAACCCCGACACGGAAAAAUAAUCGGGUUACCCAAUAACCCGUUUAAUAUCUAUAUAUUAAAUAAAAGUUACAUCAAAUAUUUACACACUAUCAUACAUACAUAUGUACAUAAAUACAUACAUACAUAAUUUAUCGAUAUUAUAAAAUAUACAUAUCUACCAAUAUAUUAUACAUUUACACUAUUGAGGUUUUAAUUAUAUAUAUAUAAAAUAUUAUAUAUCAAUAUUAUAAAAUAUACAUGUCUAUUAAUUUUUACACAUUUACACUAUUGAAGCUUUAAAUGUAUGUAAAAUUUUAUAAAUAAAACACUGUUUAUAUUCACCAUUUUAAAGAAUAAAAAAAAAGAACAUCUCUAAUAUUUGAGUUUUAAUUAUAACAAUAUGUAAAUUAUUUUAAAAUAGAAAAUAUAAUCGGGUCAUUGAUCGGGUAAAUGGGUCAAGAAUUUUAACCCAAACCUGACACGGAAAAAAAUCGUGUUGACCCGGACCCGACCCAUUUAAUAAUCGUGUUAAAUUUGACGACCCAUACCCAUUUAUUUAUGUCGUGUUCGUAUCGGGUAAUCGGGUCGUGUCAAAUUUUACCAGCUCUAAGCGCAAUUGCCGCUUGCUUCAAUUGAAUGACUGGAAAGGGAAGGGGGAAGUUGUAAUGUGUUAAUUUGUAUGUGGGGUUGGUGGGGACGGCGUCGCUUUUUCUUAGACCUUUUUUUUUCUUUUUCCUCCCUUAAAAACAGUGAAAUUACUUAUACUGGUUUUUCUAUUUUACAUUUUGAAUAUUAUUAAUUAAUAUAAUUUAAGAUAACAAUCAGGGAUAAAACAAUCAUUUUUUAUUCAAGAUCAUUUUAUCAAUAUUCUGUUAAAUAUUCUCACAAUUUAACUUUAUCCUUAACAAAAAUUUAACUUUUUUUUUUUAAAACUAACGGAACCAAAUCCUAUAUAUAAAUGUAUAGUAUGCAUUAAUAAAUAAAUAAAACUUUGACGACCGGAGGGAAUGAAUAAAUAAAUAGAUAAAACUUUCGAAGCUCGUGAAUGUGCUAUUUUUGUUUUUUUUAGUAAUUGUUUAAUUGAAAAAAGAAAGCUUCGGGAUUUAUUUUUGACGGGACGGCUGAGAUUUGUUGACCUUCUAGAGAAUGAGAACAGAUUUUCAAUUUGUUGAUAAGUAUUCCUACAGUCCAGCCCAAAAGUACCGGCUCAAUGAGUUCGGUCAUGUUUGGUAACAGGUAUCCAUCACUUUCAAAAUCCGGUCCUACCAACGUAUCGGCUUUCACUGGCUGUCGUAUCAUCCGUGAAAGCAUGGGAGAGUGAGGCUACUCCAAUCUCUACUAGAGAAAUUUUAGAAUAUAUCUGUUGUAUUAUAAUUAAUUGAUGCAUGUAUGAUAUGUGUAAUUGAGUUUAAUACAAUCACCAUUUGUAUAAUAAUUUACAAAAUAAAUGCACACAUAUCAUGACAUUAUUUACUUAUUGUACGAAUAAUAAAUGCACACAUGUCAUCAUUCUUUGGUAAACAAAUUCACAAUAUAUAUUAAUCUUUGUGGAAGUUAUGUCCAAAAAAUAAAUAUUGUAAAAAAAUUUUAAUUACUAAUUUGUUGGACAUUAAUAAAAAAAUUUAAUAUAUUAACUCCUCAUGGAGUAUUAAAAACAAUUAAUAUAAAUUUUUUUGUUUCUAAUUUACUUUUUCAGUUUAAAUUGAUAAUUUAAUUUUUCUUUUUAUUAAUGUCUAAUAAAAAAGAAAUAUUAUUGUACGAGUGUAAUAUUGUAAAAACAAGUCAAAAAGAACAAAAAGUAACAAUAAGGGUGUCAAUAUUUAAUGACAAUGAUAUUUUGAGAUAUUUUUUAAAAUAUAGGGAUUAAAUAUGUAUUAAUCUCAAAAUAUAGGGAUUAAACGAGAUUUUACCAUUAUUAAUUGUAGUCAUCUUUUUAUAAAUUACAAUUGGAGGAAGUUGGUUAAUGUUGUUGACACGCACGCACACACGCACACACGCACACAUAAAGAUUUAUUGGAAGUGCUUAUGCCGACUCGAAGUUGUGGGAAUUAAUGCAUGUAUUGAUUUAUUGGGAGUGUUUAAAUGAUUUUGUGAUUUACUUGAUUGAUUGAAUAUUGUUUGAUUGCUUCAUAUCCAUUCUACAAAGUUUAUUUCUUUGUGAAAUUUCAACGACAUAUUUUUUUUAAAAAAAAAUAAUAAGGGUGUUAUAAAUAAUUUUAAAAAAUAUAUGGACUAAUUAGAACUAAUUACUAGGUAAUUAACUUGAUCUGUACAGGGUGAAACAACAUUUAUCCUAAUUGUAUCAUGACAAAUACUUUUCCGAUUAGAAUUAGGAAACCAUAGGUUUAUUGAAUUUUUUUUUUCCUCUGGAGAAACGGAUUAGAGAAUUAGAAAGCAAUCCUAAUGAUAUAAUUAUCAGGUUUAAAACAGUGCAUAAACAGUGAAAAGCUAAUUAGUCUGUAGAGUAAUUUGCUAAUUGUUACCUCCUCUCUAUGCGCGCUGAAUAAUUUGUUGCAUGCAAACUUUUUAUUUUAUACAAAUCAUACGUACUGUAACAUUGGAAUUGAUGUAUAAGCAAAAAUACAAGAAUAUUUAUGUCAAUAAAAAUAGUUUUUUCGUUCCUUUUUAAAUAAACACAACGCGAUGUUGCUCUGCUCUACAUUUUUGCUAUCAUUUUAUUCUUUUUUUUUUUUUUUGUGGGCUUCUUAAAGCCUCAAACUUUGAUAACCAAAACUUCAUCGACCUAUGAAAAAAUCUGCAGAUUAGUUUUCAUUAUCGGAAUAAUUGUUUGAGAAUACGAAAACAAAAUAUAAAAUAAGAAAAUAGGGGGUUAAAUUUGGGGAAAACAAAAAAAACCAAUUGGGAAUUUUUUUUCUUUAAUUUUUGUUUUACUUGAUUGAGAUUUCUCCUUAGUCCUUACAGUUUUAAGUUUGGAUGCCGUAGGGUUAGUAAUUUAGUACUUCCUUUGCAAGCUGAGUGCGAGAACGAAAAUCUUUAAAGAAAUUAAAAAAGAGUAAAAAAAAGCAUACCAAUAGGUAAUUAUAAAUAACCAUAAAUAAACAUAAACAAAAUGUUUAUGAAGUAAAUUACAAAUGCACAUAUUAUUUUUUUGUUUUAUUUCUUACUUGUCUAUUUUAUUUGCUGCUUGAUAACCCGUAAAUACUAAUCUAGUACUGCUAAUUUCAGACACAAAAUGUUUAACUCUAGGCUGUAGUUUUACUCAAAAUGAUGACCACUGGCUUCGCACCAUUUAACCAGCAUACAUUUCUACAAAUUGAACAAGGCUAUUGAUUUUCAUUAUUAUUUUUUAUUUAUUUAUAAAUUACUAUUUUAAUUUUCACUUUUUAUUGGGUUGUUUAACGGAUUAGUGAAGUUGGUGGUCGUGAUGCACUCACAAGGUACAAUUUUAUUUUAUAAUUUCAAAUUUGUAUUUUAAAAUGCAGGUACAUUAUGUAUACAUAAUUAUUGAUUUUCGUAUGUGGGUGUUUUGAAAUAUUGCUAAAAGACCAAACUUUAAUAAACUAUUUUUCAUCUUUUUUUUUUCCUUUUUUCCUAGAGUUUGAGUGAUAUCCUCAUUUUAAAUUCAUGUGGAACAAAAGCUAAUGUAUGCACAAAAUUCUUUUAUUUUUUCCUAGAAAAAUGGGUAAGAGAAGAAGAUUUUUCUCUUGAAAAAGAAAAACUAAUACGAUGCAAGCAUAGGAAAGAGGUCAGUGUUUUGGAUUAGAAUUUAGUAUUGAGCUGAAUUUUAUACUAAACUCUUUUAUGGUACUGCGAUUAAUAAACUCAUGAUUUGCUUUUGCUUUUACUUCAAGUGAAAGAAAGAGGAAACCUUUUGUUUUUUGUUUGAUUCUUGACUAUAAAAAGAUUAACCAGCGCACACAAUCUUACUGUAGUCCAGACCAUCCAGCUGUGAUGACUCUAGUUUUUUGGUUACAUUAGCUUUAGUGGAAAGGAGGGCCAAUUUAACAAAGACUAUAUUUGGUGGCUUACUAUAAUGCUUAUUCUCAGGGAAUCUAAUGUUAUAAGAUGAUUUAAUGAUCUUCUAUGAUUGUGAGUAGUAUAGUAUAAUUGAAAAGAGCCUGGGCUCCUAUGAUGAAUAUAUAAUAGUAACACAGUACUGUGAUUGAAAAAAACAAAGUUACAAUAAACUCUUCAUUUAUUCAUUGUGGAGAUUGAAUGGCAAACAGAGAAUAAAAUGAAGCAGAGGAAUCUCAUUGCCAGUAAAAUUGACCCUCUUUAAUGUUAUAUGGCACAGGUGUGUGUACAGCAAGAGCAAGUUACUUGCAGUUUUUAUUGUAAAAUAUACAGGUUAUGACCAUGAUCAUUGUAAGGUUUUGAUGAUUUUAGAUGCUUUUUUAUUUUUUUAAAUUGUGACACCUUUGAUUUAUGGUAGUUUUGCAGAAGAAAAAAAUAUAUAUAAAAAUUAGGAGGGAUGAGUUAACUAACGAUUGCAAUAAUAUUUUUAUGGAAAUUCUUGGUUUUUAUGGAAAUACUCUUGCUGAAAUUCUAAUUUUGACUUUCAACUCUUGGUUUUUAUGGAAAGUAAAAUGACUUAUUUGUUAUAUUCAUACAAUCCACUCUACAUAAUGAUUUCAUUUUAAUAAAUGCUUGAUGAUCUCCACUGAAAAACUACUUCAAUUCUUUUGUUUUAUUUAACUUUUUGGUUGUUGAAAAUAGCCUUAAUUUUCAAAUAAUUGGAGAAAGAGUAAAGAACGUUUAACAAAUUUAUGUGCCAAAAAUAAAGGAGAAAUUGAAGAGAAAGGGUGCUUGCAGAAGUGGGUGCAAAGAUAAAUCAGUCCGUAAGAAUUAUUGUGGUUAUUAAGUUUUUGGCAAUAUAAAAAUUUUUCAGCAAAUAAAAAUUGAUUUUUUCCGAUUUACUAAAAAAUUAAUUAAAAACUUCGGUGAUAGCAUUUUUUAUGGGUGCAUGUACACUCCCUUUAAAAAAAAUAUAAUAAUUAAUACUUAAUAUAGUAUUAAAUACGAAAAUAUCAAUAUUUGACUACACAAAUUUAUAUCAUUAGGUCCUUAAAAUUUAAAAUUGAAGACAAAAAAUGAAAUAUAUAUAAAUUUCAUUCUCACAGGAAAGGAUCCUCUUAUAAUCUUAAAAUAUUUGAGCUUUGAAAGAUUUUUUAAAAUAAAUGUACUUUUAUUUUUGUACAAUCAAUAUUUACUUAUUUAUUAUAUUUUUAUUCAUUAACUAUCAAUCAUGUGAGUAUAUUUACUCAGAAAUAUCAUAUCAAGGAAGAAUCUUGAUCCCACGCACACACAAAUAUGUUAAUUUCUAUACGCUUCACUUACCUGUAGAAUCAAUUAUCUAAAAUGCAAGUUUGUGGCCACAAAAAAAGCCAAAGAAAGAAGAUAAUAACAAUUGACUUGUAUAUUAUACUCAUACAAUCCACUCGACAUAAUGAUAUCAUUUUAAUAAGGCAAUGGCUGAUGAUCUCCAUUGAAAAACUAAUUCAAUUUUUUUGCUUCAUUUAACUUUUUGGUUGUUGAAAAUAACCUUAAUUAUCAAAUAAUUGGAGAAAGAGUAAAGAACAUUUAACAAAUUUAUGUGCAAAAAAAAAAAGGAGAAGUUGAAGAGAAAGGGUGCUUGCAGAAGUGGGUGUCAAAGAAAAAUCUGUCCAUAAGAAUUAUUGCGGUUAUUUUUUGGCAAUAUAAAAUUUUAUAGCAAGUAAAAAUUAAUUUUUUUCCGAUUUACUUAAAAAUUAACUAAAAACUUCUCCGACAGCAUUUUUAUGGGUGCAUAUACCCACCCUUUAAAAAAUAAUAAUAAUUAAUGCUUAAUAUAGUAUUAAAUAUGAAAAUAUCAAUAUUUGACUACUCAAAUUUAUAUCAUUAGGUCCUUAAAAUUUAAAAUUGAAGAUACGAAAGGAAAUAUAUAUAAAUUUCAUUCUCAUGGAAAGGAUUCUCUUAUAAUCUUAUAAUAUUUGAGUUUUGAAAUUUUUUUGAAACAAAUGUAAUUUUAUUUGUGUACAAUCAAUAUUUACUUAUUUAUUAUAUUUUAAUUUAUUAACUAUCAAUCAUGUAAGUAUAUUUAGUCAGAAAAAUUAUAUCAAGAGAGAAUCCUAAUUUCACGCAAACACAAAUACAAGACAAAUAUGUCAAUUUCUAUACUAUUCACUUUCCUGUAGAAUCAAUUAUCUAAAAUGCAAGUUUGUGGCUAUAGAAAACUCGCCAAAGAAAGAAGAUAAUAACAAUUAUGGGAAAUGAGUUAUUGUGUGGUUUACCAAAUCUUCAAGUCCAACCAUGCAAAGUUAGCAAGCCGAGGACAGAACAUAAAUCAAGGAAAAAGAUACUUCUCAUUGUGAUUGUUUUGCCAUUGAGUAUUGCUCUAACGAUAGCAAUCACUCUAGCUCUCAAAUAUAAGCUGAACGAAUGUGGAAAAAGAAGCACAGUGUUAUCAAAUGAUUGUAUCUUGUCAUCACAGGCAACACUAAGAAGGUUUUCAUACUUAGAACUUUUACAAGCAACAGAUAAUUUUACUGAAAACAACAUAAUUGGCAGAGGAGGUUUUGGUUCCGUUUAUGGAGCAAGACUUGAAGAUGGGAUGAAGAUUGCAAUAAAAGUGUUUCACCAGCAAUGUGCAAGCGCAUUGAAGAGUUUUGAGGCUGAAUGUGAAGUGUGAAAAAAUAUUCGCCAUCGAAACCUGAUCAAAGUUAUCAGCAGUUGCUCGAACGAUGAUUUCAAAGCAUUAGUCCUAGAAUACAUGUCCAACGGGAGCUUGGGGGAUUGGCUGCAUUCUAGCAAUUACGUGCUGAAUAUAUUUCAGAGGUUGAACAUAAUGAUUGACGUUGCAUCAGCUUUAGAAUAUCUCCACUUCGAUCAUUUACCUCCUAUUAUUCAUUGUGACUUAAAACCUAGUAAUGUAUUGUUGGAUGAAAAUAUGGUUGCUCAUUUGAGUGAUUUUGGCAUAGCAAAGCUUUUAAGUGGAGAAGAUGAGUCUACGAUGCGAACAAAAACCCUUGCCACUAUAGGUUAUAUGGCACCAGGUUUGCUUUAAACAACUUUUUUUUUAGUUCAUUUUAAAUUUUGCAACUUAUUGAUUUUUACGAUCCUCACAUCAAAAUUUUAUUGAUUAUUUAUCUAAUUGUGAAAUUAAUUUGAUUUAUAGAGUACGGCAUAGAAGGAGAAGUAUCUACAAAAAGUGAUGUUUACAGCUAUGGGAUUAUGUUGAUGGAAACUUUUACCAAGAAAAAACCCACAGAUGAAAUUUUUGUCGGAGAAUUGAGCUUAAAGCGUUGGGUUAAUGACUUGCUUCCUACUUCAUUAGUGGAAGUUGUGGACAAAACUCUGCUAAGUGGAGAGGAAAAACAUUUUUCCGCAAAGGAGCAAUGUCUGUUGUCUAUCUUUAGUUUGGCUCUGGAGUGUACAAUAGAAUCACCGGAAAAGAGGAUUAAUGCAAAAGAUAUUGUUACCAGGUUACUCAAGAUAAGAGACACAUUGAGUAAAAGGAUCAGAAAUUUAAGUUAAUUUCGUUUGCUUUCAUUGAUAGUUAAUCUGAAUUCAUGUAAUAAGUGUAGGAAUCUUAUAUCUUUUCCUUUCAUAUAUUUUUUUUUCUUGAGAAAACUGUUGUAGUCAUCUUGUUUCCAUGGGCAGAGUUGAUUUACUUCUUCCAAGAAAUGCUACUGAUGACCUUUGUUUUAUGGCAAUCCCUAUCUUACGUGCAUGUAAGAUACAUCCCCUUCACAUGAAUAAUGUGUGAGUCCAAUCCCUAUCUUAUAUGCAUGUAAGAUACAUCCCCCUCACAUGAACAGUGCAUGUGUGGGACCCACACACUGUUCAUAUGAGGGAGAUGUAUCUUGCAUGCAUGUAAGAUAGAGGGAUCCUUGUUUUAUACUUUCUCUUUUUUUUGCAUGUGGUUAGGUAGAACAGUGGUUUGGCUGCAGGCUAAGAAGUCUAACUACACUAAAAGAAUAUGAUUUAAUUUAUUAAACAAAACUUCAAGUUCAAGAAAAGUAUUUCACUGCCCCCAAUGCUUUGGACACCUACUGGUAGGUUUGUACGUGUCCUCAACUUUUUUUUAGAGCACAAACUUCGAGUCCCAUGGAGAUUCAAACAUUCCUUUCUCGCAUCCCGAGCACUAAAUGUUUGGAAAUUGGUGGGUGAAGCAGAACCGCAGCUAAUAUGAAAUUGGAAGAAAAUAAAGAACAAGCACAAAAAGAGAAUACCAGAAUUACGUGGUUCGGCUUUUAGCCUACGUCCACGGGUGAAAACAGAAGGAAAUAUUUUACUAGUAAAAAGAAGUUACAAGUAUUGUAGUAUUUUAGCUCACUUCCCAAAAUCCCAAUGCACCCAAACUCUCAAAACACCAAAACAAGAGCUUAUAAUUUCAAGCUCUCUAAACUCUCUCUAAAUACAAGAAAACUCUUCUCAAAAUUGGAUAAGCAAAUGAGGGAAUGAGCCCCUCUAUUUAUAGACAAAAUCUUGGCUACAAUUCACUUUUUUUUUAAAAUUAUUUAUUAUUGUUCAAAAUUUCAACAUUCAAAGUUUGAUAUUCAAACUUUGAAUAUCUAGAAGUUUGAAUUUGAUAUUCAAAGUUCGAACAUCAAGACACCCAAUCUUGACAUUCUCCCACUUGGAGAUUUGAUUGAGAACCAAACAAUCUCCACACCAUUCUUUCUGCUUUGCCAUUGCCAUGUUGCUUACGUUUCUGCUAGGCCAUACGAGGAUCUAUUCCAGACAAACUUGUCAGUAUUGAUUGGCUUGGUCAAAACAUCUGCUAGGUUCUCCUUCGUAUGGAUUUUCUGUAAAUCCACACUUCCGUCUUCUACUACUUCUCGAACGAAGUGAUGUACUCCUAUGUGCUUUGUCCUGGAAUGAAAGGCUGGAUUCCUUACAAUGUGCAAGGCACUCUGACUGUCACAAAACACAGAAAUUUUCUCUUGUUUGUGCCCGAGCUCCUCCAAUAAUCUUUGUAUCCAAAUAGCUUCCUUGCAAGCUUGUGUAGCUGCCAUAUAUUCUGCUUCUGUUGUAGAUAAAGCCACAACAGUCUGUAGUUUCGAAACCCAGCUUACAGCUGCUCCCGCAAGUGUAAACACAUAACCAGUAGUGGAUUUCCUUUUAUCAAGGUCUCCUACAAAAUUUGAAUCCACAUAGCCCCUGACAGUAAACUCUGAUCCUCCAUAACAUAAUACAACAUCUGAGGUUCCUCUGAUGUAUCUCAGAAUCCUCUUCACAGCUAUCCAAUGCUCUCUACCAGGAUUCGCCAUGUAUCGACUGACUGCUCCCAUUGCUUAUGCAAUGUCUGGUCUAGUACAUAUCAUAGUGAACAUCAAACUUCCCACUGCUGAUGUAUACGGUACUCGAGACAUCUCCUUCCUCUCUGCUUCAUUGCUAGGACACAUACUUGAGGAUAAUUUGAAAUUAACAGGAAGUGGGGUAGAAAUUGACUUACAAUCUUGCAUGUUGAAGCGCCGCAAAAUUUUCUUCAAGUAAUUCCUCUGCGAAAGCCAAAUCUUCCUGUUAUUUCUGUCUCGGUGAAUUUGCAUCCCUAGAAUCUCGUUUGCUGGUCCCAAGUCCUUCAUUUCAAACUCCCUAGCCAACUGUGCCUUCAAUUCUUGGAUUCGAUCUUUGUUGAGACCUGCUACCAACAUGUCAUCCACAUACAACAGCAAAAUAAUGAAAUCAUUAUCUUCAAACCUCUUGUAAUAUGCACAAUGGUUUGAACUGAGUCUGUUGUAUCCAAGGCUCAUAAUGAAGGAAUCAAAUCUCUUAUACCAACACAUCGACGCCUGUUUGAGACCGUAUAGAGAUUUAUUCAACUUGCAAACCAAUUUCUCCUUUCCUGUUUCUGUAAAACUUUCUGGUUGGAGCAUAUAUAUUUCUUCUUCAAGUUCUCCAUGAAGAAAUGCAGUUUUCACAUCUAAUUGCUCUAGAUGUAAGUCAAAUGUAGCACACAUCACCAAGACUACUCUGAUUGUUGUGAGUCGAACCACCGGAGAAAAUAUCUCGUUGAAGUCAAUACCUUUUUUCUGAGCAUAUCCUUUCACCACCAAUCUCGCACGAUACUGCUCCACUUGGUUAUUGCCAUCACGUUUGAUCUUGUAGACCCAUUUGUUUCCAAUGGCUUUUCUUCCACGUGGUAGUGGUACAAGUUCUCAUGUCUUGUUCUUGUGUAGAGCUUCAAUUUCUUCCUGCAUUGCUGUCAUCCACAAAAUAACAUCUGAGCUGUUUAAAGCUUCAUGGAAAGUUGAAGGCUCUCCAUCUUCUGUUAGAAGAUAGUAUGCAACAUUGAUCUCUGUGACAUACUCCGAGUGCCACGUUGGCGGUCGUCUCUCACGAGUUGACCGACGAAUUUCUUGAGCCUCGGACUCGACUAGUUCUUGUUCCUCGUGCUCUGGUGCUGCUUCAGAAGAAUUUGAAUCUUCUGAAUUAUUUUUCACAUAUACCGGUACAGUUUCUGGCUUUUCUUUUACAGUGCUAUCAUCCUCAUCUUUCCUUUGCAAUUGAUCUUCUAUAAAAAUAACAUCUAUGCUGAUGACGAUCUUGUGGGCAGUAGGAUCCCACAGACGAUACCCUUUUACUCCAUCAGCAUAUCCCAAGAAGAUACAUCUUCUAGAUUUUGCAUCCAGUUUUGUUUUUUCUUGAGCAUUGUACAUCACGUACACAGGACAUCCAAAUGCAUGUAGGUAGGAAUAAUCAGCUGGCUUUCCAGUCCACAUCUUCAUCGCUGUCUUCAGCCCAAUUACUGUAGAUGGUGAUCGAUUUACUAUAUAACAGGCAGUUUUGGUUGCUUCUACCCAAAAUGAAUUGGGUAGACCAGCAGUCCUCAACAUAGCUCUUAUCCGUUCUGUAAGAGUUCUAUUCAUCCGCUCUGCCACUCUAUUUUGUUGAGAAGUAUAUGCCACCGUGAACUGUCUUUGAAUACCUUCUUGCUUACAAAAAGCAAAAAACUCGCUGUCUAUAUACUCUCUACCAUUAUCUGUCCUCAAGCACUUGAUCUUUUUACCAGAUUCAAGUUCUACUGCGUUUUGUAUUCUUUAAACACUGGAAAUACAUCUGACUUUUUCUUAAUUGGAUACACCCAACAUCUUCGGGAAUAAUUAUCAAUGAAAGUCACCAUGUACUUUGCACCUCCCAUGGAUAUAUCCGGUGAUUCCCAAAUAUCAGAAUGAAUCAAGUCUAUAAUGCAUUUACUUCUAGCAAUAGAUCUACUGAAUUUUAAUUUAUGCUGCUUACUUGUAACACAAUGCUCGCAAAAUGGUAAACUUACCGAUUUGAGCCCCGGAAGCAAUUUUCGCUCAGAGAGAAUCUUCAAUCCUUAUUCUAACAUGUGGCCAAGUUUGAGAUGCCACAUCAUCGUUGACUCUUCUCCAUUUGACGCGACACACGCAUCAGCCUCUUGUAGUGUUUCUCCUUUAAGCAUGAAUAAAUUAGCACCGAUCUUUUCUGCCUUCAUCAAUACAAACGCACCUUUAACGAUCUUCAUAAUUUCAUUCUCCACAUGAGUUUUGUACCCAUGACUAUCCAUUUGUCCCAAAGACAAAAGAUUUUUCUUCAGGCCGUUGACAUGUCGUACCUCCCUAAUUGUGCGAAUUGUACCAUCAAAUAUUUUUAUUUUGAUAGUACCAAUACCAGCGAUCUCCAAGGCAUGAUCAUUACCCAUAUAUACAGAUCCUCCUGAGAUAGGUUCAUAUGUGUGGAACCAUUCUCUCCGAGAGGUCAUGUGCCAGGUAGCUCCUGAGUCUAUAAGCCAGACAUCAGAUAGUCGUUUUCUGCCUUCUGAAACAGUUGUUGUUUCGCUGUAGAGAAUUUCGCCAUCAUCCGAGGUACUUACGACACAACUCUGAGCAUUUGAUGACUCAAGUUCUUUGCCCUCUCUUCUCUUCUGGUUACUCCAACACUCUUUCUUGACGUGCCCUUUCUUGCCACAAUUGUAGCAUUUAACAUUCUUCUUACUUCUAGAUUUUGAUCUACCAUGAUUUUGACUCCCAUUGGGGCCACGUUCCGUUGAUCUCCCUCUCGUCACCGAUAGCGCCUCCGCUUGCUGUGAACUUGCUUGUCUGUUUUCCUUAUUUUUCCGCCUGCUUUCCUCAUUUAAUACGAAGGCUGCAACAUCGUCGAAAACUAGACUGUCCACUGGAUUGUUGUUCGUUAAGUUGAUGAUGAGUUGAUCAUACUAAUCUGGUAGACUUUAAAGUAGAAGCUCUGCACGUUCAUUCUCCUCUAUAUUAUGACCCAACGUUGUAAGUUGUGAAAAUAGAGUCUUCAAUGUGUUGAUGUGGUCGGUCACCAUUAUAGAUUCCGCCAUUUGAAGAGUAUAGAGUUUCCUCUUCAAGAAGAUUUUGUUGUGUAGUGACUUGACCUCGUACAAUUUUGUGAGAGUAUCCCAAAUUUCCUUCGCUGUAUUUUUCUUUGCCACACUGGAUAAUACUCCGUCUGCAAGUGCCAAGUGUAGAUCAGAAAUAGCGUUGCCAUCUAUCUCGUUCCACUUGUCAUCAAUUAUCUCCAUGGGCCUUUCUCCAAUUGCUGCCAAGUAAUUAUUUUUCCUCAAUACAGCUUUCAUCUUCAUUUUCCACAACGAAAAAUUAUUUCCGUUAAAUUUCUCAAUUUCAUACUUUGCUGCCAUUUUGUUGAUAACUAUUGUACACAAACUAGUGUAUCACAUUGAAUAGUUGUGAGUAUGUGUAAAAAUGCACACCAGGAAAGUUUCCAGGAAAGACUGGAGGGGUCACAAUGGUCCCACUUAAAACUCAGACUCCUUAAGCUCUUAUCACCUUUGUGACAGAACUUUCCUAGACAUGUACAAAACCACACAGUUGCUUUACUCACACCACUAUUCCCUGCUUUGCACCGCCAAAUUCUUGGAUCGCUCCUACCGUUUUACGUGAAUAGUACUGUAUACGUGAACAGUACCGUAUACGUGAAUAGUACCCCUUACGUGAACAGUACCCGACUCUAAAAAAUAUAACAAAUAGCUCUGAUACCACUGUUAGGAAAUUGGUGGGUGAAGCAGGACCGCAGCUAAUAUGAAAUUGGAAGAAAAUAAAGAACAAGCACAAAAAGAGGAUACCAGAAAUUACGUGGUUCGGCUUUUAACCUACGUCCACGGGCAAAAAUAGAAGGAAAUAUUUUACUCAUAAAAGGAAGUUACAAGUAUUGUAGUAUUUUAGCUCACUUUCCAAAAUCCCAAUAUACCCAAACUCUCAAAACACUAAAACAAGAGCUUAUAAUUUCAAGCUCUCUAAACUCUCUCUAAAUACAAGAAAACUCUUCUCAAAAUUGGAUAACCAAAUGAGGGAAUGAGCCCCUCUAUUUAUAGCCAAAAUCUUGGCUACUAUUCACUUUUUUUUAAAAAUUAUUUAUUAUUGUUCAAAAUUUCAACAUUCAAAGUUUGAUAUUCAAAGUUUGAAUAUCUAGAAGUUUGAAUUUGAUAUUCAAAGUUUGAAUAUCAAGACACCCAAUCUUAACACUAAAUUCAUCAGACUGACAACUGGGACAUAUAGAAGAGCGAAAUAACUGGGACAUAUACAAGAGUGAAAUGUUUAGAGCACGCUAAGUUCGAGUGAAAGAGAUUAAUUUACGGAAACUAAACCCAAGAGAAUAAAGGACAACACUUAUGUGAAGCGACAUAAUUGUAUUGAUAGCACAAUGUCAAAUUCAUACAGAGAUCUAGUAUACUAUUUACAGCCGGUAAGGGCUAAGAAUUGAUGUAGCUAGAAUACAAAGACGAUAAGGUAUGUUGUGCACUAUUGUUUUAUUCUACGAUCAAUCUUGACCCUUGAUGCUUGGCUCUCAAUCUUGUCCAUUGAUCUUCUUUGAUUUUGGACACUUCAAGACCUUUCAGUAUCAUUCCUUGUUGUUGGUGUCUUCCGUGCUGUAGAAUUCAUAUACAAGCCUUCCCGCCGACUUGCCAAGUAUUCGUUCAUUGAUGCAUUUUUAUCAAACAGCUGGGCUACUUAUGCCAAACACCGCCUGGUUUAACUCCCCCUCUCUAGCUCAACUAUCUGGGAAGACAAUUAAUUGAGAUAUGAAUCAGAAAAUUAAAUUUUAAAAAUUGUAUUCGGACUCUACAUUUUGUAAUGAACAUUGGUUUGACUUGUUAUACAUUUAUGCGUACAUAAUUAAUAACCGAUUCUCAAGUGCGGACAUUCAAGAGCACUGCUUAAAGACCAAAUAUUUUGAUUUACUAUUUUUUGUCUUUCAAUUUUCUUUUAAGUUCUGAUGACGUCCGCAUUUUAAAAUCAUGUGGAACAAAGGCCUGAGGUGCAUAUAAAAUUCUUUUAUUUUUCAGAGGAAAAUGGGUGAGAGAAGAAGAUUUGGCAAAAGAAUUGCAACGGCAUUUGAAACUAGUCUUCGUCUUUUAAUUCUUUUAUAUUUGUUUUUGUUAUUGAUGUUAGCUUGGAUGUGUGCGCGUGUGACUGAAUUCAACUUCUAUUUGUUUUUGUUAUUGUUAUUAAUUUUAUUUGUUUUUGUUAAAUUGGAUCACAAAAAAGGGUGGUCCAUUAUCAAAUCAACACGGUUUAAUUAUUAUUAUUUCUAUGCUUUUUUUAUGAACAAAUAUAAAAUAAAAGGACAUAUACACCCCAAAUUUUAGUGCAAUAGUCAUCAGCAUCCCUAAAUUUUUAAAAAAAGACAUCAAGAUCAUUUUUUGAUCUUAAUACUCUUAUACGGUACCUCUAUUAUUCCUAAAAAUUGACUCUAAUGUUUUAUAAUAAAUAAAAAUAAAAAAUUAAAAUAAAUGUAAUAACAUAUAAUUUUAAAAUAAUUUCAAUAUUUAAAAAAUAUUUUUAACAUUUUACAAUCUAUUAAAUAUAUUUUAUUAUAUUAAAGUAAAUUUUAUAAUAAAUAGAAUCAUAUUAUUAAGAUAAAUGCAUUAAAAUUUAAAUUAUUUUGAAUAUCAUGUAAGAUAAUAAUUUUAACAUUACUAGUAUGUCAGAAUUUUUUUUUUUAGUUGUAGAAUGUAUUUAGUGCAAAUAUUUAUUUCAAAUCUCUACAAUAAAUAAAAGAUUAAAAUAAAUAUAAUAAUUUACAUAUCUAAAUUUAUUAAAAUAUUUUAAUAUUGUUAGUCUACCGCAUAGAUCACAAUAUUUAUAUAACAUUUGUAUUUAUUAAAAACUUUAAAAUCAAUUCUUUUGAAAAUAAUAGAGGUAAAGGGUAUAAUGGUCAAAAGGGGGACUUUGUACCCCUUUCUGAAAAUUUGAGAGUGUUGGUGAUCAUUUCUCCAAACCUUCAGGGUGUAGAUGUCCUUUUCCCAUAAAUAUAUGAGAAAAUUGUCAUACAAUAUCUGAAUUCUGAAGUAACAAGAAUCACCUUUAUGAAAUCAUAUUGCUUUCCAUGAUAGACUGUUACCAUUUUUCUAUAAUAGAUUGAAUUUAGUAAAAAAAUUGAUUAAGAUGUCUACUCAUGGAGAGUGAAAUUUAUGUUCAAAACUAAUUUCACAUUAAGUAUAUAAAUGUGUGUGUGUGUGUGUGAUUUAAUUCAUUAAGCACGUGUAACUUUAAGUUGAAGACAUGCAUUCAUCCCCUCGCCAAUGAUUCAGAAAAUAAUGCAAAAAGAAUGAAGUACAAAAUUUAUACAUAUAAAGCGACAUAAUUUUAUUGAUAUCAUAAUAUCAUACUGAAAUUGGAACUGAGAAGAGGCUCUAUUAAUUAAGUAUAUUAAAUAUCAAUUAAAAAUACAAAAUGACAAAAGAAUAGCUGCUGGUCUAGAGGUGGCUUACUACAUUCAUACAAGAUCGUUUCUUGUUCUCUAAGAUGUGGAUUAUACUAAUAAUGCUAUGCAAACUUAUCCAAAGGUCUAUUAAUUAAUUCAUUAAUCCGACGGCUCGUUAGGUUGUCCUUUCAUCCAUACAGCUGCAUGCUUGUCUUCUUAUAUGCUGAUCUUAUCCUCUAGAUCUGUUCAGGCUGAGUGAUCUCGAUCUUAUCCUCUAGAUCUUAUGCGAUCACGACCUGUUGCUUGGUGAUGUCGAAUGCCUGGCCUUUACUUCUCUGAGCCAAUUGAUCAAACAAUUUGUUCAUUUUAUCGAACACCUUCACCAACAAACAUUUGAUUUACUUUUGAUGGCUUUUAAGUGCAUUUGAUGAUUAUUUUUGCUCCAACUUCAGAUAAACCAAACGCUAGUAUAUUAGAAGAAGAAAUUAACUGGCAGCUAACCAGGCCAAAGUAGCGACUCUAUAUAAAAAAUAUAUAUAUAAAAUAAAAAAUAAAAAAUGGGACUUUAUUUAAUUAAUUGUUGGUCUAAAGCUGUUGGUAUCCGUUGGCCACGUUUCUGAAGAGUCAUCUCAAAUCGAAAUUUUUAACGAACAAAGAACUUUGCUUUUUUCCAUUGUUCACAUUGCUGCUGGCUGCCGCCCGUGAGAUAAAAGUGCUACAAUCCAAAAUGUUCCACCAUCAUUUAUUCUAAUUUUAAUUUUCCAAUGGAAAAAAUUACAUAAUUAAAAUGGCUUCUAAUAUCAUUUCCACACCUCAAUAUGUGUCACUAUCAGAAGGUUGUUUUCGUGAUUCAUGGUAAAUUUGGAUUACAGCACCUGUACUUUCUGAUGGUUCAUUAUUUAUUCUCAGGAAUCGAGUCUCCUUACAUUCACUACAACAAAUAGUUAUAUUACCGACCAUAUAUUUUUAAGGGUACCAUUUACUCUUGAUAAUAAGUACGUUUUACAAAGGUAUUACACUGUCGUCGGAUAAACGUAGAAACUAGUAACUAUUUUUCCAAGGGUAAUUUGCCCCUCGAUGGUAAUGAAUAUUUUGUCGGAAAAGUCGAAAUUACACUGAUUUUUUUAAAUGAAUUGUUUUUUAUUUUGAAAUAAUAAUCAAUAAAGAAAACCCAAAAAAAUUACUUCAGCAAACUAACUAAAGACAGCGACUACUAUUUGAAACCAUUGCCUAUUUCAAAUAUAUAAUAUUUAAGAAAAAAACUCGGUUACAAAUAAAAUCACAAAUCAAUGAAGUUUACUCAAUUCACCGGAAAAAAAAAACCCUAGAAAUUCUAUCACAAUUCCCGCCGUCAGCAACGAUCUCUCAUUCACACCGGCACCAACCUCUCAUUCAUGGGGGAACCGAUCUCUCCUUCUGAUGUCAGUAUGUCAAAAUUCCUUUUAUUCGAUUUGCAGAUACGGUCUGAAUCUUCUUAUUGAUUUUCAAUUUCAGCUUAAAAUUAGUCGAGGCAUCUUCAAUUUGCCGGCAAUUUCAGCCACGAUGAUGAUGAUUAAACCACAACCUGUGGGCUACGGCGACCAAGACGUCAAGCUUAAGGCUCAACGAUCGAUUAAAGAACCAAAUCAUCGGUAGCUAGACGAAGAAGCUCUCGUUCCUCAAGGUUGAUGUCGUUCUUGCCGUUUGCAGAAGCCGUAUCGGCCGAUAUUACAGCCUAGCAGGUUCACAUGUGGCUUCAAAGCCGUCUAAGCCAUGCUAGACGCCAGCCUAUUUCCUGAUUUGUCUCUGAUAUUUUCUCGUAGAGAUGAACAAGUGAAAUUUCAAAUCUAUUAUCUUUCUCUUUUGGUUUUAUUAUUGCAUAUUUUUUAAAUUUUUAAUCUUUUUAUUACUGAUUUGGGGAGCUUAGUGUUCAAUUUGUAUGAUCACAUAAGAGGAUCCUGUGAUAUUUAUUUAUCUGACAUUUACAUUUUAAUGUUCAUUACUGAGUAAUGAUCUAUGUUUGAGUUUUUGAUCAUCAUCUGCUAACUGAUUUUUUCUUUUAAUUUCAUGAAUUAUAUAUAUAUAUAUAAUUUCAUAGCUCUUUAGUAUAUGGCUAAGAGCAGAGCACAUCUAAUUUUGAGCCAUAUAUGAUGCCACUUGUUAUUUAUUAAUUAAUAGUAGAGUUAAUUAAAUUUAAAAAAAAGAAUUGAAAGAUAAGAAGUAACAUAGAAUUUUUUUUUUAAAAUCGAAUAUCAUUUUAUUGUAGUACAUUAGCUCUUGUUUAAUGAUUAUAUUUAGUUAAUGGAUUCAUUCAUUAGUUUGUUCAGAAAUUGGAGUUGCUAUAUUUUGAUCCAAAUGAAAAAUAAAAACUUAUAAUGAAGGAUGGAUGGGUGUCAUUUUCCCUUAUAGUUUUUAUAUUGCUUCGUAGAUGAUUGUAUUUAUUUUUUAUGCGAUCAAGCCUCAAUUCUUGUAUCUUUUAUGGCACCAUUUUAAUAGAACUUGAUCGAUACUUGCAGUUUUUCUGCCAAAACAAUUAUAGGGCGGCAUACAAAUUUUGUAGAGGUUACUUUGUAUAGCCUAAUUCAAGAUUUCUUUUUUCUUUGACUUUUGACAUGCAAUUCUUAUUUUGACCAUUAAAUGGAAAUUAAUCAUGCAUUUUCUCAGUAGUGUGAUGCUUAUUUGGCUUUUGACAUGCAAUUCUUGUAGAGAUGAUGCUUUUGGGAUUCAUUUCACUCGUACUCACUAUCAGGUGUCAAGGAAGCUCAUGUGAGCCAAAUAGUCAGCAAAGCAGAGGAUUAUAACAGCAGCAACUUACAGCUGCGAGUUGAUGAUUUGGACUGCCAGCUGGCACCUGGUGGUUAUAUAAUUUCUUGUACUCGUAACUGAUUAGUUGUAGUUUGUUAAUAAGCUGCUGCAUGAUUAGCAUGUGAGAUUAGUUUAGCUAGUAUGGUUAAUCAGUUACGUGAGUAUAUAAAGCAAAGGCAGCACAUUUCCUCUGUAAUCUUGUUGAAAGAAAUAAAAACAAAUUCUCAGAUUCUUAUCAUUUUCUCUCAAUAUUUCUUAGUCAUCAAACAAGCUGUUUUGUCACUUGGUAUCAGAGCCAAGAUAAUGGCGUCUGUUAAUCUAGUUACUUCAAAUCAGAUCCAAAAUACUCCCGCUGUUUCAACUAAUAUUUCAUUCACUUUCAAUACACCAGUGAAGCUUGAUCAAGCUAACUAUCUCAUAUGGCGAUCUCAAGUGCUUGCUUCAAUUCGUGGCAACAGACUUGAAAAGCUUAUUGAUGACUCGAUUACUCCUCCUCCAUCUCACAUUGCUCAAAGAGUUGGAGAUGACGUCAGAUCUGUGGAGAAUCCAGACUUUAUAUCUUGGAGAUCUCAGGAUCAAGUGCUGCUUGGAUGGUUACUCUCUUCAAUGAGUGAAGGAAUCAUCAGUCUAGUCUUCAAUCUGGAGACAUCACGUGAGGUUUGGAAAGCUGUUGAGGUACAAUUUGGUUCUCAAUCCAAAUCACGACUGUUACAUCUAAGAUAUAUGAUGAAUUCUACUAGAAAGGAUGAUAUGAAAAUCACAGAUUACUUCAUUAAAAUGAAAAACAUAUCUGAUAAUAUGGCUGCAGCAGGAAGUGCCUUGAGUAAUGAUGACUUAAUUUUGCAUGUGUUGUCUGGUUUAGGACCAGAUUAUAAUUCAGUAGCUACCUAUAUAACUGGUCAAGUAGGAACUGGAAAAAUGGAUCUGAAUGAAGCUUAUGCAAUGCUUUUAACUCAAGAAGUUAGGAUUGAACAACAGUCUCAUAUGCUAGCUGGUACAGAUAUGAAAAAUAACUUUGAAGCAAAUUUUGCUCAAAACAGAGGACCUAAGAAAGGAAACAUGUUCAAUGGAAAAGGUUUUGGUGGUUAUGGCUAUAAUUCUGGUUCUGGAAAUAACUAUAACUCAGGCUUUAGCAAUAAUGGUUAGUACAAAGGAAACUUUGGUACUGAGUUUGCUGGUACUGGUUUUAACAAUCAGUUCAAAGGAUACCAGUCCAGUAAUCAUGGAGGGGGAGGAGGAGGUAACUGGAAUAACAACAAUGGACCAAGUAACUUUAACAGUGGCAAACCAUCUGUGAAUCCUAAGCCACAAUGGAAUGCAUCAAAGCCUACCUGUCAAAUUUGCCUCAGGCCUGGACACACUGCAAAUAUUUGCUGGAAACUUGAAGAGUUUAUUACUUCAGGUGCUUACAAACCACCACCAAAUAGAGGACCUAAGGCAGCUUAUCUGGCUAACAUGGAUGCUCCAGUUGACAACAAUUGGUAUCUGGAUAGCGGAGCCACACAUCACCUCACAAAUGAUAUGAAUAAUGUGAAUGGUGUUGAACCUUUUGCAGGUAAUUCCAAACUUAUUGUUGGAAAUGGUGUUGGUUUGUGCAUAACACACAUAGGUUCUGUUGUUCUAAGAAUGCCUGAUGAUCUGAAUUAUUCUGAUCUUAAGCUAAACAACAUUCUACUUGUUCCAAAAAUAACCAAAAACCUGAUAAGUAUUUCCCAAUUAACCAAAGAUAAUAAUGUUGUGGCUGAAUUUACUGAUAGUUUCUGUUUUGUGAAGGACAAGGUGAAGAAUUCAGUUAUGCUACAGGGCAAAGCUGAAAAAGGUUUAUAUAGAUUGUUGUGUGUUUCCUCAACCAAGUCCUCUGCUUCACAGUCAAACCAAGGUCUUCUUACUCAUGUCGAGUCAGCUGUUUCAAAUCAGCCAAUUUCAAUGUUUUCAACUGUUGUUUCAAAAUUUCCAAAUAAAACUGCUUGCUGUUUGCAUACAGAAGCACUAUGUUGUCAAACUCCUAGUUGUAUGUUGAAUACUAUGGUAUUACAUCAGAGACUAAGGUGCUUAGUCAUGUAAUCAAUUCUUGUUCUUCCUUAAAGAAUGUCAGUGGUAAUAAAACAAUCGAUUCCUGUGAUGCUUGUAAGAUGGGAAAAAUGCAUAAACUUCAUUUUUCAAUUACUGAAACCAAAACCAAAAAUCCUUUGGAACUUCUACAUACUAAUCUAUGGGGACCUUCUCCCACACCUUCUAUCCAAGGAUACAAAUACUAUGUUAGCUUUGUGGAUGACUUCACAAGGUUCACCUGGAUUUUCCCUUUGAAAACCAAAGCUGAUACAUUUCAAGUGUUUAAAAUCUUUAAAGCUCAGGUGGAAAAACAAUUGGAUAAGCCUAUUAAAUGUCUUCAGUUAGAUUGGGGUGGGGAAUACAGAUCUUUUGUUCAUUUUCUUCAUGAAACAGGAAUACAAUUUAGACAUUCAUGCCCUUAUACACACAAUCAAAAUGGUCUUGUAGAAAGAAAGCAUAGGCACAUCACUGAGUUGGGUUUAACUUUACUUGCACAAGCUAAAAUACCCAUCAAAUUCUAGUGGGAUUCUUUUCAUACAGCCACUUACAUUAUUAACAGAUUACCAACUCCUGUUCUUUCCAUGAAAACUCCCUAUGAAUGUCUCUUUCAUUUGCUACCUGAUUAUCCUUUUCUCAAAACUUUUGGUUGUGCUUGUUUUCCAUUCUUAAGAGAUUACAAUCGUCACAAGUUUGAUUUCCAUACAUCCAAGUGUGUCUUCCUAGGAUACAGUCCAUUACACAAAGGUUACAAGUGUCUUCAUCCAUUAGGGAAAACUUAUAUAGCCAGCCAUGUUCUUUUUUAUGAAACCUCUUUUCCAUACUCUACUGAUUCACAUUUUUUGAAGUCCUUGCCACCUAAGGUGUCUGACUUCCAAUACAAUUCUCUACAGUUUUACAAUAUUUCAGUUCCUCAUAGCAAUCUAAAACCUUUUGAAGCUGCUGCAGCAGACACUGAUUCUCAUACUUCUAGUUCUAAUUACAAUAUCAUGUCACCUUCCUUCUCUACUCAUCCUGUUUCUUCUACUGAUACCAUAUCCUCACCUAUUAUUUACACCACAUCUCCUAUCACAACUCCAAACACUACAUCUUCACCCAUCAUCCAUCACCACUCUCCAGAAUUUCCUAUAACACAUCAGGUUCCUUUACACACAUCACCUUCCAGACCAUCUUUCUCCUCUGCUCAUCCUAUGAUUACCAGAGCUAAAGCUGGUAUCUUCAAACCUAAGGCAUUCUUAACAGCACAUAAUAGCUUAGAGCCUUCUAGUGUUGAUGAAGCUUUAGCUGAUCCUAAGUGGCAAGCUGCAAUGCAACUGGAAUAUGAUGCACUUAUUCAAAACAAAACCUGGAGUCUAGUUCCAAUGGAUCCAGCUUAUAAACUGGUGGGUUGUAAGUGGGUUUUCAGAACAAAGUAUAAUCCAGAUGGCUCAGUCUCUAAGUAUAAGGCUCGGUUGGUUGCUAAGGGUUUCCAUCAGACAGCUGGGGUUGACUAUUCAGAAACUUACAGUCCUAUAGUUAAGUCUUCCACUGUCAGAGUUAUACUGAGCUUAGCAGUCAUGCAAGACUGGAAUGUUAGACAAAUAGACAUCAACAAUGCCUUUCUUAAUGGGGAUCUCACUGAAGAUGUGUUCAUGCAACAGCCAGAGGGUUUUGUUUCAGGGGGAGGCUACGUCUGCAAGCUAAACAAAGCCCUUUAUGGUUUAAAACAGGCACCAAGGGCCUGGUAUGAUAAACUUAAGGGCUGUCUUACUGAUUGGAAGUUUACAAACGCUAAGGCUGAUACCUCACUGUUUAUUAGGCAUGACAUUAAAGGCAUAAUCUUUGUUUUGAUCUAUAUAGAUUAUAUUCUAGUCACAGGACCAGAUUCAGUCUUGCUGGAGGCUUUCAUCACAAACUUGAGUAAAGUAUUUGCCUUAAAAGACUUAGGUCUGGUUUCAUACUUCCUUGGUAUAGAAGUCAGCUACACAGAUCAUGGAAUGCAUCUCUCCCAAACUAAGUAUAUCAAGGAUUUGCUAGCUAAAGCAUCAAUGCAGAACUGCAAAGAGACAGAAACUUCUUUCAGCACAGGCUACAAAUUAGAAAGAACAGCUAAAGGUCUUUUGGGUGCAGAAUUUGAAAAUCCAACUCUCUACAGAAGUAUAGUUGGAGGACUUCAAUACUUGAUCUUAACCAGACCAGACAUUGCCUAUUCAGUACAUAAACUUAGCCAGUAUCUAUGUGCCCCAACUCUCCAACAUUGGUUAGCUUGUAAAAAGGUGUUGAGAUAUUUACAAGGAACUAUUACACAUGGUCUUUAUAUUCAGCAAGAGGGGACUUUGGAAACAAUUGGCUUGACAGGGUAUUCAGAUGCUGAUUGGGCGUGUGAUAUUGAUGACAGAAAAUCCAUUGGAGCUUACUGUAUUUUCCUUGGCAAUAAUCUAGUUUCCUGGUCUUCGAAAAAGCAAGCUAUUGUAGCAAAGUCUAGCACUGAAAGUGAAUACCGACCAUUGUCGGCAGCAAGUUCAGAGCUUACUUGGCUACAGUCCUUGUUUUCUGAGCUGAAGAUUAUCAAGUUGCCAACUUCUGUUCUCUGGUGUGAUAAUCAGAGUGCAGGUGAUCUAGCUAAAAAUCCAGUAUUUCACUCUAAGUCCAAACAUAUAGAGCUGGAUGUUCAUUACAUUAGAGAUAAGGUUCUGAAUAAGGAGUUAGAAGUAAGGUACAUUCUCACUGAAGAGCAAGUGGCAGAUGUUCUUACUAAGCCUCUGUCAUUUCCAAAAUUUAGUUAUUUUCGUUCCAAGCUCAAUGUGAUCAACAGACCCUUGAGCUUGAGAGGGGAUGUCAAGGAAGCUCAUGUGAGCCAAAUAGUCAGCAAAGCAGAGGAUUAUAACAGCAGCAGCUUACAGCUGCGAGUUGAUGAUUUGGACUGCCAGCUGGCACCUGGUGGUUAUAUAAUUUCUUGUACUCGUAACUGAUUAGUUGUAGUUUGUUAAUAAGCUGCUGCAUGAUUAGCAUGUGAGAUUAGUUUAGCUAGUAUGGUUAAUUAGUUACGUGAGUAUAUAAAGCAAAGGCAGCACAUUUCCUCUGUAAUCUUGUUGAAAGAAAUAAAAACAAAUUCUCAGAUUCUUAUCAUUUUCUCUCAAUAUUUCUUAGUCAUCAAACAAGCUGUUUUGUCACUUCAGGCAUAGGUAUAUUUCUAAAAUAUUUCUUCCUGCAAAGGUUGCAGACACUAUGUUGCUGUGCAAGGCUGGUGGUAUGCACGAGACAGAGGAGUAAGUACUUGCUUUGUAGAAGAUUUUAGCUCGUCUUAAGAAUUAUAUAUGAAUUAUUUUUGCUAAAAGACAUAUUCUAACUAGUUUUAUGUUUAAUUGACAAAGUGUGGAGGUUCUAAAUGGCAGUGAUCAUCAUUAUGAUAGUGUGGUUCCUUUGGAUCCUUCCAAAAAUAGUCUGAACAAUGAAUGUGGUAUAAUCUAUCUCUCACUGAUCCUUGCUGAAAUAUUUUAUUAUCAUGUAGCCUAUGAAGUUAAAUUUUAUGGUUUGAAGAAUAUUUUUUAGUUUAUUUAUUAUAAUUGAUCUGCUAUUGAACUAUUUCUCAUUAUAAAUAAUGACAAACAAUAUCUACGGCUGUUGUUACACUACAAAUCCUUUGAUUGAGAUGCAUAUUUGUAUAAAUGGUUAGGCAUUGUAAUCACUUCACUUCUCAAUCAACAUCAAUUACUGAACACAAUUAAAGGUUUGUUUAAGUUACUCAUUCAUGCGUUUCAACAUUUUAGAUUAAAAGGUUUGGUUACUGUUGAUAUAAAUGUUUCUGCUUUUGUAUCGAAUGGGUGCGGUUGUUUCAUGUUUUCUGUAAGGUUGCCAAGAAAGGGAAAGAUAUGAAAUAAAGUUUCCAGUUUUGCUUUGUUUUCAUUUUGCUUUCUAAUUAACAAAGGGGAGUGAAUUCCGUCGGCAAGUGCAAACUAAACCUAAAUUAUCAAAUUUAUUUAUUAUCAUCAGGUCCUUAAAAUUUAAAAUUUAAAUUUAAAUCUUGACGGCACUUUAUAUCAUUAGGUCCUUAAAAUUUAAAAUUGAAGACACAUAAUGAAAUAUAUAUAAAUUUCAUCCUCAUAGGAAAGGAUCCUCUAAUAAUCUUAAAAUAUUUGAGCUUUGAAAGAUUUUUUAAAACAAAUGUACUUUUAUUUUUGUACAAUCAAUAUUUACUUAUUUAUUAUAUUUUUAUUCAUUAACUAUCAAUCAUGUGAGUAUAUUUACUCAAAAAUAUCAUAUCAACGGAGCAUCUUGAUCCCACGCACACGCAAAUCUGUAAAUUUCUAUACGCUUCACUUACCUCUAGAAUCAAUUAUCUAAAAUGCAAGUUUGUGGCCACAAAAAAAGCCAAAGAAAGAAGAUAAUAACAAUUGACUUGUAUAUUAUACUCGUACAAUCCACUCGACGUAAUGAUAUCCUUUUAAUAAGGCAAUGGCUGAUGAUCUCCAUUGAAAAACUAAUUCAAUUUUUUUGCCUCAUUUAACUUUUUGGUUGUUGAAAAUAACCUUAAUUAUCAAAUAAUUGGAGAAAGAGUAAAGAACAUUUAACAAAUUUAUGUGCAAAAAAAUAAAAAAAAAGGAGAAGUUGAAGAGAAAGGGUGCUUGCAGAAGUGGGUGUCAAAGAAAAAUUGGUCCAUAAGAAUUAUUGAGGUUAUUUUUUGGCAAUAUAAAAUUUUUAUAGCAAGUAAAAAUUAAUUUUUUUUCCAAUUCACUAAAAACUUCUGCGACAGCAUUUUUUAUGGGUGCUUAUACCCUCCCUUUAAAGAAAAAAUAAUUUAAUGCUUAAGAUAGUAUUAAAUACGAAAAUAUCAAUAUCUGACUACUCAAAUUUAUAUCAUUAGGUCCUUAAAAUUUAAAAUUGAAGAUACGAAAAAAUUGAAGAUAUGAAAGGAAAUAUAUAUAAACUUCAUUCUUAUGGAAAUGAUUCUCUUAUAAUCUUAUAAUAUUUGAGUUUUGAAAAUUUUUUAAAACAAAUGUAAUUUUAUUUGUGUACAAUCAAUAUUUACUUAUUUAUUAUAUUUUAAUUUAUUUAUUAUAUUUAGUCAGAAAAAUUAUAUCAAGAGAGAAGCCUAAUUUCACGCAAACACAAAUACAAGACAAAUAUGUUAAUUUCUAUACUAUUCACUUUCCUGUAGAAUCAAUUAUCUAAAAUGCAAGUUUGUGGCUACAGAAAACUCGCCAAAGAAAGAAGUUAAUAACAAUUGAGCAUUGAUAGCAAAACUAAUGCAUCAUUUUCUUCUUGACUUGAUGAGAUGGCGCCAUUACAAAAAAACAAGUACCUUAAUUGACGGGCACUGAGUGAUGUGAAUACUACCAGCCAGUUCAUCUCUUCCAGUCUUGCUUAAUCACAAUCACAAACACCACGAGAUCGACAUUUGCAUUAUAUAUAUCUUCAGCAAUCGAAACACCUUGCAUUACCAAAUUAACCAGUAACAAACAAAGCAAUGUUUCAUGGAGAGAAACCUUAGUCUCAGUAUGAUCAUUGUGUCAUUAACCCACUGCCUGCUUCUUUGCUUGGUUGAUGCUGCAGCAGCAGCAGCAGCAAGCAGCAAUAUUACCACAGACCAACAAGCUCUUCUUGCCCUGAAAGAUCAUAUAACUUAUGAUCCGACCAACAUUUUUGCCCAUAAUUGGACCUCGAAUACCUCUGUUUGCACCUGGAUUGGCAUCACUUGUGCUGUCAAUAGCCAUAGAGUCACAGCCUUAGAUAUUUCUCAAUUCAAUCUACAAGGCACCAUCCCUCCUCAACUUGGAAACCUCUCUUCACUCACAACGCUUAAUCUUAGUCAUAACAAGCUUUCCGGAAGCGUUCCCACCUCCAUCUACACCAUGCAUACGCUAAAAUUUCUUGACUUCACUGAUAACCAGCUCUCUGGUUCAGUUUCUUCCUUCGUCUUCAACAUGUCUUCAAUAUUAGACAUUCGUUUGACCAAUAACAGACUUUCUGGUGAGCUUCCGAAAAAUAUUUGCAACUAUCGUCCUUAUUUGAAAGCCCUUUUUUUGGACAAAAACAUGUUGCAUGGCAAAAUUCCUUCUGCUUUAUCAAAGUGCAAACAACUGCAACAAUUAAAUUUGCAGUUCAAUAAUUUAUCCGGUGCAAUACCAAAAGAAAUCGGCAACUUGACCAUGCUCAAAGAGAUAGACCUCGGCUACAACAAACUCCACGGUAUGUUCAUAAUACUAUCUAAAUAUUUUAAUUUCUCACUUGUUAAUUGUCUUGAAUAUCUUAGAUAAGAUCUUGUAAGUGAGAUUUUUUGCAUCUAUGUUAAUUUACCAGGUGAGAUACCCCACGAAAUCGCUAAUCUUCGAAAUCUAGAGGCUUUAGUGCUAGGAAUGAACAACCUAGUUGGUGUGGUAUCAGCUAUAAUCUUCAACAUGUCAUCACUGAAGGUACUUAUCCUCAUCAAUAACUCUCUCUCCGGAAGUCUCCCAUCAAGAAUGGACCUUUCACUUCCAACUAUUGAGCAUCUUAACUUGGCACUUAAUAGAUUUUCUGGAACCAUUCCUAGUUCCAUCACCAAUGCUUCUAAGCUCUCCUUUCUAGAGUUGGGAGGAAACACAUUUUCGGGCUUUAUUCCAAACACAAUUGGAAAUUUAAGAAACCUUGAGUGGCUCGGCUUGGCUAAUAACUCCUUGACAUCUUCAACCUCAAAAUUGAGCUUUCUUUCCUCUUUGGCAAAUUGCAAGAAAUUAAGAUCCUUAAACUUAAUAGGCAAUCCGCUUGACGGCUUCCUUCCAAGUUCAAUAGGUAAUCUUUCCAUGUCUUUGAAAAUACUUCUCAUCGCCAAUUGCAGUAUUAUUGGCAAUAUUCCUCAAGCAAUUAGCAAUUUAAGCAACUUGCUGGCCUUAGUAUUAGAACGCAAUAAAUUGACUGGACCAAUUCCAAUUACAUUCGGCCGACUGCAGAAACUCCAAGGCUUAUAUCUUGCAUCCAAUAAGUUGGUAGGUUCAUUCCCAGAUGAGCUUUGCCAUCUAGGUAGGCUGGCUGUAUUGGCCUUACUUGACAAUAGGCUUUCAGGAUCUAUACCUUCAUGCGUAAGUAAUCUCACUUCUCUAAGAUCUCUCUAUUUAGAGUCCAAUAGGUUUACUUUUGUCAUUCCCUCAACUUUCUGGAGCCUAAAAGACAUCUUGUUCUUUGACUUUUCAUCAAAUUUCUUGGUUGGUCCUCUUUCUUUAGACAUAGGAAAUUUGAAGGUGCUUGUAAGAAUAAAUUUAUCAGAAAAUAACUUAUCCGGUGAUAUCCCAGCCACAAUUGGAGGACUGAAAGACCUUCAAUUUAUGGACCUAGCAUAUAAUAGAUUGGAAGGCCCAAUUCCUGAAUCAUUUGGUGACUUGACAAGUUUGGAGGUUUUGAAUUUGUCAAAUAAUAAAAUCUCUGGGUCUAUUCCAAAAUCCAUGGAGAAACUCUUUUACCUCCGAGACUUAAAUCUCUCUUUCAAUGAACUAGAAGGUGAGAUUCCUAGUGGAGGAAUUUUUGCCAACUUCACAGCUGAGUCAUUUAUGGGAAAUGAGUUAUUGUGUGGUUUACCAAAUCUUCAAGUCCAACCAUGCAAAGUUAGCAAGCCGAGGACAGAACAUAAAUCAAGGAAAAACAUACUUCUCAUUGUGAUUGUUUUGCCAUUGAGUAUUGCUCUAACAAUAGCAAUCACUCUGCCUCUCAAAUCUAAGCUGAUCGAAUGUGGAAAAAGAAGCACAGUGUUGUCAAAUGAUAGUGUCUUGUCAUCACAAGCAACACUAAGAAGAUUUUCAUACUUAGAACUUUUACAAGCAACAGAUAAUUUUGCUGAAAACAACAUAAUUGGCAGAGGAGGUUUUGGUUCCGUUUAUGGAGCAAGACUUGAAGAUGGGAUGAAGAUUGCAAUAAAAGUGUUUCACCAGCAAUGUGCAAGCGCAUUGAAGAGUUUUGAGGCUGAAUGUGAAGUGUUAAAAAAUAUUCGCCAUCAAAACCUUAUCAAAGUUAUCAGCAGUUGCUCGAACGAUGACUUCAAAGCAUUAGUCCUAGAAUACAUGUCCAACGGGAGCUUGGGGGAUUGGCUGCAUUCUAGCAAUUAUGUGCUGAAUAUAUUUCAGAGGUUGAACAUAAUGAUUGACGUUGCAUCAGCUUUAGAAUAUCUCCACUUCGAUCAUUCAACUCCUAUUAUUCAUUGUGACUUAAAGCCUAGUAAUGUAUUGUUGGAUGAAAAUAUGGUUGCUCAUUUGAGUGAUUUUGGCAUAGCAAAGCUUUUAAGUGGAGAAGAUGAGUCUAUGAUGCGAACAAAAACCCUUGCCACUAUAGGUUAUAUGGCACCAGGUUUGCUUCAAACAAUUUUUUUUUGAGUUCAUUUUAAAUUUUCCAAAUCAUCGAUUUUUACGAUCCUCAUAUCAAAAUGUUAUUGAUUAUUUAUCUAAUUGUGAAAUUAAUUUGAUUCAUAGAGUACGGCAUAAAAGGAGAAGUAUCUACAAAAAGUGAUGUUUACAGCUAUGGGAUUAUGUUGAUGGAAACUUUUACCAAGAAAAAACCCACAGAUGAAAUUUUUGUCGGACAAUUGAGCUUAAAGCGUUGGGUUAAUGACUUGCUUCCUAAUUCAUUAGUGGAAGUUGUGGACAAAACUCUGCUAAGUGGAGAGGAAAAACAUUUUGCCGCAAAGGAGCAAUGUCUGUUAUCUAUCUUUAGUUUGGCUCUGGAGUGUACAAUGGAAUCACCGGAAAAGAGGAUUAAUGCAAAAGAUAUUGUUACCAGGUUACUCAAGAUAAGAGACACAUUGAGUAAAAGGAUAGGAAAUUUAAGUUAAUUUCGUUUGCUUUCAUUGAUAGUUAAUUCAAAUUCAUGUAAUAAGUGUAAGAAUCUUAUAUGCUUUCCUUAGAUUUUUUUUUUUUUUUGAGAAAACUGUUGUAGUCAUCUUGUUUCCAUGGGCAGAGUUGAUUUAGUUUUUCCAAGAAAUGCUACUGAUGACAUUUGUUUUAUACGCUCUCUUUUUUUGCAUGCGUUUAGGUAGAAUAGUGGUCUAGCUGCAGGCCAAUAAGUCAAGCUACGCCAAAAGCGUAUGAUUGAAUUUAUAAGAGUGAAAUAAUUAGCAAAAAGAGUUUAGAAUGACAACUGGGACAUACAUAUAUAAGAGUGAAAUAAUUAAAAAAUAAUGCUUUUUUGUUUGUCGUGUUAAAAUCGUAAGUACCGAAGUACUGUGAAAGAGAUUAAUUUACAGAAACUGAAGCCAAGGGUUCAAAAAAAAAGUGCAAAGAGAAUAAUUGUAUUGGUAGCACAAUGUCAUAUUCAUACAGAGAUCAAGUAUAUUAUUUACGGCUAGUAAGGACUAAGAAUUAAUUGUACACUAUUGUUUUAUUCUACAAUCAAUCUUGACCCUUGAUGCUUGGCUCUCAAUCUUGUCCAUUGAUCUUCUCUGAUUUUGGAGACUUGAAGACCUUUCAGUAUUAUGCCUUGUUGUUGGUGUCUUCCAUGCGGUAGAACCGACGACUUGCCAAGUGUUUGUUCAUUGACGCAUUUUAUCAAACAGUUGGCCUGCUCAUAGCAAACAGCUCCUGUUUUAAUUCGAUGUUAUACGGGUAUUUCAUUUAUUUGAGUAGGGGUUAGGGGUCAAUUGGAUACAAAUUCAAAAUUAUCCUUACUUGAGAUGGUGAUAAAAAUUGGGGAUUUAAUUUGGAUGUGAUUAGCUACAAAUAUUAAGCUCAUACAUUUAAUUCAAAAUUGGAGGGCUGAUAUAUGUGCAUCAUCGUGCACGUUAUAGUGACACUGCGUCACCAUCCCACAACCUCUCCAAUGAAAAAUUGACAUGCAUCUUGUGCGCUUCUGAUCAAAAUCCUGAAAAUUAAUCACAAAGUUAUACUUUUAUUAUAAAAAGAAUAAAGAAACUCCAAGAAAAAAAAAAUAGACUUACAUAAAUAGUUUGAGUAUUCUAGAUUCCAAGUUGUCUAUAUUAGCUUGAUCUUUUUAUAAAUAGUCAUCUUCGAAAAAAAAUUCCACCACCAUAUAUUUUAAUUUUAUGUUAAUUAAUAAAUAGAAAAAAAAUCAUUUUAGAAUUAAUUAAAACAUUAUUUAUUGUUGCCAAAAAAAAGGAAGAAUUUAGUGAUAAGAAAAAAGUGUCUCAAAUAUACGUUAAAAAAAUUAAUCAUGGUGGGUUCGAUUGAUUGAAUUUUUUUUUUUAUCUUUUUCUUUUUUAAGAAUUAAGACAAUUGGAUUGAUUGAGUAAUAAUAAAAUAUAUUUAUUUGGCAAAUGGCAGUUAGGCUUUCUUCUGAUGCAGAUUAAUUAGAGAGAAUAUAUAACCAUUUUAAGCUCGUCAGAUUCGGAACCUGCUUAUCUGUCGUGUGGGGAUCACUUCCGUGUCUUAUUUUUCUACAAAAAUCUAGACCAUUGGAUUUCCCAUUAGUCAAUAGAUAAAUGUUUGAUCUUGAUUCUUGAUUAAGAUCGAAGUUUGAUUCUAACCAACAUGAUGUCUGAUUCAGAUUGCGAAGCCAGCAAAUUGAAAGUAACUUGUUCUAUUUUGAUAAAACAUUCUCAUAGUAAAGUGAAUUACCAUCCAACGAUCCAACUCAUGUUUUCAAAUUGUAAAUUGCAAAUCGUGUGUUUGCCCCAUUACAGAGUUUCUUCAAUCUGAAAUAGAGAAUCAUUUGUGUUCUAGAUUAAUCGUGGGUCUAUAUCCAAAUCUAAAAAUUGACUAAAUUCUUAAUCCUAACAAGAAAAAUUGAAGAUUAAAAACAACUAAUUUGGUACCAUACCACUAUUGUAACAUAGGUAGAUCCUCUAUUAAUUGGAGUAAAGAUUGAAUUAUCUCAUUUAUUAAGGUUUAUCAAAAUCUUGUGUCAAAAUCUAUUAAUGAUAUAGGUUCAAGGAUGAAAGAGUCACUUCAUUACUUUUGAGUUCCCAAAUAGAUGAAUGGGUGUUAUUUUUGGAUUCCGGAGAGUCGAAAAUAUUAGGAUAGGUGCUAAAUCGAAUUAAGUUGUAGAUAAGAUAGAAAUGGAUUUGGAGAGAUUGGAAUCCUAGGUAAUCCGGUGCACGUUGUCGUGUUAAAUUAUCGUUGACUUCACGUUGACUGAAGCAUUAUUGGAAGAAACAAGUUUAUUGAUGUGAGGCCUUUGAGAUUGUAAGUGUUAAAUCUGAGAAGAAUACCCACACACCCAUUAUCCUAUUACUCUUAUAUCACAUGAAGAGAAUUCAACAUUUGAUUCACACGGAAAAAAUUUGUGAGGAUUGUGAGGGUUGAUGGAAUAUAAUUUAGAUACAAAGUGUUUACCAGUGCGAUGCUUCGCAAGUGUUCUUGAAUCAAUAUAAACUCACAUUAUUUUCAUAGUGAUUGUUUCAUCUGCACGUGGAUAUAAUCACAUGUCGAGAUUUUUUUCCUUAAAUUAUGGUCUUAUUUAGUAUUGAGGUGUUAUAUCUUUUAAGGUACAAUUAUUGUUGGAAAAAAGUUACAACUAUCAAAUAAAAUUAAUACUAUGUGCUAAAUAUAAUUGUUAAAUAAUAAUUUUGACAAAAUUAGUGAAGUUAUAUAGAUUUUUUUUCAUCAUCCAAGUAUAAAAUCAAAUCAACUUAACUUCUAAGUUAUAUAUCGGUUACUGUUUAUCAUAUGUUUUAGUUCUGUAACUUUUAAGUUAUAGUUACCCAACCUCAAUUCUAAACAAGACCUAUAAAGAUCAAAGAUUUCCUCAUUAAAUUAUAUGUCUUGUGAUUGCUUAUUUAAUUUAUAUUUUUGUUAUUUAUCUUUAUUAAUUAUAAUCAUCUUUUUAUAAAUUAAAAUUGAAGGAAGUUGAUUGAUGUUGUUGACACACACGCACACACUCACAAAGACAUAUUGGAAGUGCUUACGUCGACUCGAAGUUGUUGGGAAUUAAUGCAUGUAUUGAUUUAUUGGGAGUGUUUAAAUGAUUUUGUGAUUUACUUGAUUUAUUGAUUGAAUAUUGUUUGAUUGCUUCAUAUCCAUUCUAGAAAGUUUAUUUCUUUGUGAAAGUUCAACGAAAUAUGUUUUUUUUUUUUUAAAUAAGGGUGUUCUAAAUAAUUUUAAAAAAUAUAUGGACUAAUUAGAAUUAAUUAUUAGGUAAUUAACUCAAUCUGUACGGGGUAAAACAACAUUUAUCCUAAUUAUAUCAUGAUAAAUACUUUUCCGAUUAGAAUUAGGAAAUCAUAGGUUUGUUGAAUUGUUUUUUUUUUAUUUUCCUUUGCGGAAACGGAUUAGAGAAUUAGAAAACAAUCAUGUUGAUGUCAAAAUCUGAUCUAGUCGGUUAGCGACUUAAUAUCAUAUUACUGCACCAGUAUUAAAUUUAUUUGGUAGAGAAUCGGCUGGUCAAUUGUCAAGAUGUCCUGCAAUCACUAGCGAUUAACCUACGAAUAUAUGAAAUUAUAGAAGACGGUAAGAGGCACCGGAAGUUUUUUCGUCGUGAACCUUCUGACGCUCAAGUCAGUUUAUAGGUUUACGAUAAUAAAAAUAAAUAAUUUCUAUUUAAAACAAAAAAUAGAGUUCAAAAGCUCAAAAAUAAAACCCAAUCCCAAUAUGAAAAUGAAUAUCUUUUUUUUUAGCUUGGCCGAAUCCUUCUGCCUCCUAAAGAAACAUAAUAGAGAAGCCGGUAGCCAUGUUCCCUAGGUAACGCCCCACUCCCCUCUUUUAUUCCUCCCCCUCUCUUCUGUUUCCUUCUUUUGCUCACUAUCCUUUAUAAUUUUUUAUGCUUGUCUUCCCAAAAUAGCCUUUGAAUACACAAGUAAAUGUCUAGGCUUUGGUGAGGAUAGUUUGGUUAUUGCAUUUUACAAGUAAGAUGAGUGGUGGAGAAAAAUGAGGAGUGCAUAUAACUCUUCAGCAAAUCCCACCAACAAUUCCAUUUUCUUAAUUAAUUAAUCUCCUUUUUUAUCCCCAAACAAAUCCUAAUGAUACUAUUAUCAGGUUUAAAACAGUACAUAAAUAGUGAAAAGCUAACUAGUCUGUAGAUUAAUUUGCUAAUUGCUAUCUCCUCUCUACGCGCUCUGAAUAAUUUGUUGCAUGCAAACUUUUUAUUUUAUGCAAAUCGUACGUACUGUAACAUUGGAAUUGAUGUAUAAGCAAAAAUACAAGAAUCUUUAUGUCAAUAAAAAUAGUUUUUUUUUCCUUUUUAAAUAAACACAACGCGAUGUUGCUCUUCUCUACAUUGUUGCUAUCUCUUUAUUCCCUUUUUUUUUUUUCGGCUUCUUAAAGCCUCAAACUUUGAUAACCAAAACUUCAUCAAACUUUGAAAAAAAUCUGUCUGGUUAGUUAUUAUUAUCGGAAUAAUUAUUUGAGAAUACUAAAACAAAAUAUAAAUAAGAAAAUACGGGGUUAAAUUUGGGGAAAACAAAAAGGCAUGUUGGAUAGAUUACUAUAGUUUAAGGGAAAAAAAAUCCAAUUGGGAAUUUUUUUCUUUAAUUUUUGUUUUACUUGAUUGAGAUUUCUCCUUAGUCCUUACAGUUUUAAGUUUGGACUCCGUAGGGUUAGUAAUUUAGUACUUCCUUUGCAAGCUGAGUGCAAGAAUGAAAAUCUUUAAAGAAAUUAAAAAAGAUUAAAAAAAAGCAUACCAAUAGGUAAUUAUAAAUAACCAUAAAUAAACAUAAACAAAAUGUUUAUGAAGUAAAUUACACAUGCACAUAUUAUUUUUUUGUUUUAUUUCUUACUUGUCAAUUUUAUUUGCUGCUUGAUAACCCGUAAAUACUAAUCUAGUACUGCUAAUUUCAGACACAAAAUUUUUAACUCUAGGCUGCAGUUUUACUCAAAAUGAUGACCACUGGCUUCGCACCAUUUAACCGGCAUACAUUUCUACAAAUUGAACAAGGCUAUUGAUUUUCAUUAUUAUUUUUUAUUUAUUUAUAAAUUACCAUUUUAAUUUUCACUUUUUAUUGGGCUGUUGAACGGAUUAGUGAAGUUGGUGGUCGUGAUGCACUCAUAAGGUACAAUUUUAUUUUAUAAUUUCAAAUUUGUAUUUUAAAAUGCAGGUACAUUAUGUAUACAUAAUUAUUGAUUUUCGUAUGUGGGUGUUUUGAAAUAUUGCUAAAAGACCAAACUUUAAUAAACUAUUUUUCAUCUUUUUUUUUCCUUUUUUCCUAAAGUUCGAGUGAUAUCCGCAUUUUAAAUUCAUGUGGAACAAAAUCUAAUGUAUGCACAAAAUUCUUUUAUUUUUUCCAAGAAAAAUGGGUAAGAGAAGAAGAUUUUUCUCUUGAAAAAGAAAAACUAAUAUGAUGCAAGCAUAGGAAAGAGGUCAGUGUUUUGGAUUAGAAUUUAGUAUUGAGCUGAAUUUUAUACUAAACUCUUUUAUGGUACUGCGAUUAAUAAACUCAUGAUUUGCUUUUGCUUUUGCUUUUACUUCAAGUGAAAGAAAGAGGAAACCUUUUGUUUUUUGUUUGAUUCUUGACUACAGAUGUUAGCUAUAUAGAGAGUUGAGGUAGCAGCCUUAAGUGAUGGUGAUAAAAAGAUUAGGCAGCGCACACAAUCUUACUGUCGUCCAGACCAUCCAGCUGUGAUGACUCUAGUUUUUUGGUUACAUUAGCUUUAGUGGAAAGGAGGGCCAAUUUAACAAAGACUAGAUUUGGUGGCUUACUAUAAUGCUUAUUCUCAGGGAAUCUAAUGUUAUAAGAUGAUUUAAUGAUCUUCUAUGAUUGUGAGUAGUAUAGUAUAAUUGAAAAGAGCCUGGGCUCCUAUGAUGAAUAUAUAAUAGUAACGCAGUACUGUGAUUGAAAAAAACACAGUUACAAUAAACUCUUCAUUUAUUCAUUGCGGAGAUUGAAUGGCAAACAGAGAAUAAAAUGAAGCAGAGGAAUCUCAUUGCCAGUAAAAUUGACCCUCUUUAAUGUUAUAUGGCACAGGUGUGUGUACAGCAAGAGCAAGUUACUUGCAGUUUUUAUUGUAAAAUAUACAGGUUAUGACCAUGAUCAUUGUAGUUAGGUUUUGAUGAUUUUAGAUGCUUUUUUUAUUUUUAUUUUUUAAAUUGUGACACCUUUGAUUUAUGGUAGUUUUGCAGAAGAAAAAAAUAUAUAUAAAAAUUAGGAGGGAUGAGUUAACUAACAAUUGCAAUCAUUGCAGUAAUGUUGAUGAGUGAUACAUCAUUUGAAAUUUACUUGUCAGUUGCUAAAAUGAUGAAAAAAAACAAUAAACAAUAGCAGUAAUAUUUUUAUGGAAAUUCUGGGUUUUUAUGGAAAUACUCUUGCUGAAAUUCUAAUUUUGACUUUCAACUCUUGGUUUUUAUGGAAAGUAAAAUGACUUGUUUGUUAUAUUCAUACAACCCACUCUACAUAAUGAUUUCAUUUUAAUAAAUGCUUGAUGAUCUCCACAGAAAAACUACUUCAAUUCUUUUUUUUUAUUUAACUUUUUGGUUGUUGAAAAUAGCCUUAAUUUUCAAAUCAUUGGAGAAAGAGUAAAGAACAUUUAACAAAUUUAUGUGCCAAAAAUAAAGGAGAAAUUGAAGAGAAAGGGUGCUUGCAGAAGUGGGUGCAAAGAUAAAUCAGUCCAUAAGAAUUAUUGUGGUUAUUAAUUUUUUGGCAAUAUAAAAAUUUUUCAGCAAAUAAAAAUAGAUUUUUUUCUGAUUUACUAAAAAAUUAAUUAAAAACUUCGGCGAUAGCAUUUUUUAUGGGUGCAUGUACCCUCCCUUUAAAAAAAAUAUAAUAAUUAAUACUUAAUAUAGUAUUAAAUACGAAAAUAUCAAUAUUUGACUACACAAAUUUAUAUCAUUAGGUCCUUAAAAUUUAAAAUUGAAGACACAAAAUGAAAUAUAUAUAAAUUUCAUUCUCAUAGGAAAGGAUCCUCUUAUAAUCUUAAAAUAUUUGAGCUUUGAAAGAAUUUUUAAAACAAAUGUACUUUUAUUUUUGUACAAUCAAUAUUUACUUAUUUAUUAUAUUUUUAUUCAUUACACUACUAGAAAAAUGGUCUUUUGUGACACUUGUCUUCUGACACUUUAUUAUAAAGUAUCAGUAAUUACAUAUAUUUGGGGCAUUUUCCGUGUUUAACAUAUAAGUAUCACAAAUUGCUAAUACUAUGGUGUCAGUAAAUUUAAUAUCACAGAUUCGUGACACUAAAGUAUUAGUAGUUAAAAAAAUAAAAUUUUAAUUUUGUAUCUAGUAAUAAUCGCACCGAAGACCCCGAAGCCAUAACCUUUUGCUUUUAACCGCUAUACCACUCGGCCACAAAUUGCAUUUUUGAACUUAUAAAUUAAUAAAUAAAUAAAUAUUAAAACUUAAAACCUAAAACCUAAAAAUUUUUCAUGUAUGGUAUGUGUGAAACCUAAAACCUAAAAAUUUUUGUUAAGUCAAAAAUCUAUCUUAUGGCCGCCGAAGCUUUCUUCCUUCUCUCUCCUUCCCUCUCUCUCGCUCUCUUUCUCUCUCGAACAAUGAUCUACCUUGAAAGCCGCCUCCGUCAACACCUUGAAAGCCGCCGUCCUUAAGCUAAAAUAUCCCUGAAAAGAACCCAGAAAGUGCUGUGAAGAAUUUGGGCAAAGCUAAGGUUUGAAAGUCCGAAUCAGUGUUGUGGUAACUCUUUGCCUCAUUCUCUAUUCUCAUUGUUUAAGUAUUUAUCUGUUAAUUGAUUGAUGUUUAUUGAGUGCAAAUGAGAGCUUGCACUUGUUUGGAAAUCCAGCCAUCUAGGGUUUUUGUUGCUUAUAAUCUAAUUUAUUGUUUAAUAAAAUAAAUAAAACGCAGCUUUAUUAUAGGUGGAAUUCAGUUUAUUAAGUGAAAGAAUGAUUACAAUCGGUGAUUAUGGAUUUAGGUUGAAUGCAAUUUGUUAAUUAAAAGAAUAAUGGUAAUCGACAGUCAUGGGUUUAGUAUGUAUUAUAUAUUUCGUUUAAUGGUGUGUAUGAAAACCCAAAACCUAAAAUUUUCUUAAGUAAAAAUCUCAGUUCUCCCUCACAACCUAUAAGCCCAUCACUCUCUCUCUCUCUCUCUCUCCCCUCUUUCUAGCUAACAACCCAAAACUUAUUGUGAAACCGCCAUUUCAAUCUUUCAAAGCUCAUUAGUUAGCUGGUCAUUGUGAAAAGUAAGGUUAUUGUUUGCUUUAUGUCUAAUUUACUUUAAACAUGGGGAUUGAUGAUAUUCGAGUUGCUGAACACUUGAUUUUGAGGUGAAAGAUUAAUUAAUAGUUUACAAAAUUAUGCUGAAAAUUUGAGGAUUGAUAGACUGUUGUUGUGAACUUGGUUGUUUCCGAACUUGACUAAAUGACUUUCAAUUGAUUUGAAAGUUUGAUUAAACUAAGUUUAAAUGAGAACAUUUUAAUUCUGGAAAUUUUGGAAUGAAUUGGGUCUAUAUUUGAUUUUGAAUGGAUUUCUCAAUAUGGUUGGUUGUUGUCCAAUUUUAUUAGAAAUUACAUAUGUACCAUGUUUGAUAUUGCAAACGUAUAGUUUAACAUAGUUAGAAUAAGCUGAAAUUCAGAUAAACUACACUUCUAUUUGCAUACUUCGAAUCUGGAAAAUUUUAUUUUGAUUGAACCUGUAAUUUAUUUUUAAUGAUUUUUCAAACUCUGCUGCCUCUGCAGUAACUUCUUUUGACAGAACUGUUCAUUAAUCUUUGAUCCUAUCAAACACCAGCCUACUGAUAUCGGAAUAGCCUCAAAUUUUAAUAUGUUGUUGACUUAUAUGUCCACUUAAAAUCUAGAAAGUAUCAUUCUAAUAUAUUUAGUAUUUUAAAUUUAAUAAAUAUUCAAACACCUGCUGCUACUUUUACAGUUUCAUAUGCAAUUUUAACUUAUAUAGUUUUAUCAUGUGAGAAGCAAAUGUAUGGUUGUCCAAAUGACUUGGAAAUUUUUUUUGUGGUGCAUUGAAAUGUCUAAUUAUGUUUUGUAAGUUUCAUAGCAUUCCAAAUUGAAUUAAAGAAAAUCUUAAAUUCAAGUUGUCAAUGUUUCCUAUUAAAUCUUAUUAGUGAUAAAUCUACUAACUUGCAGUACUUUUCAGGAAAAAAAAUGUGUCAACACUGUGAAUUGCAAUGGGAGAAGAAAGUACUAAAGGCAUAAAUCUUUUUUCAUUAUAUUUGGGACUAUUCUUAAAGGUUAGUCUUUUCCUUUUUCCUUUUUUUCUUUUUUAUUUAAGGUAAUCAUAUUCAUUUUAAUUUUAAUUACAAUCAAUUUGGCGUUGUUAGACAACUCGCACCAACCAGUCCAACAGCAAAUGAAGAUAACAUUUUUGAAAUGCAUUCAGUUUUUGACAAUAGCAAAAAGAAAAAGGAAAAAUGAUACUAGUUUAGGCUUUAGGAAAUUUGCACCAUCAUUCUUGCACUGCAGCUGCCUCUAUCUCGGUGCUCUCGGAGAAGUAAUCUUGCUUGAUUUUGCGUGAUAGUUGAUACAAGCCCGUCCUAGCCAUUACAAAAUUGACACUAAAAAGGUUCUAGUUUUUCAUAUUGUAGUUUGAAAAGUCUGCAAUGUUUGCUAUGCUGAUGCCCCAUUUGAAUGUUGGAGCCCAAAAAUGAAUGGUUUUAGGACCAGCCGGGUGGUUCCAAAAAGCUAGGAGCUUGUUAGCUAUUCUUUUUAAUUGAACUAAUUUAACUUAAAUAUUAGCCCGAUUAUUGAUUUCUAUGGUUUGCCAUUGAUUUGAGUUUGACAUUCUUGUUUUGUGUUGGUUUGAGUUUGACAUCCUAGUUUAAGACUUUGAAGGCUUCCAAGAAAUGAUUUUGGAUGAUGAGCAAAUGAGUAAUAGUUUGAAAAUUAAUUUACUGUAUCAAAUAUAUACUUAGUGUAGCAUAUUAAUUUUAAGAACUAUGGAUUAUUCCUUGAAUAUUCUAGUAAAUGGUUAUGUUAUAUAUGCAUGUCUUAAUAUAUAAUAAUUAUAUUUUGAAGUUUGUUUUUUUUUUUUUCCCUUUCUAGGUUUAGGAAAAAUGUUUAAAGUGAUUUUGGGUUAUGAUGUCAAUCAAGUUAAAGCAACAUUACUUGUGAGUGGAAAUAUAUAAUGAUUAUAUUUUUAUUCUACUUUUUUUUUAUCUUCUUAAAGUUUUAUAAUUAGGCAAAAUUAAUGAAUACUUAAUUACAAUUUAGGGUGAUAUUCUUUAAAUGGUUCACAUGAAUAGAUUUAAGUAGUAUAAUAAAUCUCAUACUCACUUUAUAAAGGCUUAACUAAGUUUGCAAAUAUUAUUUCUUUUAGUAGUAAUAAUUUUGGAUCGAACUCUCAAAUUAUUGAAAUAUUUUAUGUCCAAACUUUAUUAUGCCUAAUAUAAAUAUUGAGAUUCAUAGUUAUUUUAUGCCCAGUUUAAGGAAACUGUAGUUUGAGGACUUAUUUUUUGCCUUGUUAAAUAAACUUUUAGAAUGAAUAAAUUGAGGAAAUGAGUGGUGAUUUAUUUAUAAUAGAGCAUUUGUGAUAGCUUUUAACUAUGCACAAAAAUCAUUUGGUAUAUGUAGAUAGAGUAACAUGCUUGUGCUGAAAGUAGAUAUUACAUUGAAAACUUCUUGUCUACUAUAGUUUGCUAUAUAUAUAACCUUUACCAAAAGAGAAUAAUUGAGUUUAUUUAUAAAUAGCUUAUGAGGAUUUUUUUUUUCUUUCGAACAAAAUAAUUUUAUUUCUGUUAAUUGUUGUUUCUCUAAUGGCUGGAUAUUGGCAGCUAAUUUUUUUUUUCUUUUCCAUGUAUUCAUAUGCAGCUUUGAUCAAUGUGUUUGAAGUGUUUAUUCCUCAACUUCACUUAUAUCAUAACCCAUACAGUCUAUUGAAUGGAGAAGCUGCUGGCGUGAUAACGCAAUUAUACUACUCAUAUUCAAACAGUGAAAGACAAUCAUCCUUCUCAAUUUAGCUUCUAGAUUUAUUAAAUUUAGCCACAAGUAGUAGGUAUUUGAUUGGAUGGUAGAAAUUUUUAUGUAUUGAAUUUGGAUUAUUGAGUUAUGAGAGUAGGAUAUCUCAUAUUUUUGUUAUUGAAGUUUUGGAAUUUGUAAUAUAUACUAAUAAUAUUUAAAUGUGAAAUGAAAGAUUUUGCGAUAUAAAUCAAUUUCUUUUUGUUAUUUUGUGGUGCUUUUUAAUUUUACCAAUAAAUCAAUAGACAAUGAUCCAAUUCUUUUUUUUUUUAAAUAAAUUAACUAGUGAUACUAUGGUAACAGUAAUCAUAGACACUAAUAAAAUAUCAAUAAUUACUAACACUAUGGUGUCAUAAUAUUGGUGAUACCGUAGUAAUAGUAAUCACUGACACCACUUACAAGUGUCACUAUUUUUCUGACUCCCAGAUUACUGGCACAAUUAACAAGUGUCAAUGAAAGUAAUUUCUAACACUAUUCUAAAGUCAGUAAAUACCAUUUUUCUAGUAGUGUUAACUAUCAAUCAUGUGAGUAUAUUUACUCAGAAAUAUCAUAUCAAUAGACAAUCUUGAUCCCACACACACGUAAAUAUGUUAAUUUCUAUACGCUUCACUUAACCUGUAGAAUCAAUUAUCUAAAAUGCAAGUUUGUGGCCACAAAAAAAGCCAAAGAAAGAAGAUAAUAACAAUUGACUUGUAUAUUAUGCUCAUACAAUCCACUCGACAUAAUGAUAUCAUUUUAAUAAGGCAAUGGCCGAUGAUCUCCAUUGAAAAACUAAUUCAAUUUUUUUGCUUCAUUUAACUUUUUGGUUGUUGAAAAUAACUUUAAUUAUCAAAUAAUUGGAGAAAGAGUAAAGAACAUUUAACAAAUUUAUGUGCAAAAAAAAAAAAAAGGAGAAGUUGAAGAGAAAGGGUGCUUGCAGAAGUGGGUGUCAAAGAAAAAUCUGUCCAUAAGAAUUAUUGCGGUUAUUUUUUGGCAAUGUAAAAUUUUUAUAGCAAGUAAAAAUUAAUUUUUUCCGAUUUACUAAAACAUUAACAAAAAAACUUCUGUGACAGCAUUUUUUAUGGGUGCAUAUACCCUCCCUUUAAAAAAAAUAAUAAUUAAUGCUUAAUAUAAUAUUAAAUACGAAAAUAUCAAUAUUUGACUACUCAAAUUUACAUCAUUAGGUCCUUAAAAUUUAAAAUUGAAGAUACGAAAGGAAGCAUAUAUAAAUUUCAUUCUCAUGAAAAGGAUUCUCUUAUAAUCUUAUAAUAUUUGAGUUUUGAAAUUUUUUUGAAACAAAUGUAAUUUUAUUUGUGUACAAUCUGAAAUGGCCCAAAACGUCAUAAAACUUUUCAAAUAGGUUCAAUUUCAGAACUUCCUAAAAAUAGUCGUCUUUCCCCAACUUUCUGAAAUUAUGAUAUAGCCCCAAAGAUUUUAUUAUUUCGCACAAAGGUCCUUUUCAACAUAAUACCCAUAUUUUUCAAAGUUCUCAAAACCUUUCACUUUAGUCCAAAAUAUUCAUAAAUUAUAGUAUGGCCCAAAACAUUUCAAAUGUUUGUAAAAACGUCCAACUCUGAAAUUUAAUACUUAUUAAAAACAAAGAUUUCAAAUCUUAGCAUUUAAAUCCAAAUUACUCAAAUCGAUAAAAUACUUUAUUUUAUAAAAAUAAAACCUUUUAGUUUAUGAAAAGUAUUUAAUUAAAUUAAUCUCUUGAGCUUCUCAAAUGCUAAAUCAUGCAUCAAUUAAAUCAUACCGGCUUUACAAGAAUUUAUCGCACUAAUUUGUUCGUUGAGCUCUAAACUAUAUUCUUGAUGUCGCCGUUGUCCGCUGAGUGUCUUCAAUCUUGAUUUCACUUGAUUCACUUGCAUAAAUAUUAUCCUUAAAAAACUAGUGAAAAUGUGAAAUACAAUAUUUAUUAAAUCACUCAAUACAUAUGUUUGUUAUCAUCAAAAUUACAUUAUGUAUAGCCCUUUAGGCUAACAAUCUCCCCCUUUUUGAUGAUGACAAACAUCUCAUGUAUUUUGACAUUUAUACUCCCCCUUAAUACAUGGCAUAUAUAAUUAAACAUAUAAAUCAAAUUCAAAACAAAAACUCCCCCUGAAUAUUUGAUUUAUGAUAAUUUGUAAGCUCCCCCUUAAUAUUUCAAAACCAUGCAUAAAUACUUGAAAUACAAAAUACGUAUUACAUGUCUUCAUAUUCAAAAUACAUGACUUCUCCCCUUCAUCAUCAAAAUUACUAGAAAUUCAUGCGAAGAUCGAUAAUAUGUCAAUGGUUAAUCAAGAAACAUAUAAUAACCAAACAUCCAAUUAACCAUUAAAUGAUCAUGAAUCAUCAUGCCAUCAAAAGAAUGUUCUAAAUGCAUAUUAUCCAAAAUCAUAUUGUAUGCUCCCCCUAAAUAUAUGGCCAAUUAAAAAAUUUAACCAAAAUGAUAUUAUCCAAAAACAUAUCAUAUUUAUCUCUCCCUUCAUAAAAAAUAGAUAGAUGCAAUCGAAACAAGAGCAUAAAAAAUAAUUCGAUAAAGAUAUUACCAAUUUUGUGCGAGCAAAAAUUUCGGCAGAGUCUCCCCUUAAAAUGAACAAAUCCUUAAAUAUACAACAUGGUUAAAAACACUUCCAUAUAAGCUGAAACAAUUAUAACAAACCAACAACUCCAUUAAUUCAUCAAGCAAUACACAUACAAUCAUCAAUCAUCAAAAGUACUAUAAAUCCAUGCUUAUACCAAAAAGAAUAUCUCAAUGAUUAAUCAAGAAGCAUAAAAAUAAAGCAUGCAAUUAAUCCAAAGAGUCAUAUUCAUUCUAAGAAUUCAGAAAAUAUCAUCCAAAUAUAAAUUAUCCAAAUAUUAAACAACCAUCAUCCGUAAUCCACAAUUAGAACAAUUAUGCAUAUGAAAAUGUAGGCGCAUAAUAUAAUAAGGAACCAUGGUAAUUUAAAAUACCCAAAAAUGCACAAAUUCGGUUUUGGAAAAUAAUUAGUGAAAUGAAUGAUUUUAAACCGAUUGUAUUGAUCCAAGAGAUGAUUUAAGAUAAUGGAUGGUGUUGAUUGGAUCAAAAGUGGACUAAAAAGAGUUUAAAUUGGAAGAGAAAGAAAUGGGUAAGUUAGGUUUUUUGAUUUUGGGUUUUAUGUGGAGAGAUAAUGAAAUCAAGUUUUGAGAGUGAAAAUUGAAGGAGUAAUGGAUGAAUAAUGAGUUGGAUGAUUGAUUUUAGCAAGAGAAUGAGUGAAAGAUGAAGAAAUUUGAGAAAGAAAAUGGAGAACACUAUUCACGCGUGAAUGAAAUGAGAAUGGAAUGAUGAAGAACAAGUGAAGAAAUCAUGAUGGAGAAGUGUUUAAUGAAGAUAAAAUGCAUGGGUAUUAGUUUGAAUGGUUGAUUUGGGCAUGAAAAUGGAUGAAAAAAGAAGAAAUUGAAAGUGAAAAUGGAUGGGUUGCUCACGGUUUUGAGUGAAAGAGAGAACAUGUGCAGAAAAUUAACAAAGGAAGAAGAAGAAGCAAAAAAAAUUUUCCCAACCCGUGACCAAGCGGCUAGCCGCUUGCUCUCGGGUUGGGGACAGUUUCCAAGCGGCUAGCCGCUUGGAACAGGCGGCUAGCCGCCUGUUCCAGCUGCACUCAAGUUGAUUUCCGACUAAUUUCGAUCAAUUUUGUGACCAUUUUGUGAUCCUGAAACAUCUCAAGAGCCAAUUUAAUGCAUGAUUCAUGAUUUUAAACAUCUAAAAGAUGAUUAAUUCAAACAAAUAAUCCAUCCAACAAGCAUAUAUUCAUGAAGCACAUAAGCAUUCAAAAAUUAAUAAAUCAAACACCACAUAUAUCUAACUUGCUCAAACACUUCAUAAACAUUAAUAAUCAUCAAGCAAACGAUUUUAAUAGAUUCAAUAACAUAAAUAGAGAUGUUAAUGCGAAAAUUUCAUCAUCCCAAGUUCAUGCCGAAUUUUUGAAAAUUGUUCUUCGCAAAGGGGUUUUGUAAAAAUAUCGGCAAGUUGUUUUUCCGUAAAGAUAAAUUCUAAUGCAAUAUCACCUUUUUGAACAUGAUCUCUCAAGAAAUGAUGCCUAAUCUCUAUAUGCUUGGUUCUAGAAUGUUGAAUGGGAUUCUUUGAAAGAUUUAUGGUGCUAGUAUUAUCACACUUGAUAGGAAUUUGUUCAAGAUUAAUACCAUAGUCUCUAAGUGUUUGUUUCAUCCAAAGUGCUUGUGCACAACAACUACCUGCGGCAAUAUAUUCCGCCUCAGUAGUUGAGAGUGUCACCGAAUUUUGUUUCUUACUAAACCAUGAAACAAGUGAAUGACUAAGAAAAUGGCAAGUUCCACUAGUACUCUUCCUAUCGACCUUGUGACCAGCAAAAUCGGCAUUCGAAUAACAAGCUAAAUCUAUAUGAGUUCCUCUAGGAUACCAAAGGCCAAUAUCUAUGGUUCUACUCAAAUAAUGAAAAAUUCUUUUAACAUAAAGCAAAUGAGAUUUCUUGGGACAUGAUUAAAAUCUUGCACACAAACAUACACUAAACAUGAUAUCGGGUCUACUUGCAGUUAAGUAAAGUAAGGAUCCAAUCAUACAUCGAUACUUUUUAAUAUCAACCACUUUACCUUUUUCAUCUUUAUCAAGCAUGAUUGUUGUACUCAUUGGAGUAUUCUUGGUAUUUGAUUCAUCAAUACCAAAUCUCUUGAGCAAGUCUUUGACGUACUUAGCUUGGUUGAUGAAGAUCCCCUCAUUGGUUUGUUUGAUUUGAAGUCUAAGAAAAUACUUCAAUUCUCCCAUCAUGCUCAUCUCAAAUUCCUUACUUAUACAAGAGGAAAAUUCUUUGCACAAAGAUUCAUUAGUAGAACCAAAAAUAAUAUCAUCAACAUAAAUUUGAACAACAAGUAUAUCUUGAUUUUUAUUUUUAAUAAAGAGGGUAGUAUCUGCUCUUCCCAUCGAAAAAUCGUUAUCCAAUAAGAAAUUUUUAAGCCUAUCAUACCAUGUUCUAGGUGCUUGUUUUAAUCCAUAUAAUGCUUUUGAUAACUUAUACACAUGAUUUGGAAAUUUCUCAUUUUCGAAACCAGGGGGUUGUUUCACAUAAACUUCCUCCAUAAUAUAACCAUUUAGGAAAUCACUCUUGACAUCCAUUUGAAAUAAAAUAAAAUCUUUAUGACAUGCAAAUGCUAACAACAUCCUAAUGGAUUCUAAUCUAGCUACAAGUGCAAAAGUUUCAUCGAAAUCGAUUCCUUCUUCUUGGUUGUAUCAUUGAGCCACUAAUCUACCUUUAUUUCUUACAACCACACCGGAUUCAUCCAUUUUAUUUCUAAAUACCCAUUUAGUGCCUAUAAUGGAUUGAUGUUCCGGUUUAGGAACCAAUUCCCAUACUUUAUUUCUCUCAAAUUGAUUUAACUACUUUUGCAUUGCCAUAAUCCAAAACUCAUCAUUUUCCGCAUUCGCAAAAGAUUUUGGUUCAAUUUGAGAAAUAAAUGCAGCAUGCUCACAUGUGUUUCUAAGUGAUGAUCUAGUUGUGAUACCUCUUGAAGGAUCACCUAAAAUUAAAUCCUUAGGAUGAGCGGAAACAUACCUCCACUCCUUGGGGAGUGUUUGAGAACUACCUUCUUGUUGCUCCAGCUCCAUAUUUGUUUGUUCUUCUUGUCUAUCCUCUUGAUUUUCUUGUGGUGCAUUCUCUUGAUUCUCUUUUGAUGAUUCUUCUUGUAAUUCUCCAUCUGCAUUAUCAUUAACAACUCCUUUCUCCGCAGAGGAGGGGUUAGAUUCAUCAAACGUAACAUGCAUGGAUUCUUCCACAACUAAAGUUCUUUUAUUAUAAACUCUAUAAGCUUUGCUUGAGUUUGAAUACCCGAGAAAGAUGCCAACAUCAGAUUUUGGAUCAAAUUUAUCAAGAUAAUCUUUUUUGUUUAAAAUAAAACAUUUGCAUCCAAAAACUUUGAAAUAACCAAUGUUGAGUUUUCUAUCUUUCCAAAGCUCAUAGGGAGUUUUAUUGAGAUGAGGUCUAAUCAACACCCGAUUUAAAACAUAACAAGCGGUGUUGACGGCUUCGGCCCAAAAAUAUUUUAGUAAUGCAUUUUCAUUUAACAUGGUCCUAGCCAUUUCUUGAAUAGACCUAUUCUUUCUCUCAACAACUCCAUUUUGUUGUGGAGUCCUAGGUUAUGAAAAUUGAUACUCAAUGCCAAAAUCAUUACAAAAAUUUUCAAAUGCAUGAUUUUCAAACUCUCCACCAUGAUCACUUCUAAUACAAGUAAUAGAAUAACCCUUUUCAUUUUGAACCUUUUUAUAGAAAAUUCUAAAUGCAUCAAUGACAUCAUCCUUAUUAGCUAAGAAUAAUACCCAUGUGUAUCUAGAAUAAUCAUCUACAAUUACAAAUGCAUAAAAUUUGCCACUUAAACUAGCAUAUCUAGAGGGUCCAAACAAAUCUAUGUGAAGUAAUUGAAGAUGUUUUAAAGUAGAGAUAUGAUUCUUGUUUUUGAAAGAGGUUUUGAUUUGUUUUCCAAAUUGACAUGCUUCACAAAUUCUAUCCUUUUGAAAACCAAUUUUUGGAAGACCUUUAACUAAAUCGUUUUUCGAAAUUUUUGAAAUUAAAUCCAUGCUUGCAUGUCCUAGUCUUCUAUGCCAUAACCAACCAUCAUCAUGCAAUGCCGAAAAACAUUUAUCAUGAGUAGAUGCACAUUCUAUAUCAAUCGUGUAAACAUUGCCACAUCUAUUUCCCAUAAACAAAAUUUUCCCAUCACAUGCAUUCUCAAUAACACAUCUUGAUUUAUCAAAAACAACUUUAUAACCUUUGUCACAUAGUCGACUAAUGCUAAUCAAAUUGUGUUUCAAAUUUUCAACAAAACACACAUUUUCAAUUAGAGUUGAAGAAAUUUUACCAACAUUUCCAAUUCCGAGAAUUUUUCCUUUUGAGUUAUCUCCAAAGGAUACAUCUCCACCAUUUUCGAUUUUGGUGAAACUUGAGAACCAUGCAUAGUUUCCUGUCAUAUGCCUAGAACAUUCGCUAUCCAAGUACCAUUUAUUUUUCUUUUUCUUCAAGCCCGGCAAAGAAAAUCUUAUGUCUUAGGUACCCAAACCUUUUUGGGUCCUUGAUCGUUAGCAAUGGUUCCUUUUGGAACCCACACACAUUUGACACCAUUAUAUGCAUUCCUUUUUACGGGACAUCUAUAUUUCAUGUGGCCAUUUUAAUUACAAUAAUGACAAAAAAUCUUAUGAUCAUUUGUGGAGGUAGCUUUAACAAAAUAAUUCUUAUAAUCUUUUGCUUCAAGUUAGGCUUAUACCCAAGUCCUCCUUUAUCAAAAACACAUUUUUGGGAGUUAAGCAUGUUAUCCAAUAUCUUUUACCCAUUUCUAAAUUUUAGAACAACAUUACUAAGUUCAAUAUUCUUUUUCUUGAGCAUUUCAUUUUCCUUUUUCAAAUCAUCUACAUGUGACUCUAAAUGCUCAUGUAAAGUGCUAGAUUUUUCAUUUAAUAAUGCAACUCUAUUAUGCAAGGUUUUAUUCUCUAAUUCUAAUCCUUUAAUCUUCUCAUUCAAUGACUCAUUGCAUUUUUGCAUGGCAUCCUUUUCAUUUGUAGAUUCUAGCAAUUUCUUUUUAAGGCAUGCAUUCUUUUUACUAAUUUUCAUCAACUCAUCAUGCAUUUCUUUAAAAGCAUCAUAUAAUUCAUCAUAGGUUGGAUCACUUACCUCAUUGAGAUCAUCAUCAUCUCCUAGUGCCAUAAGUGCUAGGUUUGAUACUUCUUGCGACUCAUCUUCAUCACUUGAAUCUUCAUCGCUAUCAUCCCAAGUAGCAACCAUAGCUUUCUUCUUGAGUUUGUUGAGAAGUGGGCAUUCCGAUCUUAUAUGGCCGGGCUUCUUGCAUUCAUAGCAUAUGAUUACCUCUUUCUUCUCCUUUUGGUUUUUGAAAUUUUUGAAUUUUCUUCGGUCACCGGGUUUCAUGAAAAAAAUUUUGAACCUCCUUGCUAGCAUAGCCAACUCCUCAUCAUUUGGCUCACUUUCCCCAUCACUCUCAUAUUUGGUGACUUUGAGAGCAAUGUUUUUCUUCCUUUCCUCAUUUCCUCUUUCAGCUGCUAAAUCUUCCUCAUAAAAAUAAGAAAACCAAUUAAAUCAUCAAUAGGUAAGAUAUUCAAAUCUUUAGCUUCCUCAAUGGCAGUCCUUUUUGGUCUCCAUUCCUUAGGUAACGACCUAAUGAUUUCUUAACUUUCUCGCUAUUUGAAAAGGUCUUUCCUAGAGCUCCUAGAGUGUUUACUAUAUCCGUAAAUCUAGUAUACAUAGAAUACACACUCUCAUUUUAUUCCAUUUGGAACAAUUCAUAUUGCCGAGUGUACCUACUAAUUUUAGACUCUUUCACUUGAUUCGUGCCUUCAUAAACAACUUCAAGUUUGUGCCAAAUUUCAUUAGCACUUUCACAACUAGACACUCUAUGAAACUCUUUCUUAUCGAGUGCACAAAGCAAGGCAUUCAUGGCUUUGGAAUUUAGAGAAGCUUUUCUCUUUUCCAAUUCAUUCCAUUCCCGUGAAGGUUUCGGAAUGUCUUCCCCAAUUUCAUUUUUAGUCAAAGGCAUAAAUGGACCAUCACAUACAACUUCCCAAAUUUCAUAAUCUAAUGCUUGUAAGUAAAUUCUCAUCAUAGUUUUCCAAUACGGGUAGUCAUUUCCGUCAAAGAACGGUGGCCUAGUUGUGGAUUGUCCUUCCCUAAAGAUUGAAUCAUUUUGGGUUGCCAUGGAUCUUUUACUCUAGACGGUUAGUCCUAACAAGAGAACCAAGCUCUGAUACCAAAUGAAAUGCAAGUAACGCAACCCAAGAGGGGGGUGAAUUAGGUUUUUAAAAUAAAUGCAAUACGAUUCGCACAAUAAAUCAAUCUAAUGCCUUAAUGAAAUAGAGAACAAUAAAUUCAAACAAGCGUAAAAAUAAAAGAGCAAGGGAAGAGAAAAAUGAACACGUGGAUUUUUACGUGGUUCGGCAAUCCCCGCCUACGUCCACGCCUCCAAGCCAACCAAGCUCGAGAAUUUCACUAUCCAAGCCUCCCAAGGCUUCAAGUUUUUACAAUUGACUUCCAAGGUGUCAAUGAACCUUUACAACCAAGAGAUUAUCUCCCCAAUCUCUUCACUCCAAGUGUUUCCCACACUUACACACUCACAAUUUGAUAAGAAAUGAAAAUUACAACAAAAACUCUCUUUAAGAGUGGAUAUGCAACUAAUAGCUCAAUAAUGAUUCAAUCAAUGAUGAUUUGUGUUUUGGAAGCUCAAUAUAUGUUGUAUGAUCUUAUAUUUGCGUGCAUUAGUUCUUAGAAUGAAGUUUGAGUUGAGUUUUUAUAGUGAAAGCCCAAAAACUAGCCGUUAUAGGCAAAUUCCCGCGCCCAAGCGGUUAGCCGCUUGAUUAUCUGGCUAGCCGCUCAGGAACAGUGAUAUUACCAUUAUCUUUAAAUUGCUACAGUACUACUGUUCACUAAAAUUACACUUUAGCCCAAAAUUUUCUAUAAUUAUACUUUGGCCCAAAACGUCAUAAAACUUUUCAAAUAAGUCCACUUUCAGAACUUCCUAAAAAUAGUUGUCUUUCCCAAACUUUCUGAAAUUAUGAUAUGACCCCAAAGAUUUUAUUAUUUCGCAUAAAGGUCCUUUUUAACAUAAUACCCAUAUUUUUCAAAGUUCUCAAAACCUUUCACUUUAGUCCAAAAUAUUUAUAAAUUAUAGUAUGGCCCAAAACAUUUCAAAUGUUUGUAAAAACGUCCAACUCCGAAAUUUAAUACUUAUUAAAAAUAAAGAUUUUAAAUCUUAGCAUUUAAAUCCAAAUUACUCAAAUCGACAAAAUACUUUAUUUUAUAAAAAUAAAACCUUUUAGUUUAUGAAAAGUAUUUAAUUAAAUUAAUCUCUUGAGCUUCUCAAAUGCUAAAUCAUACAUAAAUUAAAUCAUACCGGCUUUACAAGAAUUUAUCGCACUAAUUUGUUCGUUGAGCUCUAAACUAUAUUCUUGAUGUCGCCGUUGUCCGUUGAGUGUCUUCAAUCUUGAUUUCACUUGAUUCACUUGCAUAAAUAUUAUCCUUAAAAAACUAGUGAAAAUGUGAAAUACAAUAUUUAUUAAAUCACUUAAUACAUAUGUUUGUUAUUAUCAAAAUUACAUUAUGUAUAGCCCUUUAGGCUAACACAAUCAAUAUUUACUUAUUUAUUAUAUUUUAAUUUAUUAACUAUCAAUCAUGUAAGUAUAUUUAGUCAGAAAAAUUAUAUCAAGAGAGAAUCCUAAUUUCACGCAAACACAAAUACAAGAAAAAUAUGUCAAUUUCUAUACUAUUCACUUUCCUGUAGAAUCAAUUAUCUAAAGUGCAAGUUUGUGGCUACAGAAAACUCACCAAAGAAAGAAGAUAAUAACAAUUGAGCAUUGAUAGCAAAACUAAUGCAUCAUUUUCUUCUUGACUUGAUGAGAUGGCGCCAUUACAAAAAAACAAGUACCUUAAUUGACGGGCACUGAGUGAUGUGAAUACUACCAGCCAGUUCAUCUCUUCCAGUCUUGCUUAAUCACAAUCACAAACACCACGAGAUUGACAUUUGCAUUAUAUAAAUCUUCAGCAGUCGAAACACCUUGCAUUACCAAAUAAACCAGUAACAAACAAAGCAAUCUUUCAUGGAGAGGAACCUUAGUCUCAGUAUGAUCACUGUGUCAUUAACCCACUUCCUGCUUCUUUGCUUGGUUGUUGCAGCAGCAGCAGCAGCAAGCAACAAUAUUACCACAGACCAACAAGCUCUUCUUGCCCUGAAAGAUCAUAUAACUUAUGAUCCAACCAACCUGGUUGCCAUUAAUUGGACCUCGAACACCUCUGUUUGCACCUGGAUUGGCAUCACUUGUGAUGUCAAUAGCCACAGAGUCACAGCCUUAGAUAUUUCUCAAUUCAAUCUACAAGGCACCAUCUCUCCUCAACUUGGAAACCUCUCUUCACUCACAACACUUAAUCUUAGUCAUAACAAGCUUUCUGGAAAUGUUCCCUCCUCCAUCUACACCAUGCAUACGCUAAAAUUUCUAGACUUCACUGAUAACCAGCUCUCUGGUUCAGUGUCUUCCUUCGUCUUCAACAUGUCUUCAAUAUUAGACAUUCGUUUGACCAAUAACAGACUUUCUGGUGAGCUUCCAAAAAAUAUUUGCAACUAUCUUCCUCAUUUGAAAGCCCUUUUUUUGGACAAAAACAUGUUUCAUGGCAAAAUUCCUUCUGCUUUAUCAAAGUGCAAACAACUGCAACAAUUAACUUUGCAGUCCAAUAAUUUAUCCGGUGCAAUACCAAAAGAAAUCGGCAACUUGACCAUGCUCAAAGGGAUAUAUCUCGGCUACAACAAACUCCACGGUUUGUUCAUAAUACUAUAUAAAUAUUUUAAUUUAUCACUUAUUAUCUUUCGUGAAUAAUUUAGAUAAGAUCUUGUAAGUGACAUUUUUUGCAUCUAUGUUAAUUUACCAGGUGAGAUACCCCACGAAAUCGCUAAUCUUCGAAAUCUAGAAGCUUUAAUGCUAGGAAUGAACAACCUAGUUGGUGUGGUAUCAGCUAGAAUCUUCAACAUGUCAACACUGAAGGUAAUUACCCUCAUAAAUAACUCUCUCAGCGGUAGUCUUCCAUCAAGAAUAGACCUUUCACUUCCAACUAUUAACGAGCUUAACUUGGCACUUAAUAGAUUUUCUGGAACCGUUCCUAGUUCCAUCACCAAUGCUUCUAAGCUCACCUUGCUAGAGUUGGGAGGAAACACAUUUUUGGGAUUUAUUCCAAACACAAUUGGUAAUUUAAGAAACCUUGAGUGGCUCGGCUUGGCUAAUAACUACUUGACAUCUUCAACCUCAAAAUUGAGCUUUCUUUCCUCUUUGGCAAAUUGCAAGAAAUUAAGAUCCUUAUCCUUAGAACGCAAUCCACUUGGCGGCUUCCUUCCAAGUUCAAUGGGUAAUCUUUCUAUGUCUUUAGAAACACUUUUUAUCGCCAAUUGCGGUAUUAUUGGCAAUAUUCCUCAAGCAAUUAGCAAUUUAAGCAACUUGCUGGCCUUAGUAUUAGAAGGCAAUAAAUUGACUGGACCAAUUCCAAUUACAUUCGCCCGACUGCAGAAACUUCAAGGCUUAUAUCUUGCAUCCAAUAAGUUGGUAGGUUCAUUCCCAGAUGAGCUUUGCCAUCUAGGUAGGCUGGCUGAAUUGGCCUUACUUGACAAUAGGCUUUCAGGAUCUAUACAUUCAUGUGUAAGUAAUCUCACUUCUCUAAGAUAUCUCUAUUUAGGGUCCAAUAGGUUUACUUCUGUCAUUCCCUCAACUUUCUGGAGCCUAAAAGACAUCUUGUUUUUUGACUUUUCAUCAAAUUUCUUGGUUGGUCCUCUUUCUUUCGACAUAGGUAAUUUGAAGGUGCUUCUAGGAAUAAAUUUAUCAGAAAAUAACUUAUCGGGUGAUAUGCCAGCCACAAUUGGAGGACUAAAACACCUUCAAAUUAUGGACCUAGCAUAUAAUAGAUUGGAAGGGCGAAUUCCCGAAUCAUUUGGUGAGUUGACAAGUUUGGAGGUUUUGAAUUUGUCAAAUAAUAAAAUCUCUGGGUCUAUUCCAAAAUCCAUGGAGAAACUCUUUUACCUCCGAGAGUUAAAUCUCUCUUUCAAUGAACUUGAAGGUGAGAUUCCUAGUGGAGGAAUUUUUGCCAACUUCACAGCUGAGUCAUUUAUGGGAAAUGAGUUAUUGUGUGGUUUACCAAAUCUUCAAGUCCAACCAUGCAAAGUUAGCAAGCCGAGGACAGAACAUAAAUCAAGGAAAAACAUACUUCUCAUUGUGAUUGUUUUGCCAUUGAGUGUUGCUCUAACAAUAGCAAUCACUCUAGCUCUCAAAUCUAAGCUGAUCGAAUGUGGAAAAAGAUGCACAGUGUUGUCAAAUGAUAGUGUCUUGUCAUCACAAGCAACACUAAGAAGAUUUUCAUACUUAGAACUUUUACAAGCAACAGAUAAUUUUGCUGAAAACAGCGUAAUUGGCAUAGGAGGUUUUGGUUCUGUUUACGGUGGAAGACUUGAAGAUGGGAUGAAGAUUGCAAUAAAAGUGUUUCACCAGCAAUGUGCAAGCGCAUUGAAGAGUUUUGAGGCUGAAUGUGAAGUGUUAAAAAAUAUUCGCCAUCGAAACCUUAUCAAAGUUAUCAGCAGUUGCUCGAACGAUGACUUCAAAGCAUUAGUCCUAGAAUACAUGUCCAACGGGAGUUUGGAGGAUUGGCUGCAUUCGAGCAAUUACGUGCUGAAUAUUUUUCAAAGGUUGAACAUAAUGAUUGACGUUGCAUCAGCUUUAGAAUAUCUCCACUUCGAUCAUUCAACUCCUAUUAUUCAUUGUGACUUAAAGCCUAGUAAUGUAUUGUUGGACGAAAAUAUGGUUGCUCAUUUGAGUGAUUUUGGCAUAGCAAAGCUUUUAAGUGGAGAGGAUGAGUAUGUGAUGCGAACAAAAACCCUUGCCACUAUAGGUUAUAUGGCACCAGGUUUGCUUCAAACAACUUUUGUUUUUAGUUCAUUUUAAAUUUUCAAACUUAUUGAUUUUUACAAUCCUCACAUCAAAAUUUUAUUGAUUAUUUAUCUAAUUGUGAAAUUAAUUUGAUUCAUAGAGUACGGCAUAGAAGGAGAAGUAUCUACAAAAAGUGAUGUUUACAGUUAUGGGAUUAUGUUGAUGGAAACUUUUACCGAGAAAAAACCCACAGAUGAAAUUUUUGUUGCAGAAUUGAGCUUAAAGCGUUGGGUUAAUGACUUGCUUCCUACUUCAUUAGUGGAAGUUGUGGACAAAACUCUGCUAAGUGGAGAGGAAAAACAUUCUGCAGCAAAGGAGCAAUGUCUGUUGUCUAUCUUUAGUUUGGCUCUGGAGUGUACAAUGGAAUCACCGGAAAAGAGGAUUAAUGCAAAAGAUAUUGUUACCGGAUUACUCAAGAUAAGAGACACAUUGAGUAAAAGGAUAGGAAAUUUAAGUUAAUUUCGUUUGCUUCCAUUGAUAGUUAAUCUGAAUUCAUGUAAUAAGUGUAGGAAUGUUAUAUCUUUUCCUUUCAUAUAUUUUUUUUCCUUGAGAAAACUGUUGUAGUCAUCUUGUUUCCAUGGACAGAGUUGAUUUAGUUCUUCCAAGAAAUGCUACUGAUGACAUUUGUUUUAUACUUUCUCUUUUUUUGCAUGCGUUUAGGUAGAAUAGUGGUCUAGCUGCAGGCUAAUAAGUCAAGCUAUGCCAAAAGCGUAUGAUUUAAUUUAUUAAACAUAACUUCAAGUUCAAGAAGUGUUUCUCAUUGCCACCAAUGCUUUGGACACCUGUUGGAAGGUUUGUUGUCCUCAGCUUUUGUUUAGAGCAAAAGUUCGAGUCCCAUAAAGGCUCAAACAUUCCUUUCCUUCUGUCCCAAGGGCGCCUUCUGUCCUCUGUUUUCUGUUUCCACACACAAAUAGCCAAAAGAAUUUAGAAUGACAACUGGGACAUAUAUAAGAGUGAAAUAAUUAAAAAAAUAAUGCUUUCUUGUUUGUCGUGUUAAAAUCGUAAGUACCGAAGUACUGUGAAAGAGAUUGAUUUACAGAAACUGAAGCCAAGGGUUCAAAAAAAAAGUGCAAAGAGAAUAAUUGUAUUGGUAGCACAAUGUCAUAUUCAUACAGAGAUCAAGUAUAUUAUUUACGGCUGGUAAGGACUAAGAAUUGAUGUAGCUAGAAUGCGAAGAUGAUAAGGUAUGUUGUGCACUAUUGUUUUAUUCUACAAUCAAUCUUGACCCUUGAUGCUUGGCUCUCAAUCUUGUCCAUUGAUCUUCUCUGAUUUGGGAGACUUGAAGACCUUUCAGUAUCCUGCCUUGUUGUUGGUAUCUUCCAUGCUGUAGAACCGCCGACUUGCCAAGUAUUUGUUCAUUGAUGCAUUUUAUGAAACAGUUGGCCUGCUCAUAGCAAACAGCUCCUGUGUUAACUCCCCCUCCAUAGCUCAACUAUCUGGGAAGACAAUUAAUUGAGCUUGUUUCACAAUUAUAUGAAUCUGAAAGUUCAAUUUUAAAAAUUACAUUCGGACUCUACAUUUUCUAAUGAACAUUGGUUUGGCUUAUAAGCUUAAUAUG
This 106879-nucleotide long non-coding RNA is filed under the name Citrus maxima (pomelo). Its description in RNAcentral is "long non-coding RNA (CMAX_LNC003932)". Lineage: Eukaryota; Viridiplantae; Streptophyta; Magnoliopsida; Sapindales; Rutaceae. The record is from RNAcentral.